Molecule: long non-coding RNA, 104016 nt
Filed under: Lactuca sativa (garden lettuce)
Lineage: Eukaryota; Viridiplantae; Streptophyta; Magnoliopsida; Asterales; Asteraceae
Description: long non-coding RNA (LSAT_LNC001050)
Source: RNAcentral
GUUGGUAGUCUAUUGCAACUCCAAGAGCUACGCAUAUGGAACUGCAGUCAGAUAGAGGUCGUGAUUGUUCAGGAUGCAGAUGUUUCUGUAGAAGAAGACAAAGAGAAAGAAUCUGAUGGCAAGACGAAUAAGGAGAUACUUGCGUUACCUCAUCUAAAGUCCUUGAAAUUACAACUUCUUCAAAGUCUUAAGGGGUUUAGCUUGGGGACAGCAUUUGAGUUUCCAAAACUAACAAGAGUUGAAAUUAGUAAUUGCAACAGUUUAGAACAUGUAUUUACUAGUUCCAUGGUUGGUAGUCUAUCGCAACUCCAAGAGCUACAUAUAGAUUACUGCAGACAAAUGGAGGAGGUGAUUGUUAAGGAUGCAGAUGUUUGUGUAGAAGAAGACAAAGAGAAAGAAUCUGAUGGCAAGACGAAUAAAGAGAUACUUGUGUUACCUCGUCUAAAGUCCUUGACAUUAGAAUGGCUUCCAUGUCUUAAGGGGUUUAGCUUGGGGAAGGAGGAUUUUUCAUUCCCAUUAUUGGAUACUUUGAGCAUUUCCAGAUGCCCAGCAAUAACCACCUUCACCAAGGGAAAUUCCACUACUCCACAGCUAAAAGAAAUUGAAACAAAUUUUGGCUCGUUUUAUGCUGCAGGGGAAAAAGACAUCAACUCUCUUAUAAAGAUCAAACAACAGGUAAAUCAGAUCUUUGUUUCUUUAAUAAUUCUUAAACUACAUUUGAAAAGCUUCAUGCAAGUUUUUUUUGUUAUAUUGUCAAAAACCGCAACCUACAUUUUCAGCUUUAUAUUUAUGUACUUUAUGCAGGAUUUCAAACAAGACUCUGAUUAAUGUGAAGUGAAUAUUAAAGGUAAAUUAUAUUUUCAUGUUCCUAGUUGCCUAUUAAUUAAAGGCCUUUUAGUUCGUGAUUUUUGGAUGUAUUCUUCAUGAUGAUGUCAAUCUUCUAAUACCCCAUUCAUUGUUUGGUUGAAUGUUGACUCUAUGUCAGGAUGAAUAUUCAAGGGAAGAAUUGUUCAUCAUAUGAAGGACAUUAAAGAACAUGGAUGCUAUGAAGAUGUUGGGAAAACAUAUGUAUCAAGUGGCAAGCUGCUUAAUGAUCUAAGUUUGUUGGUUGAGGAUGUUGAUUUCAAUAUUUCAAAUUCAUUGGUUAUAUGGGCUUAUCAAUAGUGUUAAUGGGAUAAUGAGUGACUUAACCUAAAUUAUGUUGUUGGUAAAUGUUGGACAAGUAUGGAAAAUUAGGAAUGACUUGUGAAAAAUAUAUGCAAAAGUAGGAUUGAGAUUUUCAAUGAAAAUAUUAUGAAACUAUAGUAUAUAAAUAAAUGCAACAUCCUGUUUGGAUUUUCAAUGAAAAUAUCAUGAGAGUAACUAGAAGUAGAGUUUACUCUACCUUUGGUGUCUAGGGAUUAACCGGUUAGGCGGGGAUUAAUCGGAAACCAUUAAUUAUUAAGAAAAUUAUUCAGGAAUUUAUAAAUCUAAUUUUAAUCAUAAGAAUGUUAAUAAAUAAGCAUAAAAGUUUAAUAAUAAGUUUAACAAGCACAAUAAUUUAUCAUCCAAUUAAUAAGAAAAAUUAUUCAAAUUUUAAUAUAUCUUAAGAAAAUAAGUAAAUUUAGAUAUUUGCAUAUUUGAAAAAAUAGAAAUUUUGACCAUUCUGGAGAAAAACUUUAAAAUUUAAUUUUUAUUUUUUUUAUUUAUUAGUUGAACAUUAAAAUACUAUGAACUUUUGAAAUUUUGAAAAAUUUGGUUUAAUAUUUACAAAUUUGAAAAGUUGGCCGAUUAGGCCGCCUAGGAUUGAUUAGAACCGUCUAGUUUCGACUUUGACCCUCUUUGACCAAAACCGAUUAAGCCGAUCGAUUAGCUUUAAUCCUAUUCGGUUAAAGACCACCUAGUGAUUAAUCCCAAUUAAUCGUCCGCCUAGAUUGAUUUUUACAACACUGGUUUAUUCCCAUCUUCAGCUACUUAUAAUUUUCAUUUCUUACCUAUAAAAAUCUGAUUAAACUUUAGAGUUAUUUCAAUUUUUUGCCAACCAAGAAAAGAGACAGGUGCAAAUUUUCAUAUAAAGGCCGCAAGUAACUAUAAGUAUAAAAACGAUCACUAAAUAGUGACCACAAUAUACUGAUCAUUAAAUAUGUGACAAACUGUUUCGUCAUUUAAUGUUGUCACUAAUCAAUGAAAUGUUUUACCUAAUUAGUGACGAUAAAAAGUUGUCACUGUCUUAUCCGACUUGUGACCAAAGUCAUCGUUGAUUUAUCCAAUUAGUUACAAAAAAAACUCGUCAUUGAUUUUUGUAUUUAACCAAUUUAAGUAACAAGCAUGGAACUUGGUAAAUGGUAAGAUAUUUCAUGAGCAAUUUAAAAAUAUAAAACUUGUCCUCAAAUUAUAAAAACGAAAGGUUGGGGGUAAUUAUUUUCCCUUUGGCAUUGUCUCAAUUAUCAUGCAAACUUACAUCAUGUCCUCAAUAAAACCUUAACACAAUUUUCCAGCAAAUUACAUAAACAGAAAACGAAAAAAAAAAAAGAUUCAACUCUUCGGGUUAUUCAAACAACAUGAUUUGCUUCAAGAUGUUUUUUUUUUCCUGCAAUAACUGUCUCAUCUGUUUGCAGCCCCUAUGUAACGCCCCGUUCGAAAAGUACUUAUUUAUGAAUUUCUGAGAUCAAGAGUAAGGGCGUUUUGGUCUUUUAUGGACAAUGGGUUUUAUUCGAGAAGGUUUCGGGCUGGGGUGUGUUGCUAAAAGCGUAGGGCUUCUCGCUACCUUUUCAUGGAUAUAAAGUUCGUCGGAAACGGACUUAGGAUGAAGGAGUUAUGACAUUUUAAAGAAAGUUACAUUCAUGGCCCUUAAUGGAAAAAGUUGUCAAAGUAGGCCAUGCAUACCUUUGGGACACGCGUGGGUACGCCUAACAUAGGUUGGGUUACGCCCAACGUUAUAGAGCAAAUGGUCGCGGGUGCAAGGACGCGUACGCCCAACAUACGCUCAGAGUCCUUAAACCCUAAUUUGAGGGUGAGCCACUAUAAAUAGAACAUAAUGGCUUCAACCCUAGCCCCCAUAUCAGCCUCCCUAACCUCAGAAGAAACCCUAGAACGUUCCAACCUCCAUUUUAGAGAUCUUGGCCUUGAAAAGCUCAUCUUGGUGGUUUAAGCUUGGAAGAGGAAAAGAGUAAGUUGUCAAGGAAGGAGUUGGGUGGCUGGAGCUCGUAGAUCUGGGAAGGCAUCAUCUCCUGGAACCCUUUUGAGGUAUAAAGUCUCUUGCUUGACAUCUAUUUUAUGUAGAUCUUGGUGUUAUGAAGUUUUGACAUCAUUUCUUGUCCCAAAGCCCUAAAGUGAUGCAUGAUGUGAGUUGGUUGAGAUUAGCUGUCCUUUCAGACCUUAGGAGAGGUCUUGAGUGAGAAAAAUGAGGUCCCAAUGGCUUUGGUUGUCUCAUGUAUGAUGUAGGUGGGUCUUAAUGGAUUAAGACUUUGAGUUAAGAGCUUUAUGGACGUCCCAAAGGAUAAAGUUGGAGACUUUAUGGAUCCUAGGCAUGUUUGGUCGAUGGAUCUGAAGUUUGGGCGUAAGAGCUUAAGCCAUUAAGAACUUAUGAGGACUUUUAGUUCAGCGAGUUUACGCCCCGCGUAAAGUGAUGUACGCCCAACGUACUCACCAUUCUGCUUGUACGCUUAACGUACAUGGGGGGUACGCCCCGCAUACUCUGUCUGUAUGGAUCAUGAGUUUUUGGGCCAUGGGUUGGGGCAUGUUUGGGUAUUUGGGCCUUAGUGGGCCAUCAGAAAUAAUAUUAUAUGGACCAAGGAGUAUAUUUUGGGCUUAGGGUGAGGCCCAUUAAAGGAUUGGGCCCAAUGUAGCAAAUUGGGCCAUUAGUGGGUCACCAGUGGGCUUGAGAAGCUUACCUAGUGUUGGGCCUUAGUCAUGGACCAGAUUGGGUUAAGGGUAAAAUGGUCAAUUUACCCUUAGGAGAAUAUUGUUUUGGGCUAAGUGUUAUUGUGGUAUUGAUAGUUUGGGGAGCUAGAGGAGCAGCAGUGCGGGGAUUGUCAGAUAGCAGCCAGAAGGGUACCAACAGUGUUUCAGCAGUUCAAGUUGAGUUAUCCUCACUAUAUCGACAGGGUCUACGGCACCAAGGCCGGCCCUUUAUCGGAUGGAAAUCUUGGUAGUUGUUGUUUUGUUAUUGCUUUGCUAUGUUUGCAUCAUGGUAGUUAGGAUGAUAUGUGUUAGAGACCUGGUUAAGGUCGGUACCCGGGAUAUAAGGUAAUGUUAUGCUAGUGACCGGUUAGGUCGGAAUCCUGGUUAGGAUAUUGAUAUGCUAUGUGAUCUGUUAGACUGUUUGUCUGGUUGAGGAUUGUAUAUGAUUAUAUGUUUAUGUGCACAUGAUUGUUGGACUGGGGUUGGGUUGAAGUGGGUCCUGCUUUGUGCUGUAGGCCAACAUACCCAGGGCGGACCGGAUAUUCCGAAGGCCCAACGAGCGAUCCGGAUAGGCUGAAGGCCCUAAGAGGGCGGACCAGACGUGCCGAGGCUCGGAGAGUGGACCAGGCCGACUAAAGGCCCGGAGCGGGCGGACCAGUCAUACUGUAGACUCAGAGAGUGGAACAAGUGGAUUGAAGGCCCGGUGCGGGCGGACCAAUCACACUGUAGACUCGAUGUACAUGCCUAGACUCGGAGGGUGGACCAGGUGGACUGAAGGCCCGGUGUGGGCGGACCAGUCAUACAGUAGACCCGAUGUGCGUGGCUGUUCUAUUUGUGAUAUGAUAUGAGUAUGUUAUUAUGUGUGGUUGGUAUUUUGGGGGUAACUCACUAAGCUUUCGGGCUUAUAGUUGUAGUGUUAUGUUUCAGGUACUUCAGGAGAUCGUGGCAAGGCGAAGGCGUGAUCGUACCGCUCCUCAUGUUUUAUGAUUUAAGAGAUAUGGUUAUAGGGGAAACUCUGAUAAUAAACUAUUUUGAAAACGAGAUGUAUGAACUUAAUGGUUUUGAAAUGAAUUAAAAUGUUUUAAUUUGGCUUAAUUUUUUUGGAUGUUAUACUCUAUAAGCAAUCCCCCCAAGUCAAUCUACAAUCUAUAUAAGAUAAUUCACAUGUAUUUGAUACCCCACCACAAGCUAAAAGCAUCAUCACAAAUAAUUAAUGUCAAAAUAAUAUUCAAAUGGAGAAUCAUGUUGCCUAUUGUACACUCUUAAACACGGAACACCUAAAUAAGGUUAUGACAAAAAUAAUAUUUUUUUAGUUUAUAAAAUAUAAAAAUUAUAGUUUGGCUAAAAGAAUUAAUUUUCUUUUACAAAGAUUUAAAUCACUAAAAAUUACACGGUUAAAACUGGUAAUAUUGCAAUUUUUCAUUCCAUUUAAUGAUGGAAUGAAAAGAAAUCACCCCCUCUAAUAAGGUUUGAAAAAUAACAAAAAGGAAGGAAUCACAUUUCCUCUAUAAUGCUCACAUUCCAUUCUGUCAGCCAAUUCAAAAUGUUUCUUUCAUUCAAAAAGUUUUUUCAUUAAAAUGGAAUGAACCAUUUCGUUUUUUUUUUUCUAAUUAAGUAAAUUUAGAAUCUUACAUGAUUAAGUGGAUUAUCCUCUAGUGGGCUUGAAUAAGCUUUUUCAGCCUCAACCCAUGCCCUUUGCUUUAAGUAACAUGUCUUCUAACCUUCCUUCAAUAAUCAACUGGUUAAUUUUUUUUAAAGCACAACACCUUAAUAAAAAAGAAAGUAUAAAGUAAAGUAAUUGUCCAUUUCUGAGCAGGGGCAGAAUGGUUAUAAAAAAAUUUGGAAGUGCAAUGCAUUUUCACCCAAAAAAUAUCUUUUAUAAACUUUUCUUAUGUCAAACUCAAAAAAUUUGUAAACUAUAAGGAUACCCUUUUCUCUAAUGAAACCAAUCCCCAUCAAACUGCAUCCAAAAUCAAAAUUAACACAACUAGAGGACUAGAAUUAUAGUUACACCAGGUCUUAGAUCCAUUAAACUCCAAAAAGGACCAAAAUACCCCUUGGAAUUUUUAUUGUACCAGAUCUUUAGAACAUGAAACCAACUCUUUCUAAUCCCUUGCCAACAAUAGUCACAGUGUUUUAUAAAAUCUUGAAUAUACAUGUCGCAUUUAACAGUAACCCACAAAAGACAACAAUGCCCUUUGUUUUUAUUUUCGCACCAAGCCGUUCCUCAGUAUUGUACUUUGUUCCAGUAAACCUAAACCCCACAAAAUUGCACCAAAGAACAAGGAUGACACAAAUAGAACAAGUUUCCUUCAUUUAACUCAAGUUUUAUACGCUACACUACAUCCUAAAUCCACAUUAUAUCAUAUAGCUAUAUUGAUUUGGAUUAUCUAGCAUAUACAAAUUUCCAAUAACAAAAAUACCCUAGAAAUAAUUCAAAGUGCAAGUAACUUUUAAAUUUUAUAAGAUAGACUUACUUACUUCAUCAUGUAGGGAAGAUGCCUCAUGUUGACCUCCCAUAUCUUUAUCUACACGUCCAAUAUCCUUUGCAAACUUAAAAUGUAAACUCAUACAGUCACAUAUUUAAUAUCUUGUUAUAGUUAUACUAUUACAACAUUAUAACUAUGCAUUUGUUACCUAUUUUGAUCAUGUAUGUUGCCAGUAGGCGGAAUAACUUGUCCUGUUCACCAAGGUACAUUUUAAAUAGGUUGAAAGUACAAUGUUGUUAUAGAAAAAGAAAUGGAAGCUAAAUGCUAUAAUACACAAAUAAACACACAUGUGAUGCUAUUUAUUGUAUCUAUAAAAGCAUCAGUUGACAAAAACAAUAAAACAAUCAACAACCACCAAAAUAGAUUUCCAGAAACAGUUUAGUUUACAAAGUGUAGAACUACAUACACAGGUAAUGUAUCCAAUGAAAAUGAUAUUUUGCAAGAGAAUAUGAUUUUCAUUUAUACCAAAAUAGGGAAAUUUUGGUUACCCAAAUCAUAAUAGUUUGAGCUUUUGUAUGUGACCUAAACAUAGACCACGUUCUUAAAUUGAUACAUAACAAGUCUGAUAGCUUAAAGAACUAUUUAGGCUGGAGGGAGUCGGCCGCUACGAACGCUCGCCAAGUGCUCGCUAAGCACGUUGCACACCACCCCUAGCAUGCGCUACGGGCUUGCUACCGAUGAGUUGCUAGGAGUAUAGCGAGAGGAGAGAGAGGGUUUGGUUUGCAGUGAUUGGUGCUAGCGGAUCCCACUUCACAUUUGACAAAUUCAUAAAAAAAUCCCUCCGUUUUUGGAUGUUGGUAGGUGUCGAAGCUUUGAUUUUUGUUGUAAAAUUUGGUGCGUUUAAACAGAGAAUUGAGGAAGAAAGAUAAAGAACUUACAUAUAUGGUCCUUAAAGUUUCAGUAAUUUGGUAUUUUUUUUUCCCAAAAUUUAAACAACUUGAUAUCCAAAAAUAGAAACCUUUUUAUUUAGUAUUAUAUUUUAAAUUAGUGUAACCUUUUUUUAUUUUAAUAGUAAGUGUUUGUAUUUAAAAAAAUAGAAUUUAUGUAAUAUUAAAUGCUUGUGUAUUAAUAAAAAGAAUUUAUGUAAUAUUAAAUAUUUGUGUAUUAAAAAAAAAUAAUUUAAUUAAAUUUGAAAAAGAAAAAAAAACAUGAAAUGCUAGUAGUAUUACCACUAGAUAUGAAAUGCUAAGAAUUAAAUGCUAAGACAAAAAAAAUGAUGUGGCACUCAAAAAGGUGAUAUGGUAGGAGUGUUACCGCUCCCUCUAGCCUUAAGAUAAUGAAUUUGGAAGCAUUUACAAUGGAUUUCCUUAUCUGAUUGAAGAAUAAAUUACAAGAGGAAAUAACAUAAAACAAAUAAACUCACUGUCAAAAGACAAAUCAUAGAGAUUCACAGCCACAUAAAAAGAAAAAAAAUCGGAAUUAAACCUAAAAAAAUCGGAAACAUAGAAAUACACACAAUUGAGAGAGAUAUCGAGAGAGUGAGAGGGAUACCAGAAACACAAUGACCAUAAAUGGUAGAUGUGAUGAACGUAGAAGGAGAGACGAAUGGAGAUAUGAAUAUGGUCUACAUAUCAGUGUGAAUAUGAAUGUCGUCACCAAAAUAGUUUGUUUCGAGAUGGCCUGUCGAGCUUUGGGCACGCUUCCUCAGUUUUGGGCUUUCAAAUACUACUUCAACUCCUCUACCCAGUCUGGCGUGCAUACGUUCUCUUAGCGGUGAGGCAUCCAUGCAUUCAUCAUAAACCAGAAAGCCCCUAAGAAGAACGGGUAUGACAAAUAGCUAUGGGUGAACCGUAACUUGGUCGGUUUUGGCUAUCCCAGUCGAACCAGUUUCUCUGACCGGAUGCCUCAACACUUAAGGCAGUUAUGCGAUGGGAGAUGCCGAGAUCGCCAUCCGAGAUUAGGAGUUUUAUGGGAUUAGUUGGAUACUAUACGAGAUUUAUCAAGGAUUUCUCCAAGAUUGCGAUUCCUCUCACCAGAUUGACCCGGAAGGGAGAUUGUGUGAAGCUCAUUCGAGAUCUGAGCAGCAGGCAUCAUUCGAGACCCUUCGCCAGAGAUUAUGCGAAGCUUUGGUGUUGGACCUUCCGGAGGGAGUGGAGGACUUCAUAGUCUAUUGCGAUGCGUCUAUUUCAGGGAUGGGUGCGGUGUUGAUGCAGAUGGGUCACGUGAUAGCAUAUGCGUCGAGGUAGCUGAAGCCUCAUGAGACGAGGUAUCCCACCCAUGAUUUGGAGUUAGGAGCGGUGGUGUUCGCCCUCAAGAUCUGGUUCCACUACCUUUAUGGUGUCUGGUGUACUAUAUACACGAACCAUAAGAGCUUGAAGUACCUGAUUGACUAGCCCAACCUGAAUAUGAGACAGAGGAGAUGGUUGGAUGUAGUGAAAGACUACGAUUGUGAGAUCUUAUAUCACCCAGGCAAGGCUAAUGUGGUAGCCGAUGCCUAGAGUGACAGAGUUAAGAGCGCUCCGAUCCAGGACGUGUGUAUGAGGAUCACAGUUAUGACUCCAGUCUUAGAUACCAUCUGAGGGGCUCAGGUGGAGACUACGAGACCGGAGAACCUUAAGAAAGAGCGUGUGAUUGGGCAGGUUUUCGAGUUUGUGACAGACAGUAAUGGGCUUAUAACUUUCCACGAGCGGAUUUGGGUGCCCUAUCGGUGGGGCUUGCCGUAUUCUGAUGGAGGAGGCACAUAUAUCGACGUUUUCAAUCCAUCCAGGUGCCACCAAGAUGUAUUUGGACCUGAAGAGAGACUAUUGGUGGCCCUGUAUGAAGAGGGAUGUGGCAUGCGUAGUUGAGAGGUACUUGACCUGUCGCCGGGUUAAGGCUGAGCACCAACGUCCACAUGGUCCGUUACAACCUUUAGAGAUUCCCUGGUGGAAGUGGGAACAAAUCACCAUGGAUUUCAUCACCAAGCUUUCGAGGACCGCGCGUGGAGUAGACGCGAUAUGGGUGAUUGUACUCGCUAUCAGCAAGAGUUCGUUUGCAGAGAAAUUGGCCAAGAUCUGUGUUUGAGAGGUGAUGGCACGGCAUGGAGUGCCAACCUCGAUAGUAUCGGAUCGAGACGUGUGUUUUACUUCUAGCUACUAAAAAUAAAUUUCAUGAGGAGCUGGGUACCCGGUUGCAUUUUAGUACUGCAUACCAUCCACAAACAGACAUGCAGAGUGAGUAGAUGAUUCAGACGCUUGAGGACAUGUUGUUGUUGGAUUAGUGUCUAAGUCCAUAACUAUUUUGGUAUGAACUUAACCCGAUGGUGCAUGGUCCUUUUGGGUUGCCUUCACCAAAGCAACUUGAUAGGAUGAAUUAUGGAAAGAAAGGAUUAAAUAUGAUUUAUUAAUAUAUUAUGAGAAUAUUAGAUUAAAGGAGAAAUCAUAUUGUUUAAUUAAUAUUAGUCAAGAAUUAAUAAGAAUUAAGUUUGUGGCUAAAAAAGAUUAAUUAAACUUAAGGGUCUAGAAUUGUAAUUAUAAGAUAAUUGAAUUUGGGCUAUGGAUGACCUUAUAAUAUAAGGUUGGAUGGAUUCUAUGGGGAAACCCAUUAGAAAUCGUCCUAGGGCCUUUAAGGAAGAAGUCAAUGGGUUGCUUAGGGCUUAAGCAUCCAAAUUAGGGUUUCCUUGUUAGAUAACCCUAAUAGCCUCUCUAUUUAAAGAACCCUUAUGCCCCAAAAACGUGGUGAACUAAUUGGUUAGGGUUUCCACACGUUUUGGGCAGCCUCCUUCUCCUCUCUUCUUCAUCCUCUUGCUCUUGGUGUUUGUGAACCAUUAGAGGAGUGACAUUUGUGACUCUAAGCUUUCUAAAGUCAUUACAAGGAGGAAUUGCAAUUGUUAUUGCUACAUAACAAUCAAGGUAAUAUCUUAAACCCAUUCUUAUGUUAAUAUUGAUUAUCAUAUGCUAGAUCUAGGGUUUAAAGUCUUGGAUGAAUAGCAUGUACAAUAGAGAAACCUAGAUCCGAGCAUUAGGGUUUGUAUGAGCACAUAGGAUGUUCUUGUGACCAAAACCCGUCAGUGGUAUCAGAGCUUUGAUUGGUUUCUAUUGUAUUGAUGCCUUGUUCAAGCUAAAAAUUGAUUUUUUUUGGCCUCUGCCCGACCUGACUCGGUGAGUCAAUUGAUGAACUCGGCGAGUCCAAUCCCUGACUCUGCGAGUCCAAGCGUCAGACAGAGGGAAUAUCGGGAUUUCUUGCUGUUUUGCUAAAGGAUUAAUACCAAAAACGUAUUUUUAUGAUAAAAUCCGAUUUUUAUUAUAUUUGGGUGAUUAUCCUUCAUAAAACAAAAGAUAAUUACCUAUUGAUUGGAUAAUAACUUCCUUAUAUGAUAAAGUUUGAUUAUUUGUAUUAAUUGGGUAUCUUGUUUUCAAGAAAUUGAAAUUAGGUCAAAUAUAGAUAAUGAUGAAAUUGAUUGUUUAAUUUAUAUUAUUUGUUAUUUGAUCCUUGUAUUAUGAAAAUUUUCAAUUUUUCCCCUUUAGGUUUUAUAGUUUAAAUUUGAACUUAAAAGUUUUGGUUUUGAAAUUUAAAUAGUUAAAACCCUAAUGUUUUAAAAUGUUUCAAAACUUGCCCUCAAGUUUUUGGAAUUUAAAAGUUGAUUAAAAGUUUAAUUUAGAAAUGUUAAAUUCUAAAACCCUAGUAUUGUUUUGAAAAGUUCAAAUCACACCCUUAUGGUUUUAUUAAUUAAUUAAGGUGUAUAAUUAAAAGAGAUUUAAUAAAUCCAUAAAGUUUUGGUUUACAUUUAAUUAAAUUAAAAGUAUAAUUUACUAAAUUAGACCACCUAGUAUUUUAAAAGUGUAAAAUACACCCUAUACUAUAUAUAACAUUAAAAGUCUAAUAUUAUAUAUGUAUGAGUAAACAGUCAGUCUUACCGUUAGUAGGCCUCAUUCACGAAGCUGGUCUAUAAGGGGUGUUUAAGGAAAUUGCCUAUAAAAUGGCGAUUGAAUGGGUAUCCACUCUUACCCACCGCACUCUUGACUAGUGGAGGGUCGUUAGCCGAACGGGUAGGAUAGGACAAAACCUUCCAUUAUAAGUAUAAUGAAGUAUAAAAGUAACUAAAUGUUUUUAUAAAAUUCCCAAUCUUAGUUACUUAGGCAAAAGUGAAUUGAUGCAAUUCCAUGAAAUUACACUUUGUGCCCUUGCGAAGACGUUAGUGGAGCGUGUGUGGUUAACCGGCACACUAAAUGGUUCUAAGCAAAGGUAGCAAAGGGUGACUCAAUGUUUGUCAUAGUUCGGUGGAGCGUGUGUGGUUAACCGGCACAUCGAAUAGGUGACUGUAACAUGUGGGGGCACCAUGUAAGUUUGCAUGGUUAUUCACACCCUCUUUUGUGAUCCUCGGCAUCCCAGUCACAAAUCGAGGGGCAUAUCGAGAUUUAAACAUGCCAUUGAAAAGUUCAAUGAAUCUCAAAAGAUCUAGGAGUUUUCAAUACAUUUAAAACUUAAAUUUCUUUUUCGUUUUUCAUGGUGGAAAUUAGUGAAUCGUCAUUCACUUACCUUCAAAUAUUCUGCAAUUAGGGUUACGGCAUCCCUCUCCCGAGUUGUAGAAUAUUGUGUUGGGUCCUAGCCUUAGUAUCUCAUUUGGGUGAUUUACUAAGGACUCAAUCAAUCAACUAACUUGAAUUCGUUUUCUCCCGUUUUGUAGAUGUCAAAGUUCGACAACUAUGGUCUUCUCAAGUCCCGUGGAACAAGCAUUCCACAUGAAGAUGAUAUUUUACGAUUCGAUCGAGGAACAAGAAAUCAAGCUUCACUUCCUCCUCCUCCUCCUGUUGUUCUCCCUAACCCACAAGUUCAAAGGCUUGAAAAGUUCAAGAUCACUCAAGCCCUUUUGGCAAGUAAACAUAAAGAAGGAAAGUCGGUGUGUGCACACGUCCUAGGGAUGAAGUCACACAUUGAUAGGUUAAGAAUGUUGGGAUCCGUUGUCUGUGAGGAAAUGGCUGUUGAUUGGGUUCUUCAGUCACUUCCUAACUCAUAUAGUGAGUUCGUAAGAGAGUACUAUAUGAUGAACCGCGACGUGACCCUUAUAGAUCUCACCUAUAUGCUUAUUGCUGCUGAAUCAGCAAUGGUUUGGCGCAAUAGAAAAGCAAAGUUGAUUGGUGAAUCUGCCUUCAAGACCUCUAUGGAUAUAGACAAUGGCAACGAAAGACAUGCUAUGAUCGAAAAGUUUGAUCAUAAGAGAAAGGCAAUGUCUGAAGUAGUUCCAUGUCAUGUUCCAAAAGAGUCAAUUUGCUUUUAUUGCCAAGAGAAAGGGCAUUGGAGACGAAGCUGCCCCAUUUACCUAAGAGAUCUAAGAGAUGGGAGAGUCGAAACGUAUGGCUCUAAUAUAGGUAAAAUCCAUUAACUAACUCUUUUAAGCUUCUAUUCUAGAUUCUUAAUACAUAAUGUGAUAAGAUUACAAUUGAUGUUUUGUAGGAUCGAAGAAAAGAAAGGAAGCUUAAGGGAAGAAGUGAGCAGAAUCUAACCGUGAAGGAAUGGAUUUCGAUCGCAUUUCUCGAAGAUUAGAUUCUUGAGCUACUACUUAGAGUUAGAAUUAGAUUGCUAAGAAAGAUGUAUUAGCAUAGUUUUUCAAUGAAUUGCAUUGUAAGGACAAAUUUUUCCGCAAUAAAAUAAAUUUUGUUUUUAUAUUAUUUAUUUAUCCUUGCAAUGGCGUGUAUGAAAAAUUGAUGUUUGAAUGUUUCUAUUAUUAGCAAUAAUGGAUGUGAUUCUUAAUUAUGUUAUUUGUGGAAAUGUCGAGAAUUUACCAAAUAGGGAGAGUUUCUCAUCGCCCAAGUUUCAAUUGGACAGAAACUUGGAAUCAUGCAACUUGGUUGCAUGAUGAAUGAGAAAUUUCAUAUUUGGAAAUUAGACUAAUUCGUUGACAAAGUGUCAAGUGAAGGACUAGGAGAUCGAGUACACAAAGUUGUGUGUUGAUCAAGUCCACCACAAGAGUAACAAAGAUAUUCGUCAUGAUUUACUAAAGGUUUAGUAAAUAUGAUUAUACUUAUAAGAUUAAGUGUAAUUCCGAGUUGAUUUGAAAGAGUUUAAAUCAAUAGCAGAACGAAUAAGAAGAAUCAAGUAGGCAGAAAGAUAAAAGUUUCUCUAUUCUAAGAAGAAGGGAGAGUACCUUUUAUUAUGUUUUAUGAUAGGUCUUAAUGAUUAAGAACCAUAUCUCAAUUGAUCCUCUAAGUGAGUCUUUGUGCAAUUGUAUGUCUAAGAAGAGGAAUCGAGAAUUGAAGAAAUGGUUAAAUCAAGAAGUCAAUCAUACUUCGUUCCAAAACAAGUCUUAAAGUUAAGAUUAUGAUAUUAAGUGACAAGUCUUAAGAAGGUUUAUAACACUCAUCAAUUGUAGAAUAUGGAAAAGGUUUUUCUUAUUCUUGCACAUUUGAAAUUGGAAAGUUGUGAUGUCUUGGAUAAGACAAAGAUCAACUAGGACCAAAUUUUGUGAAGUGUUUUGUCUUGAUAAAAACUACACUAACUCUUGAAUAUUCGUUUGUCAAGAAAUGUUUUAUUGACAAGAGAAUCUUAUAUGUCAAGGAGUCAGUGGGAGUCUUAAUGAUCUUGAAAAGUUUCAAGAACUAAUCAAGAAUAAACCUUAUCGAUCAUCACUAGCACACGAGUUGAGGUUUACAACCUAUCGUGUUGACACUAUCUUGUUUCUGUGCCGUUCCAAUUGAGUUAAUUAUGCAUGUGAGUUCUAUGAGUUCUCAUUUGAAUGCAUAAAAGGCAAGGACCUUGAUCAAUGAAAAGUACAUUGAUAGGAAAGGGUGAUCUGCUUAGCUACUUGGAAGACAUGGUGGGCAGCCGUGUUACCAUAAGGCAAGAAAUCAAGAUUGAGAAAGUUCGGUCCAUAAGAGUUUGGAUUUGUCGCAAACUUUGGUUUUGACAAUUCGCAUGGAUAUGAACACAUACACCAUUGAAAUCUAAAUGUCAUAAGAUUUUCUCCUUCAUGAAAAUGACUGUGAGGAAAUGCUUUCACUAAGAAAGAUUUUAAGAAGAUAGUGAUUGUGAAAUUGUAUUCUCGAAUUCAAUUAUGGUUACGGUAUCCCUUUCCAUGAUUCGAAUUGUGAGAUUUGGCAAUUAGUCUUAAUAUUUUAGACACACAUAUGAGUUAUCUAAGGCAAAGGUGUAUAAGUUUGAGAAGCUUUGAUAAAAGAUUAUCAUAGCAUUAAGUAUUAGAAACAUGAACUUAAAGAAAUUCAAUAGGCAUUGUUUUUCUGAAAGUUAAGCUGUUUUUGAAUACAUGUCAAAACUAGUGGGAGCAUAAGUGUUAUGUUUGUAAUAAUCAUCAUGAUAGUGGUAGCAUAAAUGUUAUGAUUGGAUGAUUAUUAAGGCAAGUAUUGCAAGUUAGCAAUAUUAAUUAUAGAAAACAAUAGUUAUACUUUGCAAAGUCGUAAGGGUUGAAAAGUUGUUUUGCUAUAAUUAAGGGAAAGAAUAUUAUGCUUCAUUUCAAAUCUAAAGGCUUAGGUUGUGGAAUGUUAAUAAANGUGGAAUGUUAAUAAUAUUAGUCAAAGAUACAUAGUGUGUUCCUAAAUUUCGAUUAUGAUUACGAUAUUCCUCUUCAUAGUUCGAAUUGUAAGAACGAGACACAUAAAAUAUUAUGGCAGAAAAUUGAUAAAGUAUCAUAUCUUUAUGUAAGACAUUAUGCGUCGUGUCCUAUACACUUUGGGUAUAGGAUUGAUUGCUAGUGCUAUAAUAUUUGACCAUUUUAAAAUUUUCCAAAUGUCUAACGCAUUUAGAAGGAAAAAGUACUAGAAUUGGUUUUGAAUAAGAUAGGCAAACAACUAUCAAAGGAAGAUCCAAAGCUUGCUGAGGAUUGGUCGCUUGUGAGUAGUUGGAAGUAUGGUAUUGGAUAGAGCAUAUCGACAUUAUUAUGAAUAGAUAAGAUUCUAUUAAGAAUGAGUUGUGAUAUGGUAAGUAUGGAAAGGUUUCCAUAUUGGGAGUUAGAUAUUGAGAAUCUAUGUCUAGAUUAGAAACUUUAUGCAAAAGGAUGUUCAAAGAAAUGUACUUUGAGUGAGAGACAUCACAUCUAUGGAAUUGUCUUGUAACAAUCUCCGAUAGAGGACUUUGUAAUAUCAUUGGCAAUAGUCAUUGUGACUUUAGUGCAGUGACAUUACGAAAGGAUCAUUGCAUAAAAUGUUAGAAUCUAACAUAUUCUAUAAGUGGCAAGAAUUUGAUAUUCUAUCACUUGUGGAAAGGAUUAGGAGUUGUGAAAUGAGUAUGAUUGGAAAUGUGUUCAUUUGAUCUAUUUCACAAAGUAAGAACCAUAGGUAAACAUUGUGUGUAUGUUGAGAGCAUGAGACAAGUGUUGUAAUUCAAGUAAGAAGUUGAUUACCCGAAACAACAAAUAAUGAGUAUUCGAUAUGGUGAUAAAUAAAAGGUGUUUUAUUUAUACUCAAAGGUUUGAGGUCAUAUGGGAUUAGCAUUAUUCUUGUGUUUCACUUUGCAUGUCUUGACUUCCUGAAUAAUUUAAUUGGUUAAGAACAGUCAAAUUAUUCAAACGGGCCACAGUCGUUCAUAUGUUGGAAGUAGGUAUGAAUGAAGACUGUCGUGAAUUGGUGUGUGGAUUGUCUAAAGAGUAUUAGACAUAAGCAAAUGUUUGCUGCAACGUUCAUGAGUGCUUAUGAAUAUGAUUUGAGCAUUGGAUUAAACCCACGCUCACUUGGAUCACUUCAUGGAUUUUAUCACGAGUGAUUGGUGAGACGAUAACAUCUUAUAUUCUUGAAACCGAGAUGUGUGAGUUGUAUCUUGCGAGUCGGUUGCACAUUGAUAAUAUGUAAACGCACCAGUAACUUGGUGUUAUAAAACAUAUUGUUGUGUGUGAUUUGGUGAGUGAGUGCAAGCGAGCAUUGAGUCAAAGUUUAUCCGUUCCUUUUAUCCAAAGUAGGAUAAAAGCAAUAUCUGUGGGCCCCUCGAUGAUUUAGUGAUGGCACCUAAGCGCUUGGCCAAGCCGGGACUAAAUUGAUGUGUUCAAUUGUAGUCUGUUGUUAGUCGUCAUAAAUCUGAAUUCGGGAAACAACACAUAGACAGAGAGAAUGAUUUAAGAUCCAUGUCUCAGUCUAUACGAUAAUGUCUAGAAUGGAGGAAUAUAUGAUCCCUUAUCUAAAGGACACACGUAUUUGAUAAGAUCAGAGUUGACAAUGGCUUUAGAAAACUAUGAUUGCAGAUCAGGAUCUGAAGUCAUACGCAGAAUAGUUGUUUGACUUAUCCAAGUGGGAGACUGUUGGAUUAGUGUCUAAGUCCAUAACUAUUUUGGUAUGUACUUGACCCGAUGGUGCAUGGUCCUUUUGGGUUGCCUUCACCAAAGCAACUUGAUAGGAGGAAUUAUGGAGAGAAAGGAUUAAAUAUGAUUUAUUAAUAUAUUAUGAGAAUAAUAUAUUAAAGGAGAAAUCAUAUUGUUUAAUUAAUAUUAGUCAAGAAUUAACUAGAAUUAAGUUUGUGGCUAAAAGAGAUUAAUUAAACUUAAGGGACUAGAAUUGUAAUUAUAAGAUAAUUGCAUUUGGGCUAUGGAUUACCUUAUAAUAUAAGGUUGGACAAAUUCUAUGGGGAAACCCAUUAGAAAUCGUCCUAGGGCCUUUAAGGAAGAAGUCCAUGGGUUGCUUAGGGCUUAAGUGUAGGCAUUUAUAUUGAGUUGAUAGUCUAUGUUAACAUUUGUAAAUCAUUUUGAAGAAAUGAAAAGGAAUUAUGUGAAUAUUAUGUGAAUUAUGUGUUUUAUGCUUAAUUAUUAGGGCAUAAUGAAUUAAGAAUAAAAAUAAGCGUCAAAAUUAAAGUGUGAGAUAAGUCCGAUAUCUUUACAUAAAGUUUUAGUGGUCGAAACAAGGAUUUUGGGGAUAUAAAGAAUACCAAAUUCCGAGUUAUAACGAAGAAGUUAUGACCUGUCGAAGUUUCGCAACAAAACCGGCACAGUGCUGAAUGUCGUAAAAAGUGAGUUUUUGAUAAACUACAUUUUAGCCUUAGUAAUAUAAACUAAAGUCGUAGUAUUUGUUAAACCGAGAAGUUCGAUAAAAAAGAACGCCCAAAUCUGACUUCGUAUGAGGAAGUUAUGAUUUUUCGAAGUCUCAGCUUAGCAGUAGACAGCUAAAAACUCGAAUUUUAGAUCGAGCGAUUUUUAGCCGACACAACCUAAAUGAGAAUUGAAGGUCUCGUCAUUAGGAGCACAACGGUAAAAAGUCUGACGAAAACGGACGUCGGAUGAAGAAGUUAUGAAUUUUUGGCGCAAAAAUCGAGAAAAUUUGCAUAGUCACGAGUUGCCACAUCAACCUCGCUGAAAAAGUGCCACGUGUCCUGCUGAGUCACCAGGCCGCUGAGUAACCAACCUGCUGAGUCACCGAGCUGCUGAGUCAUUCGAAGCCGUGGCACAUCCGAGAAGUGACGUGUGUGCAGCCUAGUUUCGAGCCUCGCAUAGCCUAGCUCCGAACCUCGCAGGUGCACCAGUAGGCCGCGGUCCAAUCAAAAGCUGCCAGCGAGCCCUCGCAGGUGCGACCCAUGUGUGAGCCAUGCACAGCCCUCGUGCGAGCCACCUCCUCUGCGAGCUUCGGAUCCAUGACGCGUGUCUUCCUCCUGACCAUCCGAUCAGAAGCCUCGCCCCUAUAAAUAGAAGGGUGCGAGACCUCUUAGGUAAUUUUAGAAUUUUGCCAUAUUUAACCCCUAAACCCAUAUUUUCUUCAUCUUAACAUCCCGCAAAGCCCCGAUAUCGAUUGUAAAGCCCGGAAUACUCCACGAAGUGCCCGAGAAGCCCGAAAAAUUUAUCUUUUCGGUUUCGAAGCCCGACUUUUGCAGAGCCCGGUUUCUCAAUAAAACUCCCGAUUUUAUUAGAAACAAUUGUUUUAGGAAACGGAUUGCUGCCCGAUUUUCAUCAAAAUAAGUGAGUGUGUAGUUACUUUCAAUUUACACAAAGAUAUGAAGUAUUUACCUUGAAAUACGUGUUAUGUGUAAAUAUAUUAAUUGUUUAAUUGAGGUGACUGUUGAAUUGAUGUUUUAUACAAGUUUUAAACUGUAUAUGCUUUUUAUCUACAAAAUAUGUUGGGUAGAACAUGGGUAGAUGAAAUAGUUGAUGUGUGUUAAAAAGGUGAGAGGCCUCGAUGUCGAUGUUGUGUUGUUGUUGUAGUCAUCUAGCGAAGUAUAGAUGACGACCACGGACUUUCUAGAUAGUCCAGUGGAACACUAGCAGGUUCGCAACUUGUAGGUGUUGAUGAAUUAAAUGUUCAUUGGCAUACUUCAUCCCCCUCAUGGUUGCCUUAAGGACAUGUAUGGCUGAGGAAACCCCUUAGCAGUAGUGUCCAUCCCGAUGAUAAUCCUUAGGCUAGGUCCCUUGUGAUAGGUGUUUAGGGACGUAAAGUGAGGACAACGGGAAUGGGUAAUCAGGGUUAUUGUUGAUUGGUGAACUUAAUAAGUAUAUUAUUAUUGUGGGUUGAAAACCCUAUAUGCUCACCAGGCUCCCAAGCCUGACCCACUCAGUUUUUUGAUUACAGGUAGUGGACCCCGAGCAUAGUCGGAGGAUGACGAGAGAUUUUUGGAUUAUAGGCUAGUAGUUGUAAAUAACUAUUGAAAGGCUUAUAAUGUCUUGUUUAUGCUUUUGAUCUGUAUCGGAACAUGACAUCCCGAGGUUUUGAUAUAUAUAUGGAAAAUAUAUACCUUCUUAAUGAAGGAUUUUGAUAAACUUUUAUCAUAUAUUGUUUGGGGACCAAUUCCGCAAUAUCUUAUAAAAAGAUUUCUCUGAUUUUAUUUUAAAAAGCAUAAAUUAAAUCGGUCUUUUCUGGCCGAGAAAUAUGGGGAUGUCACAGUUGGUAUCAGAGCAUUAGUUUAAGCGAACUAAGAAAUUGUAGAAUUUCUAGACUUGAACUUAGAAUGCUAAGUGAUGAUUGUGAGAUGAGUGUCUACCAUAUUUUAGACACGAGCACUAGUUUAUUUUAGGGAAGAUGCCUAAAAUGCCCUUAUGUGCUAAAUGCUAUGUGUUUGCCAUGUGUGCCAUUAUUUGUUCGGAUCUAUGGUCUGUUGCCGACCGGAUCUGGAAACCUUAUGUGUGUAGGAUUCUAAGCGUAUGAAUACGAGAUUAGAACUAACAUGUAAACGUUUCGGAGUGAUAAGGGAAUUGACAUGUCUAACAAGGAUAAAGACCUAAAUUUCGCCUUAUUCGGUAUAUAGAUUGUAAUGGCAAGAACUCGGAGUGGAGCUGGAAAUGCAAACAGAAACCAACAACCUCAACCCCAAGUGGUGGAACAGGUGCCUAUAGUAGGAGCUGCACCCGAAUCCAUCACCAUGGCUGGAGUACGAACUAUGAUUCAGACCAUGUUGGCUGAAUAGAGGGAAGAAUUGAGGCAAAUGUUGCUGAACGACAGGGAUGAACUUUCAGUUCCUGUUGAACAACGUGAGCUAAAUGACGAUCGGUCUGAAGAAGGGAACAACAGUAGAUCGGUUGGUCAUAGUGAACCGCUUGUGGUUGGGAGGAAUAACCACGAGGGUAGAAUGGAGAGAAAUGGGUGCAAGUAUAAGGACUUUAUGACUUGCAAGCCAUCGACCUUCAAUGGAAAAGAAGAUCCUGUCGGAGUAAUGGACUGGAUCUCGGAAAUGGAGUUGGCUUUCAUGACUUGUGAUUGCCAAGGCAAGUUACAAACUACGUUUGCAGUACGUCAGUUCAGGGGUAGUGCUGCUCGUUGGUGGAGCACUUUGGGGAAUACCCUAAGCCCUAAUGAGCCACUGCAAUUAACCUGGGCAGAGUUCUUAAUGCACUUCAAGCACAAGUACUGCUCGGCCCAAAAUGUACUUGAGUUAGAAAACCAAUUUCUAAUGUUGCAGAAGGGGAGUAUGACCGUUGACGAAUAUACGAAUAACUUCACAGACAAAAUGGAGUUUGCUUUGCGUAUUGUCCUAGAUGAGUUGGAAAAAAUGGAUAGGUACACAAAGGGACUUCCAUGGGAGUACGCGGUGCCAGUACAUCAGACACUUACUUUGGAGGCAGCUAUCUGGGCUGUCAAGUCUGUUGAAGAUACGAUAAAAGGGAGAGCCGCCAGCAAGGUUGAAGUUGGCGAAAAGAGAAAGUUUGAAGGAACUUCAGGUUCCAAUAAAAAGAACAAAUUCUUGAAGACUGGUUCGAGAAUGUUUGGAGGAAGAAGCGAAGCCAAGUGGUGUGACAAGUGAAGGAAGAAACAUGCUGGGAAGUGCAGCGUGGAAGUCACUUGUUACAAAUGUGGGAAGCCUAGACAUUAUGCCAAUGAAUGCACCUUCAAUAAGAACGUAUGUUUUGGGUGCAAUGAAGACGGGCAUAUUUUGAGGGAUUGCCCGAAGAAGAAGGGCGCAGCAAAACCCAAUCUACCACCAAAGCCGAAGGCGAGAGCCUUUCAUAUGACACUCGAAGCUGCGAAAGAAGAAGCCGAUGUCGCGUCAGGUACCUUUCUCGUAAACGAAUUGCCUGCCGAAAAUUUGUUUGAUUCUGGAGCCAAUUACUCCUUUAUCGCAUGAAUUUGGUAGAAAGCUAGCUUUGCCUGUAGAUAUGCUAGUUAAUGCUAUAAUAGUCGAGAUUGCUAGUGGCAAGUUUGUAUCUGUUAGCCAUCGUAUGAAAAACAUCCUUAUUGGCUUGGAUGGGAAUAAGUUCCAAGAGGAAUUUAUGCCUAUCGAGUUAAAUGGAUUCGACAUAGUUUUAGGAAUGGAUUGGCUUAGCGCCAAUGAUGCAGAAAUACUAUGUAGAAAGAAGAUAGUAAAAGUAAACCCGCCAGGGAAAGAGUCGUUUAUGGUGUACGGAGACAAACGCAGAGUAAACUCUGGAAUCAUUUCCCUAAUGAAAGCCAGAAAGUGUUUGGCCAAGGGAUGUACAUCAUAUCUAGCGUUCGUGAGUGAUGCUAAGAUGGAAAAGAAGGAGGUGCAGAAUAUUCCGGUGGUGUGUGAUUAUCCAGAAGUCUUUCCCGAAGAUCUUUCCGGAUUGCCCCCUGAUCGACAAGUAGAAUUUCGUAUCGACUUGUUACCAGGAAUGACGCCGAUAGCAAAAGCACCUUAUCGAUUAGCGCCAACCGAAAUGAAAGAACUUAUGACACAACUUCAGGAGUUAUUGGACAAAGGUUUCAUUCGACCUAGUUCAUCACCCUGGGGAGCCCCUGUGUUAUUUGUAAAGAAGAAAGACGGAAGCAUGAGAAUGUGCAUCGAUUACAGAGAGCUGAACAAAGUGACGAUAAAGAACAAGUACCCGUUGCCAAGGAUCGAUGACUUGUUCGACCAGUUGCAGGGUUCGAGCUAUUUCUCGAAGAUCGAUCUUAGGUCGGGAUACCAUCAACUAAAGGUGAGAGAGCAGGAUAUCGAAAAGACUGCUUUUAGAACGAGAUAUGGACACUAUGAAUUUUUGGUUAUGUCGUUCGGACUAACCAAUGCCCCAGCAGCUUUCAUGGAUUUGAUGAAUAGGGUUUGUAAACCAUUCUUAGAUAAAUCCGUGAUAGUAUUCAUAGACGAUAUCUUGAUUUAUUCGAAAAGCAAGCAGGAGCAUGAAAAGCAUCUGCGUGAAGUGCUAGAAGUCCUGAAAAAGGAGAAGUUGUAUGCAAAGUUCUCCAAGUGUGAAUUUUGGAUUCAAGAAGUCCAAUUUUUAGGUCAUGUGGUUAACCAAGAAGGGAUAAUGGUCGACCCAGCAAAGAUUGAAGCUGUAAUGAAGUGGGAACAACCAAAAAGUCCUACGGAGAUUCGAAGCUUUUUAGGAUUAGCUGGAUAUUACCGAAGGUUUAUCCAAGGCUUUUCUUCGAUUGCUACUCCAUUAACAGCUUUGACCCACAAAGGAGCUACUUAUGCUUGGAAUGAGAAGCAUAAGGAAGCCUUUGAGAAGUUGAAGAAGAGAUUGUGUGAAGCACCGAUUCUUUCAUUGCCUGAAGGAGUUGAUGACUUCGCAGUUUAUAGCGAUGCAUCUGGAGUUGGGUUAGGUUGUGUUCUGACCCAAAGGGAUAAAGUGAUCGCGUAUGCAUCGAGGCAAUUGAAGGAACAUGAAAAGAACUACCCCACUCAUGAUCUGGAGUUGGCAGCGGUAGUAUUUGCCUUAAAGAUAUGGAGGCAUUAUCUUUAUGGAACAAAGUGUAAACUUUUCACUGAUCAUAAGAGUCUCCAAUAUCUCUUUAAUCAGAAGGAAUUGAACAUGAGGCAACGACGCUGGCUAGAGUUACUCAAGGACUACGACUGUGAGAUACUUUACCACCCUGGUAAAGCAAAUGUUGUUGCUGAUGCUCUCAGUCGGAAGGUAAACCUUGAAAAGAAAAGGCCAAGAGCGUUGAGAAUUGAAGUUGUCUCGACAAUUGUGGAAAGUAUAAAGAAAGCUCAAGAGGAAGCUUUAGAGAAAAGUGACCGAAAGGAAGAACGUUUGGGCAAAACGUUAGUGUUCGGUACAAACAACCAAGGGUUGAAGGUAUUCCAAGAUAGGAUUUGGGUACCUAAGACGGGCGGAGUAAGAGAUCUUCUGAUGGAAGAAGCUCACAAGACCAUGUACUCGAUUCAUCCCGGCAGUACAAAAAUGUAUAGGGAUUUAAAACCCUAUUAUUGGUGGCCAACGAUGAAGCUUGAUGUUACUAAGUACGUGGCCGAGUGUGUAACUUGUGCUAGGGUUACGGCACAACAUCAGAAACCGUAUGGGAGUUUAGAACCUUUACUCGUACCCAUGGGUAAAUGGGAAGACAUCACCAUGGAUUUUGUGACUGAACUACCCAGAACAAGGAACGGUCACAACAUGAUUUGGGUGGUCGUUGAUCGCUUCACUAAGAGUGAGCAUUUCGUAGCAGCCAAAGAGAAAUGGUCUAUGGAUAAACUUGUGAAUUCUUACGUGAAGGAAUUUGUGAGGCUUCACGGUGUUCCGUUAACGAUUGUAUCCGAUUGUGACAGCCGUUUUACCUCAAGGUUUUGGAGGAGUCUACAAGAGGAAUUGGGUACCAAGUUGUGUUUGAGUACAGCUUACCAUCCGCAAACCGAUGGUCAGAGCGAGCGAACGAUUCAAACAUUGGAGGAUAUGCUGAGAGCAUGUACCCUAGAAUUCCAAGGUAACUGGGAUGAACACUUACCUUUAGUAGAAUUCUCCUAUAAUAAUAGUUUCCACUCAAGCAUUAAGAUGGCACCUUAUCACGCUUUGUAUGGGGAAAAGUGUCGAACGCCAUCAUGUUGUCUGGAAGCUGGGGAAAAGCAGUUUAUGGGACCUGAAAUAGUCCAUAAGACUGCUGAAAAGUUGAAAGUGAUAAGGGAAAGGAUGUUAGCUGCUCAAGAUCGACAAAAGAGUUAUGCUGACAAGAAAAGACAACCGAUAACCUUUGAAGUUGGAGAUUCGGUUUUACUUAAAGUCUCGCCGUGGAAGGGACUUAUAAGAUUUGGUAAGAGAGGGAAGUUGAGUCCAAGGUUUAUUGGACCAUUUAAAGUUCUUCAGAGGAUCGGGAAUCAAGCUUACAAGCUAGAGUUACCGGAAGAACUAGAGGGUAUUCAUAACACCUUUCAUGUGUGUUAUUUGAGAAAGUUCACAGGAGAUGUGCCCGACAUAAUUCCGAUUUCUGAGUUAAGGUUGGAUGAAAACAAGAGGUUGAUCGAAGAACCUGAGGCAAUCGUUGACCGUAAGACUAUGAAGUUACGACGCAAGAUGGUCGAUUUAGUGCUUGUGCGCUGGAAACAUACGAAUGGACCAAAUCUCACUUGGGAAACGGAGAGUGACAUGAUGAGUCGCUACCCGCAGUUGUUUGGUGAUAUGUGAUUCCGGGGACGGAAUCAUCCUAAGGGGGAGAGAAUUGUAACACUCGUGUUUCUAGCCUAGGCAUUUAUAUUGAGUUGAUAGUCUAGGUUAACCUUUGUAACUCAUUUUGAAGAAAUGAAAAGGAAUUAUGUGAAUAUUAUGUGAAUUAUGUGUUUUAUGCUUAAUUAUUAGGGCUUAAUUAAUUAAGAAUAAAAAUAAGCGUCAAAAUUAAAGUGUGAGAUAAGCCCGAUAUCUUUACAUAAAGUUGUAGUGGUCGAAACAAGGAUUUCGGGGAUAUAAAGAAUACCAAAAUCCGAGUUAUAACGAAGAAGUUAUGACCUGUCGAAGUUUCGCGACAAAACCGGCACGGUGCUGAAUGUCGUAAAAAGUGAGUUUUUGAUAAACUACUUUUUAGCCUUAGUAAUCUAAACGAAAGUCGUAGUAUUCGUUAAACCGAGAAGUUCGAUAAAAAGAACGCCCAAAUCUGACUUCGUAUGAGGAAGUUAUGAUUUUUCGAAGUUUCAGCUUAGCAGUAGACAGCUAAAAACUCGAAUUUUAGAUCGAGCGAUUUUUAGCCGACACAACCUAAACGAGAAUUGAAGGUCUCGUCAUUAGGAGCACAACGGUAAAAAGUCUGACGAAAACGGACGUCGGAUGAAGAAGUUAUGAAUUUUUAACGGAUUUCCUGUCCCGGUCUGUUAAAAAUAAUAAUAUAAAAUUUAAAGUCAAAAUUAGCCGACGAAGUCUAAACGGAAGUUGUAGAGCGUAAUUUUAGCUACGCGUGCAUAUAAAGAACGUCAAAAACGGAGCUCGUAUGCGAAAGUUAUGGAUUUUAGAAGUUUUGGCGCGAAAAUCGAGAAAAUUCGCAUAGUCACGAGUUGCCACGUCACCCUCGCUGAAAAAGUGCCACGUGUCCUGGUGAGUCACCAGGCCACUGAGUCACCAACCUGCUGAGUCACCGAGCUGCUGAGUCAUUCGAAGCCGUGGCACAUCCGAGAAGUGACGCGUGUGCAGCCUAGUUCCGAGCCUCGCAUAGCCUAGCUCCGAACCUCGCAGGUGCACAAGUAGGCCGCGGUCCAAUCAGAAGCUGCCAGCGAGCCCUCGCAGGUGCGACCCAUGUGCGAGCCAUGCACAUCGCUCGUGCGAGCCACCUCCUCUGCGAGCUUCGGAUCUGCAACGCGUGUCUUCCUCCUAACCAUCCGAUCAGAAGCCUCGCCCCUAUAAAUAGAAGGGUGCGAGACCUCUUGGGUAAUUUUAGAAUUUUGCCAUAUUUAACCCCUAAACCCAUAUUUUCUUCAUCUUAACAUCUCGCAAAGCCCCGGUAUCGAUUGUAAAGCCCGGAAUACUCCACGAAGUGCCCGAGAAGCCCGGAAAAUUUAUCUUUUCGGUUUCGAAGCCCGACUUUUACAAAGCCCGGUUUCUCAAUAAAACUCCCGGUUUUAUUAGAAACGAUCGUUUUAGGAAACGAAUUGCUGCCCGAUUAUCAUCAAAUCAUGUGAGUGUAUAGUCACUUUCAUUUUACACAUAGAUAUGAAGUAUUUACCUUAUAAUACGUGCUAUGUGUAAAUAUAUUAAUUAUUUAUUUGAGGUGAUUGUUGUGUUGAUGUUUUAUACAAGUUUUAAACUGUAUAAGUAUUUUUAUCUACAAAUAUGUUGGGUAGAACAUGGGUAGAUUGUGAUGUGUGAUAAAAUAAAAUUGAUGAGAGGCCUCGAUGUGUUUUGAGAUCCAGUCAUCUAGCGGAGUUUGGAUGACGACCACGGACUUUCUAGACAGUCCAGUGGGAAACAUUAGCAGGUCCGCAACCUGUAGGUGUUAAUGAACUAAGAGUGUUCAUUCGCUGUACUCCAUCCCCCUCAUGGUUGCCUUUAGGACAUGUAUGGCUGAGGAAACCCCUUAGCAGUAGUGUCCAUCCCGAUGAUAUUCUUUAAGCUAGGUCCCUUGUGACAAGUGUUUAGGGACAUAAAGUGAGGAUAACGGGAACGGGUAAUCAGGGUUAUUGUUGAUUGAUGAACUUAGUAAGUUUAUUAUUAUUGUGGGUUGAAAACCCUAUAUGCUCACCAGGCUCCCAAGCCUGACCCACUCAGCUUUUUAUGUUACAGGUAGUGGACCCCGAGCAUAGUCGGAGGACAACGAGAGAAUUUUGGAUUAUAGGCCAGUAGUUGUAAAUAACUGUUGAAAGGCUUAUAAUGUCUUGUUUAUGCUUUUGAUCUGUAUCGGAACAUGACAUCCCGAGGUUUUGAUAUAUAUGGAAAAUAUAUACCUUCUUAAUGAAGGAUUUUGAUAAACUUUUAUCAUAUGUUGUUUGGGGACCAAUUCCGCAACAUCUUUUAAAAAGAUUUCUCUGAUUUUAUUUUAAAAAGCAUAAAUUAAAUCGGUCUUUUCUAGCCGAGAAAUUAGGGGAUGUCACAUUAAGCAUCCAAAUUAGGGUUUCCUUGUUAGAUAACCCUAAUAGCCUCUCUAUUUAAAGAACCCUGAUUCCCCAAAAAUGUGGUGAACUAAUUGGUUAGGGUUUCCACACGUUUUGGGCGGCCUCCUUCUCUUCUCUUCUUCAUCCUCUUGCUCUUGGUGUUUGUGAACCAUUAGAGGAGUGACAUUUGUGACUCUAAGCUUUCUAAAGUCAUUACAAGGAGGAAUUUCAAUUGUUAUUGCUACAUAACAAUCAAGGUAAUAUCUUAAACCCAUUCUUAUGUUAAUAUUGAUUAUCAUAUGCUAGAUCUAGGGUUUAAAGUCUUGGAUGAAUGGCAUGUACAAUAGAGAAACCUAGAUCCGAGCAUUAGGGUUUGUAUGAGCACAUAGGAUGUUCUUGUGACCAAAACCCAUCAGUUGCGUGCAUGCGUUAUGGACUUCAGAGGAAGUUGGGACACUUAUUUGCCCUUGGCUAAGUUUUCUUACAACAACAACCAUCAUGCGAGUAUCGGUAUGCCUCCCUUUGAGCUUCUUUAUGGGAGGAGGUGUCAGACUCCCAUUUGUUGGGGAGAAGUAGGGCAGCGGGUAAUGGGGUGGCACUGAGAUAGUGUUGAAGACGACCGAGAAGAUUCAACAGGUCAGGCAGAGGUUUCUGACAGUCCAGAGUCGCCAAAAGAAUUACACGGAUCGCCGACGAUCCGAGCUAGAGCUCCAGGUUGGAGAUUUUUUUCUCCUGAAGGUAUCCCCUUGGAAAGGGGUGAUGUAACGCCCGCGUUUCCAUGCUAGGCAUUAUCGUUGAUGUAAUAGUCUAGGUUAACCCUUGUAACUCUUUUUGGAGUAUUAAUGAUGAAAUAUUUGAGUAUUAUGUGUUUAUUUUCUUAAUUAUUAUAAUUUAAUGAAUUAAGAAUAAAAUAAGCGUCAAAUUUGAAGUGUAGGAUAAGCCCGAUAUCUUUGGAUAAAGAUGUAGUGGUUGAAACAAGGAUUCCGAAGAUAUAAAGAAUGCCGAAAUCCGUGUUAUAACGAAGAAGUUAUGACCUGUCGAAGUUUCGCGAUAGAACCGACAACGCUGAAUGACGUAAAAAGUGAAAUUUACGUUAGAGAACUAUUUAGCCUUAGUGAUCUAAACAAAAGUCGUAGAGUUCAUUAAACCGAGAGCGUGCAUAAAAAGAACGCCCAAAUCUGACUUCGUAUGAGAAAGUUAUGAUUUUUCGAAGUUUCGACUUAGCAGUAUGCAACCCGAAUACUCGAUUUGAGACCGAGCGGUUUUUAGCCGAAACAGAGAAUCGAAGACCUUGUUAAUUGUAGUGAAACUAUGAAAAGAUAGGCGAAAACGGACGUCGGAUGAAGAAGUUAUGAAUUUAUAACGGAGUUUUCCUGUCCCGGCCUACUAAAAAUAAAUAAUAAAAAUAAAAGUCAAAAUUAGCCGACGGAGUCUAAACGAAAGUUGUAGAGCGUAGUCUCACCUACACGUGAAUGUAAAGAACGUCGAAAACGAAGUUCGUAUGAAGAAGAUAUGAAUUUUCGAAGUUUAUUAAAUAAUUAAUAUUUAAAUUUAAUUAUUAAAUCCCGAUAUUAUCCGAAGGAGGGGGGAGUCAUCGAUCCGAUCCGAACUACGCCCAGCGUACCCCGAUGCAUGCAUCGCCUCGGACUCGAGUGCUCCGAUGACGCCUGUAGUGACGUUUCCGAGGCAUUACGCCUCACGUAGAGCAUUACGCCCAGCGUAAUGCGAGGCCUCAGCCUCCUAUAAAAGGCUUGCGAGGGCAGCCGAGAGUUUUGCUCUUUUUCUCUUCUCUCUCUCUCUCUCUCUCUCUCUCUCUCCCGUUUUGCAUCGUUUUGCGUGCUAGAAGUAUCCCGAAGCCCCGGUAUUAAUCUCGAGCCCCGAAGCAAGUUCCGAAGUCCCGAAGAUCCCGAGAAGUGCAAUUCUCGAGCCGAAGCUCUGCCNNNNNNNNNNNNNNNNNNNNNNNNNNNAAAUACGUGUUAUGUGUAUAUUUUGUUGUUAUAUGUGUGAAUGUAUAUUCACUUUCUUCUAUCUCAUAGAUCUGAUUUAUUCUCUAUGAAAUACGUGUUAUGUGUGUGUGCCUCAUCUGUUAUGUGGAAUAUGUAUUGAUUAGAGCAUGCUAUACAGGUUUUAAACUAUGUAUAAAAAUGUAUAUUUUUAUCUACUAAUAUGUUGGGUAGAACAUGGGUAGAUAGUUGUGUGAUAAAUAGAUGAGAGGCCUCGAUGUUGUUUUGAUUCAGUCAUCUAGCAGAGUUUAGAUGAUGACCACAGACUUUUCUAAACAGUCCUGUGGAACGCUAGCAGGUUCGCCACCUGUAGGUGUUAAUGAACUUGGGUGUUCAUUCGUUGUACUCCAUCCCCCUCAUGGUUGCCUUAUUUGACAUAUAUUGCUGGGAAACCCCUGAAUGCAUGUGUUGUCGCCCCGAUGAAAUAUUCUAGACUAGGUCCCAUAUGUUAGUUGUUUUAGGGAUGUAAAGUGAGAAUAACGGGAAUGGGUAAUUGGGUUAUUGUUGGUUGGUGGAAUUAAAUAUAAUUAUUUAUUGUGGGUUGAAAACCCUAUAUGCUCACCAGGCUCCCAAUCCUGACCCACUCAGUUUUAUUUGUAUUACAGGAAGUGGUGCAAGGGCAUAAGAUGGAUGAAUCAUCAAGUUUUUUUGUUUGCAAGUCUGUAUAUGUAUAUAUUUGUUGAACAACUUGUAAUGUUAUCGUUUAUGCUUUAUGGUCUGUAUCGGAACAUGACAUCCUGAGUUUUGAUUAUAUAAUGAAAAUACAUUUCUUGAUGAAAUGCUUUGGUAAAUAUUAUUUUAUCAUACUUUGUUUUUGGGAACGAAUUUCGCAAAUCUUUCAAAUCAAAAGGAUUUACUCUGAAAUUAUUUUAAAAGCAUAAGUGAAAAUCGGUCUUUUCUGGCCGAGAUUUUGGGGAUGUCACAUGUGAUCCGAUUUAGGAAACGGGGCAAGCUGGGGCCCCGAUACAUUGUUCCUUUCAUAGUGAUCACCAGAGUAGGUAGAGUAGGCUACAUAUUAGAGCUACCAGUAGAGUUGAGCCAGAUCCAUAACACCUUCCAUGUGUCUUAGUUGAGGAACUGUGUAGCCGAUGAGACAGCAGUGGUAUCCCUAGAGAACAUUUAGGUGGAUGCAAGCCUGAAUUACAUUGAGAGGCCGAUAACGAUUUUAGACCGGAAGGUGGAGGUGUUGAGAAACAACGUGGUACCCUUGGUUCAGGUCCAAUGGAAACAUCGGAAGGGAUCCGAGUGGACGUGGGAGCCGGAGUACGAGAUGCGUGAGCAGUAUCCGAAGUUAUUUCCAGAGCAUGACUUCGAGGGCGAAUUCCGAUUCUAGUGGGGUAGAAUUGUAACAUCUGGGCUCCCAGGUAUAUUAUUUAUGUAUUUAUUUUUGAGUGACUCGACGAGUUGUGAGCCUAACUCGUCGAGUGGAGUCGUUUUAACCUCAUGAUUUAAUGAGCUGACUCAAUGAGUCAGAGAGCCGACUCGCCGAGUUGGUGUUGUGUGGUGAAACCCUAAAUCCCCGGGGUUGGGGCCUAUUUAAGGGGUCUUAUACCCUCAUUUCCGCCUCACCAGUCACCCUUCACCCUUGAGAGAAACCCUAAUCGUUGGUAGUGAGCUAAGAAAGUUAUUGAGAUAAACCUUGGGUGUUUUAGUGCAUCUUUUGAAGAGAAGGGAAGGAUUUCAAGAAAAGAACGAGAAGGGGCUUUCAUAUAUGUUGUUGUUUCGUCCAGAGCUUCUAUAAGAGGUACUAAGUCGACACCUUUCUCAUUAUGUUGGAUAGAUCUCGUGUUUAUGGAGUUUAGGGCUUUUUCCAUCCAUUAUUUUGGGGCUUUGAGUGUUUUCGAUUCAUCUAGAGGUUUGGACUUUAGAUCUAGACCUUGUGAGGUCCCAAGAGUCCAAAAGUCCCAGCUUUAUUCAUCCAUAAUAGAGCUCAUUAGUGAAAACCCUUAUUAGAUCAUGUUUUUGGGCAUUCUAAGUCCUAAGUGCCAUGCAUGGACGUAAAGCUUGUGGCUUUACAUGAUAAUUGAUCCUUAAGAGGUUAGAUCUAGAUUUUGGGGUUGCUUUCUGCCUUAAAAACGUCUGAAUAAGAAAAUAGUCUGAAAGGACUCGAUGAGUCGAUGAACCGACUAGACGAGUCGGUUAGGGUUUAUCCCGAUAAGCUUGUUUAUGCGAUAACUCGGCGAGUUGGGAGAUCAACUCGACAAGCUGAGAUGGACGUUCAUGAGACUUCUGAGGAAACGAGGGGACUCGACGAGUUGCAUGAGUGCACUUGACGAGUGGGGACAAUUUUGACCGUUGACUCGAGUUGACUUCUGUUAACUUUAGGGUUUGGUCAAAUAUGAGGAAUGGAGACCAUGGAGGGGUAAAAUGGUCUUUUAAUCACUCCAAGAAUUAGAGAGAUGGAGAGAAUAACUUGGGUUUGUUUCGAGUCGUGAAUAGAGUAUUAACUAGAGAUAUUUACCUUAUGUGUUAGGUGGAGGCUAGUUCGGGAUUCGUGUUCGGGUUUAUUUGCUAGCUUGCUUACGAGGUGAGUCUUCUCACUAUACUUACCUAGAGUGGUAAUCCUUGUGUGAACAAAGGGUCAUAUGUUUUAUAUUGAGUAUUGUGAUAUCCUGCUUUAUGUCUUGUAAUUUAUGUUAUGUAUUAUUCUGAGCCUGUUGAGUUAGGACCAGAGGGUCCACCCGAGUUGUGGGACUGGAGGGUCCCACUAAGACACAUUGAUCGGAGGGUCUUAUUCGAUCGUGGCCAUGAGAGGCUAAUGAGUUAAAGUGUGGUAUUUUGGGGAACUCACUAAGCUUCGUGCUUACCGUGUUAUGUGUGUCACUUACUUCUCGGGAUCAUAGGAAGGCACCGACUUGAUUGUACACAUACAACACACUUAUGUUGGGGAUCCCGGAGGGUCUUUAAAUAAAUUAUGAUCCCAUGUUUUCAUAAUUUGACAUUUUGGGAUUUUCUUAACUUGUGUUUGAUGGGAUUUAUGAGAUUCUAAAAAUGAAAUUUUUGAUUGAAAAUUUACGGUGUUACAGAUGAUGCCUUGGUUCUUUNNNNNNNNNNNNNNNNNNNNNNNNNNNNNNNNNNNNNNNNNNNNNNNNNNNNNNNNNNNNNNNNNNNNNNNNNNNNNNNNNNNNNNNNNNNNCCCCCCUUUGUACAUAAAUCUCGAUAGGGUGAAGUCAGGGCUUUACCGAUCCCCUUAUAUAUGAUUUGUUUUUUUGUUACAGGUCGCGAGAGGAUCAUUCCUUUCGAUAUGGUCCUGCGAGGCAGGUUCCAAGGCUGUUGUUGUGGAUUAGGUGUCUAAGACUAUAACUAUAUAUGGUAUGUACUUGAUUUGAUAGUAGCAUGGUCCUUUUGGGUUGCCUUCACCUUAACAACUUGACAUGAUGAUUUUUGGAGAGAAAGGUUAAAUUUAUUAUUUGGAUUAAUAAAUUGAUUUAUUAAUGUAUUAUGAAAAUAAUAUAUUAAUUAGAAAUCAUGUAAUUUAAUUAGUAUUUAAUCAAAAAUUAAUUUCGGGAUUAAAAGAACUGAUUAACGGAAUAGGGGUUGUUUUGGAAAUCAUUGAUAGUUGUGAAACUGGGUUGAUGGACUCCUUAAUUAGGAAUGGACGAAAUCGUAUAGGGAGGCCCUAUAGAUUUCGUUCAAGGCCUAUUGGAAAGGGUCCAUGGGUUGCUUAAGUCCUAAGCAGGAAAUUAGGGUUUCCUCUAGAAACCCUAGCAGCCUUCAGCUAUAUAAGGAACCCCUAGGCUUGGGAUUUUCGGCCAAUGCUUGCUAAUAAGAAACCCUAGCUGAAAAUCUAAGAGCCUUCCCUCCUCUCUCAUCUCAUCCUUUUUCUAGUGGUGUUUGUAAGCCAUUGGAGGUGCAACAUUUGAGGUACUAAGCUUUCAGAAGUCAAGGAUCUACAUAACAAGUUAAGGUAAUCAUCAAAUACCCUUUUGUUAUAUGAUUUUUCAAAAUUGUAUGCUAGAUCUAGGUUUAUAUUGCUUUGGUAUUCAAUUACAUGUUCAACUAGUGAAAAACUUAGAUCUAAAGCAAUUAGGGUUGCAUUAACACAUAGUUAUGCUCAAAACGCUUCAGUGGUAUUAGAGCCUAGGAUGUUUUUUAGUUGUAUUUGAUGCUUCUGUGAAUUGUCCAAAGGAGGAUGGAACAGAUUCGUCGCUCUGUUCAUCAGACUCGACGAGUUCCUCAUGGGACUCGACGAGUUCCUUAUGGGACUCGACGAGUUGAGCCUACUCAACGAGUUCAUUGCACUAACUCGUUGAGUCGGGCUGUCAAAUCCCUGAUUUUUCGAUUUCCAUAUCAUGGUUUGAUUAGGGUUAUUACCAAAAUUCGUUUUUAAUACCUAAAAUUGAAUUUUCUGGAAAUAUAUAUGUCACACCCCGCUAAAGCGGAAACACGAGGCGUGCCAGUACAAAGGGUUUCAUAGCAAAAGUUUAAAGACAACACCAACCAUAGUAUUGAAAACCAUUACAAAUUUAAAAUGGGUUUGAACAACUUUUAAAAGAAAUUACAACGUAAAUUGAAAUGCAACACAUGCGAAUGCUCCUAAAAGUGAUGUGUCCUUAAGUGCCACCUACUUGAUGAUUCUUGAAAAAGCAUGUAAAACGAGCGUCAACUAUAAAAAUAGUUGGUGAGUACUCACAGAUAAACAAAAUAAUAUUGGUUCCAUGAAUUGAAAUCAAUGUUUUGAUAAAGUUUCCAAUAAUAAAAGUAUAUUGUUAAAUUGAGAAAAUAAGUUUGUACAAAAACAAAGUUCUUUGUCAUCAUGAAAGAUAAAGUAUGUUGCCCAAAUAAGAUGCAACAUUCAUAUUCUCAUGGAAGAUAAAGUUCGUUACUCAAAAGAGUAAACAAGUUUUAUUGCUAAAAUGAACAAUCAAUUUUGUUGCUACAAGGAGCAAACAAUUUCAUUGCUAAAACAAGUAUAUAAGUUUUCAGUAAUAAAAGUUCCUUGCUAUAAUGAGAAACAAAGUUCGUUGCUAUAAUUGAUAAACGAGUUUAUUGCUAUAAUGAGUAAUGAGUUUCGUUGCUAAAAUGAGUAUUCAAGUUUCAUUGCUAAAAUAAGUAUACAAGUGUCAUUGCUAACAUAGGAAUACAAGUUCCGUAUGUGCAUAAAGAAUAGUAUGUGCAUCAAGUUUCCAUUCAUGAGUUCACAACCCAAGCCUAAUGACCGAAUCGUGCCCUAUUGCUACUAUGUGUAUUGUAAACUUAGUGUAUAAAAUGGUAAAAUGCACUCAAGCGAAUCGUGCGAGUGAGGAGUUGUCUACCUCCUGAUAGCGCUAUCCAUAAUAACCAUAGGCUCAAAAGAGUUAAUGAGUUGUGUCUAGAGAUUCCAGGGACUUAACCGCGAUACAGUCCUCAUGAAUUAAAGUAACAUACACAUACAUACGAAAUAUAGCAACCAAGUUUCAUACAAGUCAAAAUAAAUACAACGUACAGAAAAAUAGUAUAGGGGAUUGCGUGAAUACUCACAAUAUGCAUUGAGAUGAUGCAAAUGAUGCCUUGAGCUAAGAUCCACUCGUACCACUAUCGAUUCCUACAAUAAUGGUAUUCGCUAGUGAGUCUCUAAUAGAAAUCUAACAAUUUAAGUGGAAAAAUUUCCAUUAUUGGAAUGUUAAUAUUUAACAUUUUAGAGGUGUUCCAAUGAUUAAAUAUUCAAAAACUAAAUCAAUUUAGUUCUAAAAUUUCCCAAAGUUUGCAUUUCAGUUUUAAUUGAAGUCAAAUACCUUAAGAUAAAUUUUCUUGACUUUUUGAUUUGUCUAAUUAUUUUUCACCAUUUAAUUCCUUGAAUAAUCAUAAAAUCAUGGAAAAAUAGUAAAAAGUUAAUAAAAAUGACCAAACUUCAGAUUUUGGUUCUAACUACACUAAAAGACUUCCAGAUAAAUUUUCAUGGUUUAUAGAUAUGUAUAACCAAUUUUCUUAUAUUUAAUUCACUAAAUAGAUACAAAUUCAUGAAAAAUAGAAAUCAGUUUCCAAAAUUACCCAAACUUUUUGUAUUACUGUUAAUAAGCAUUAUUAAGCUGGGAAAAAUAUAAAAAUUUAUUUCUAAACUGUUUAACUAAGUUUUAUGAUUUUUGAGCAUUUAUUUUAAUAAAAACUGAAAUAAAUAGAAAAAAGUUUCCAAAAUUAUCCAAACUUUUUAUUUAACUGUUAUUAUACAUAACUAGGCUGGGAAAAAUAUAAAAGAUAUUUUUCAGUGGGUAUUUCUAUUUUUACUUGUUUUAUCCCCUUAUAUAUUCAUUAAUUGAAGAAUAAAUAAUAAACAGUUAAAAUAAAUUACCAAAAAUUUUUAUAACAUCAUUUACAAUAUAAGUAAUCUGUGAAAAAUACCAAAAGUGGUUUUCAUAUUGUAUAAUCCGGUUUUGGGUAUUUAUGUGUAUUUAAGUGUAUUUAAGUGUAUUUAACUUAGAAAAUAGGAGAAAAAUAGUAUACAGUAGAGAAAAAUCAUCAAACUUUUUAGGUAACCUCCUACUGUAUAACAUUAUGUUUUGGUAAACUUUUUAGGUAACCUCCUACUGUAUAACAUUAUGUUUUGGGAAAAAUAGGAAGGCAUGAUGAAAAAAUUUGCAAUUAUUUGUCUGAGUCUCCAACCACAACUAAGAGCUGGGAAAAUUCUUAGAUACAAUUUUGACACUCCCUAAAGUGGUUUUGUGAUUUAUUAUACCCAAACAAAAAGAAAAUCUAAAAUCAUACUAAAAAGCAACAUAAAUCGAUGCAAUUUAAUGAGAGGUCAUUACUCACCAUAGGGGUCAUCCACGAAUUUAUUCCGGAUUUAUAUACCUCUGGAAGUAUUUUAUAUGAUUUAUUGCCCUAUUUUAUUGCAUUAACUAUAAUAAUUCAAGAAAAAUGAAUUAUCUUCUGGAAAUUUACAGAGCAUGUUAUUUUGUUGAUGAAAAUCUGGGAAAAAUCAGAUUUGGUCAGAAAAUGAUUUUUAGAUAUUUAUUUGGAAAUAAAUCUUUCAUUAACAUAUUUGAAAGCUUUUAACAACAAACUUUGAUCAUCAAGCAUCUAAGCUUGAAGAUCAUCACAUGCAUGUUGGUUUAAAGCUCAUUCAUGAGUUUGAAAUGUUCAAAAAUCGUUUUUGAAAGAAAACUUAGAGUGCAUGUGGUGAUUUUUACCCAAAACUUGUAGAAAAGUGCAUUAUGUUGAUUUUGACUUAGGUUUUGGUCCUUGGAUUUCACCAUUAACAACAUGCAUGUUGUUUUUGGGUGAAAUACUACCACCAUCAUCAUCAAAACUGAAGUGAAUGAAGAUGCACACAUGUUUUUCUAAGAGAAAGGUGUAGAAGAAGAAUGAAAUGCAAGAAAAACCUUGAAAACAUGGAGGAAAAUGAAAGGAAAUCGUGUUCUACCUUAAUGAACACCACCAGAUGAUGAAUAUUUUGAGCAUCAUGAGUGUUAUUGGACUUGUUUCCUGGAAAUUUUCGUGAGUAUGGAGAAAUGAAGAGAGAAAUGGAGUGGUGGUGAUGAAGAGUGUGAGAGAGAAUGAGGGGUAGAGUGAGAGAGAAGAUGGAGUGUAGGGGGAAUUGAUUGAGUGUGUUGGGAAGAGGAGAGUGAGGAGAGAGAGGGGAAUCCGACUUUUGAGGGUAUAAUAUCCCUCUCUCCUUCAUUUUUCUUUAUAAAAAUUCAAAUCUUUUAUAAAAAUUAUCCAACUUUUUAUAAAAUGUGCACCUUAACCUAGUUUUUAUGCAUAAAACUCUUGAUUUUUGACUUAUAAAUUAAGAGUAAUUGUUAAUGAGUUAAAUUUUAUUUCCUUAAAUGCAUUUUUAUAAUUUUAAUUAUUAUAAGGUAAUAUUAGAAGCUUCAUAAUUAUUUUUAUAGAAUUUUUAAGGUUAAAGUUUGUGAAUAUGAGUUUUUAGGGCAUUUAGGGUUUUUGAGAGUUUGUAAGUCUUGGAUAUCAAAAUUAAUUAAAUUUUGAGACUUCAAAUUAUUUUUGUGUUUUCUAACUCUUAUUCAAGUUAGAAAUAAUGUUUGUAAUUUAUUUUUAUCGGUUUAUUGGCAUUCUAUGUAGUGAUUCCGAGAUUCAAGCGAAAUUGAGGAAUCAAGUAUACUAGUCCUAGUCUUUAACAUUGACUUAAGUUUCUAUGUGACUUUGACCUAAUUUCUACUACUAGGUCAAGUGCAUGAUGUGUGUAUAUGAUUCAUGAAAUGUUGUUCGAGUCAAAGAGUGACCCAAAUAUGGAUAGUCACUACAGCUCAGUAGAUGUAGAAUUCACAUAUCAAUGUGAAAUCUAAGUACACUAUCCAUUGAUUCUAAUUGUUUCCAGGUUUCUAGUAGGUUAUAACUUAGCUUCCAGUUACUAAGUCUAGUGUGUGUAGUGCCUAUAUGUGCAACUAAGUCUAGUCAAAUCUAGAACCGACUCGAAUUUUUGACGGUUGUCACAAUAUAUAUGUAUAUCCUUAUCAAAUUAAGAGAUUUGGUCAAGUUUUAAAAUAAUGAAAAAAUUUAUUUGAUUAAUUUAGUUAUUUAAAUAUUUGAUCUUGUAUUUUUUGAAAAGUUUCAAUAAUACCCCUUUGGUUGAAGAAUUUAAAAUUUAAUUAAAAGUUUAAUUUUGGAAUCUUAAAUUCUAGAACCCUAGUAUUUUAAAAGUUUAAAAUACACCUUUAUACUAUUAUAAAAUUAAAAGUUUAAUGUAUAUAUGUAUAAGAAAAGGUCAGUCUUACCGUUANCCACUCUUACCCACCACACUCUUGACUAGUGGAGGGUCGUUAGCCGAACGGGUAGGAUAAGACAUUAAAUCCUCAUUAAUAAGUAUAAUGAUAAAUAUAAAGUAACUAAAUGUUUUUAUAAAAUUCUCAAUCUUAGUUACUUUAGGAAAAUGUGAAUUUGAUGUUAAUCCAUGAAAUUGCACAUUGCACUUUGGCAAGUUGUUAGUGGAGCGUGUGUGGUUACCCGGUACACUAACUUGGACUAACAAUGGGUGACAAUGGGUAACUCGUAAAUUAUCACUGAUCAAUGGAGCGUGUAUUGUUAACCGACAAAUUGAUUAGGUGGUAAAUAACAACGAGAGUACCAAGCUAAUUUUCAUGGUUAUUCACACCUUAUUUGUGAUCCUCGGUAUCACAGUCACAAAUUUGAAGGGCAUAAUUGAGAUUAAACAUGCCACUAAAUAGUUCAAUGAAUCUCAAAAGAUCUAGAAAUUUCAUUCAAAACCUAAUUCAUUUUAAAAUUUUGUUUUCAUGGUGGAAUUGGUAAAUCUUCAUUUACCUACCUUCAAAUAAUUUACAAUUGGAUUACGGCAUCCCUUUUUUGAAUUGUGAAUUAUUGUGUCGGGUCCUAGCCUUAAUAUUUCAUUUGGGUGUUAUAUUAAGGAUUUCCUAUCUAAUCAAAACUUGUUCUUCAUUUUCAGAUGUCUGGCUCAAACUACAACAACAACAACUCCUCGAACUCCUUCUCGUUCUUGAACAUUUGUUCAAGGGUACUCAGUUGGAGUUUUUGGACCAAAGGGUAUUUCGGUAAUUUAUCAACUCCGACCUUUGUGGAAAGUGGAUCUUAGUUCGGAAUAUUUGUGGUAGGCAGGAAUUGAUAACAGUGUUGAGCAUCUCAAUACCUUUCUAUGGAUAUAUGAAUGGUUGGAAUCGGAGUUGUAUCGAGUAAGUUAUAGCCUUCAGAAGAAUUAGGGUUUUGGGAAAAGCCCUAGUGCGCGGGGCGUACCAAAGUGGUACGUAGGGGGUACCGAAGAGAAGGAACUAUGCGGGGUGUAGCUGGAGGAACACGUAGCGUAUAUGCGAGGAUUGGAUCGGGGUGCGCAGCCUCGUACGCAGGGGGUACGAGAAGGUACGCUAGGCGUACGAGGGUCAGGUUGAAAACCCUAAUUCAAGGGUUGUACCCUAUAUAAGCAUAAUGUUAAGCCUCUUUCUUCAUUCUAAGUCAGCCUUCACCCUCUAAAACCCUAGAACUCAUCCUUAAUCAUUCAUGGUGGCAUUUUGAGAUUAUGAAGUCCAUUUUUGGAGUGUUUGAUCUAUUUUCAAGAAGGUGGAGUUUGAUGCAAAGAUGGGGAUCGAGGAAAAGCUUAUGGAUCUGGCUUUUGGGACUCAUUGUCAGCUUGAUGUAGGUAUAAAGCUCUGAACUUGAUCAUUGAUAUCUUAGAUCUCUCAUUUGUGAGUUUUAGUUCAUUUUGGUCCCAAGGAUGAGAUCUAGUGGUCUUGAUUUCAUUCCAGGAGCUUUGAGUUGCCCCUCUUAGUGUUUCUGAGGUUCAAGGUCCAUAAAGUUGGUACCUUUAGAGUUUAAUACCAUCUAUGUUGGAGUUUGAGUCAUUUCCAUGAAAGUAGAAUGCUAUUUGGUCUUUUUGGGGUAUGUAAAUUCACCAAGUCAGUGACUAUAUGGUUCUAGUCGUUCAUUUAGAAGUAGAUCUGUGAUUUGGACUUGUUGGAUCGAGCAUUAAGAGCUUAAUGAGACUUCGGCUUAAAGGAGUAGUACACUGGGCGUGCAAGCCAAACAGCUUGUACGCUUAGCGUACAGCUGAGUACACCCUGCGUACUUGGUCAGAUGUAGUUAUGAGUAUUAGGCUUCGGUGUGGGCCAGCUUUUGGGCUUGUUCAUCUUGGGCCUUGUUGGGACAUCUGGUUUUGGGCUGUUAGUGAUGUUGAAAAGGUCCCGGAAGGAUUUGAGCCCAAUUGGCCACAAGUGGUUUUUAGCAUUUUGGGCUUAAGUGUUUGGACUAUUAUUGGGACAUCAGAAUAUAAGUGUGUUGGACUGAAAAGAAGGAUUAGGCCUCAUGGCAAGACCCAUGUAGAGGUAUGGGCCCAAUUUGGAAAAUUGGGCCAUUAAUGGAUUUAUGGACAUUAUAAUGUUGGGCUUUUAUUUUGGGUUUGGGCCGUAGUUUUGGAUCAUAGUGGGCCAGGGGUAGAAUGAUCAUUUUACCACAUGUAUGGAUUAAGGAUUAUAGUAUGGGACCUUAUUACUAAUUGGGUAUAUUGAGUAGUAUUGAUAGCUCGGGAAGCCGACGGGGAAGUAGCUAAGGAUUUCAUCCGGGGAGCUUCUGCAUUCGAGGUGAGUCUCCUCACCAUACCAAUGGGUCAAAGGCACCAACGUCGGCCCAUUAUUUGCUAUUUGGUAUGCUAGUUGAUUAUGUGGUAUGUGGUAUGUGAUAUUUGCAUAUUUAGCUCAUAUUAAGUAUAUAUUUUUUAUCAUUUAUUAGCUAAAUUAUCGCAUAUCAUGGACAAAAGAUACUUAAAAGUGUUUGAAUUACGUUUUCAGUCCAAAAGUGAAGCUCGGAAGCAAAAGGAAGCAGGAGAAGCGAUUAAGAGCUCGGGAAUUGAACAAAGAAGAAAACCACCAAAAACAACACCGUCUCGGCAAGUAGGGUCGACUACUCGGCGAGUCCGAUUGAAUAUUCGAGAAGAUAAAGACUUAAAGACUCAGAGACUUAUCGCAUACGGGGAUUAAGAGAUGGACUCGGCGAUUCGGCAAUGGACUUGAUGAGUCGGUUCGCAUUUAUAAAGAUAACUUCUCAGAUCGACAUAAAAAAUUCGAAAAACCCUUCUGGAGAGAUUAGUUGCGAUUGAAGAGCCAGAAGAACCCUAGAGAACGAAGAUACAAACUAGAAUCCAAUUCCGAAGGAGAUUUGAGGCAAAAUUCUCAUCAUUCUACUUAAUCUUUUGUUUUCCAUUAUGGCUAGACAAUUAGAAUUCAUUUAUUUGUUGUUAUUUACCUCAAUCAUGAGCUAAAACUCUUAAACUUCUGUUUGGGGAUACAAAAUUGAGACUAUGGUUUGAUUAUUGGUAGGAUUAAUUCAAUGUUGGUGAUUUUUGUUAGUUUUAGCUUGCUAAAGAACCUUGUGUGUGAAUGAUAAUUAAUUUUCUGUUAAUAGGAAGGUAAUUAAAUAGUAUGAACAUCUUUUGAUUAUCAACCUCAUAUGUUUAUGUGACCACUUUAUCAUAUGUCUAGGAUUAAUGAACAUGAAACUAGAAUUAAUAAGAAAAUUAGGUAAAUUCAUGUGUGAGCUUGUGUGAUGACCAUCAACAAGAAGUUAACUAAAGGACCAAAUUAGUUAACUAUUGCAAGUCUAAAUUAACCCGAAUAAUUAAUCUAGUGAAUUUAAUUAAAUUAGACAACUGAUCACUGUUUGAGUUAGUUUGUUCACUAAGGGUUAGUCAUGUAGUGAACGCGAAUCUAAUCACUUGAGUCGGUAACCAACAAAAGAGUUAGUCCAUUGCACUAUUACCAUAAUAUCAACCAUAGGAUCAAUUGAGUUGAACUAAACAGAAGUCCUUCCCAUUAUUGAAUCUAGUAAUUCUUGUUUUUUGAGCUUUUAGUUUAAGUGAUAGUUAGCAAGUUUUCUAGUCUUGUAAAACUAGAGAAAACCCUUACUUAUUAAUUAAAUUAGAUAAAAUUAGUUUUUUUGUUUUAAUUUACCGUUCCCUGUGUUCGAUACCCUACUUAUUUAGCUAUACCAUAAUUGAUAGGUCCACUGCAUUUGUGUGUUUAUUUUAUAAUUAAAAGUAGGUUUAAAACUAGUUGAGUUUACACACAUCAAGUUUUUGGCACCGUUGUCGGGGAACGGUCCUAAAUUAGCACUAAAUUUUAGUUCAAUCGAUCCUUUGUGUGGGAUUUAUCUUAAAGAAAGUUAAUUCUUAGGUAAUUUAGUAAUUAGUAUAAGUUUUAAUAAAAAUCUGUUUUUAAAAAAGUAAUUAGAUUUUUUUUUCUGUUUUUGCCUUCAACUCGCCGAGUACACUUGUGCCGGCUCAACGAGUUCAUCGUUGUUCACAGUCUUAAUUUUUAUUUAUUUUUUGUUCUUUUUACACGUAUUUUUUUGUUUUGUUUACAAUUGUUUCAUGACCCGGGGAUCUGAUACACCUCUGGUCCCUCCUCUCGAAGACCCGGAGUCCGCAUUACGGAGGAGCAAAGGAAAAACCGUUGGAGAAUCCACUUCUUCCAAGAAUUCGCCACUAAAGAACCUCAAAUCCGUUUUCAGCAAGAAGAGGAGCAGCAAAUCAGGAGCAUCCAAUGCCUCUUUGACAAUCGAAGACCCAAUUAAAGAGGACACCGUGUACGAGACCGAGGAAGAAGAAGAACCUACAUACGAACACGAAUCCGAUUUCGAAGACGAUUUAGCUAUCACUAUGGCUAAUAUCGAUGAAGUCCCCAUGGGGGAAUGGAAGAAGAGGAUGCGCGAUGACACUGGCCCGGGACUUGUGCAGCCCGUAAUUCCCGCUAACGCUACUUUCGAGCUAAAGGGUCAUAUCCUCGCUCAACUCAAGGAAAUUCCUUUCAAUGGAAAAGACCACGAAGAUGCCUACAAGCACUUGGAUGAAGUAAAUGAUGUGGCUGACUACUUCAAUGCACCAAAUGUGCCACGCGAGACCCAGCUACUUCUCAUGCUUCCAGUCACAUUCAAGAGUACUGCAAAGGAUUGACUCAAGUCACUUCCUCGCGGGUCGGUCACCACAUGGGCUAAGAUGAAAGAAGAGUUCAUAGCAUCCUAAGUAAAGAUCUCGGGGGGUUCCUGAGGCACUAGGGUGUAAUACCUUGGAGGGUUUCCAUGGCAUCCUUAGUUAAUAUCUCGGGGGGUUCCCGAUGCAUUGGGCUAAGACCAUGUGGGGGUUCCCAUGACACCCGAAGUAAGACCUCGAAGGGUUUCCAGGGCAUCCUUAUAUGUUUGUAUGUAUGGUUUAUAUGGUAGUUGGGUUAAGACCAUGUGGGGGUUCCUAUGGCACCCGGAUUAAGACCUUGGAGGGUUUCCACGGCUUCCUUAUAUGUUUAUAUGCAUGGCUUAUGUGAUUGAUAUGAUUUAUGUGAUUAUGUGGAGUAUGCUCUGGGGAACUCACUAAGUUUCAUGCUUACAGUUUUGUUUAUGGUUUUACGUAUCAUUGGUUUGGAAAGAAAAAGUCUGACUUGAUCGCAGCGCACACACCCGUGUUUUCCACAAUGUGUGAUUUUGGGAAGUACUCUGAUAAUUGUUUUUAAUUAGCAAUUUUGUUGGAAUGUUUGGAUUAAACGAUAUCUGUGUUUUAACUAUAAUAAAAACAAAAUUUUUACCCUUGAUUUUUGGGUCGUUACACCACCACACCCUACCAUCCUUCCACCUCUCUCCUUUCCCUUCCACGAUUUUGUUCUCUUCAACGUCUUCUCCACCACCACCACCCAACCUAUCAUAACCCUUGCUGGAAAAUUGAUACUAGAAAUCAAAAUCGUAGAACCAGAACAAAUGUAUACCAGGAAGUUCUAAAAUAAAAAUGUAAACCAAAACCUGAAACAUAUGUAUACCAGGAAGUUGUAGCAUUUCAAACAUUCAGUUGGUUUAGCUCGGCUAGACUAAUCAACCCAAACUUGUUUAAAUGAAUCUCUUAAAGUGAUUUCCGAGUUAAUAAUGGAAACCCGAUUAGCCCUGGUCAAGCUAUUUCUUUACAAUAUGCAAUAUACGCUUAUCAUAUAUAUUNUAUAUAUCGAUGUAAGUGUCUUCGUUGUCAUGCAACUAGUUAGAUCCUACUAUGGACAUGUACAAGAGUUAGAUAUGUACUAGUUAGAUUCUAUAUUGUUCUUUGUUUUGGUUAAUCAUGAUAGCUAGGGGGCGUAAUCUUGUGUCCCGACUAAUAAGAGUAUAAUUUUGUUUUGAUGAAAAUUAAGAACAAAAGGUGUAUCCAAGUUAUGUUGUGGAAAGACGUUACAUGCAUGCAUGAGGGAGGUUAACGGUGCGUGUCAAACGGUGUAUGUGUGAGGGAAUAAAAAUGAUGCUAAUUUAGUUUGAAAUAGGAACCAAACUUCCAACUAUCAAAGGUGUGUGUCGAAUUGGUAAACACAAACCUCUACAACCAUAGUCAAAACGUGUCCCACAAAUCCACACUCAAUUCAGUUGGAAAAUAAAAAGUUCCCAAAAUAAAUCUAGUGUUUCGAUUAUAUUGACCUCACACCCGUGUCUGUUGCCUCCCUUCCAUCCUUCCCUCAAACAUUCAACUAGCCACAAUAAAAAAUGCAGUUCAAACAAAGAACAACAUUAAUAAUAACAUAUACUUGUCGCAUUAAAACAAUACUUAGAAACAUUGUAAACACAGAUAGUUAAGAAAUCAUCAAACACAAAUAGAACAAACGGGUCUAAAUAGUUGUAGGAACUCCUAAAAAAACCUAAGAGCAACUAUAAAUUGCUCUGAAUACAUCAAAAACCUCAGUUUUUCUUUAACAUCAACAAACUCCUAAAUUUCCAUAAUCAAUCCCAGAAUCUUGGCUCCAACAUGAAGUGAGCAGGAGACUGGGUUCGUGCCACAUGGCCAUAUUUGGAAGUGCCAUAUUUCUUGAACACUGAAACAAGUUUCCCUGUGCCUGAUUUUUGGUGUAAACUAACCAUCAUCUUCGAGCAUUCCCUACAUUAAUAUAUAACUCAUUUCGUUAAUUUCCUUUCAAACAAAACAGGAGGAGAAUCUUAUGCUAAUUUCCUGGAAUUUUCCUUAUAAAAAAUGAUAAAAAUAGGAGCAGAAGUUGAAAAAAGGAGGGGAGAAAAGAUCAUACAAAAGUUGAUGCAGAGAAUAGUGUGAAUGGAGUUGAGUUGUUUUUGUCCAUUUCUUUGAUCCAUUGAGAGUGCAUUCUGCAGUGAAGACUGAAGCUGCUGCCAGUAAAGAAGGUGGGAACUUCACCAUUUCAUACUCCACAAGACACAGAUCCAUCAAAUAGAAUGCUAAUGGCUCCAACUACAUUCAAAAACCAAAAUCAAAGAAAAAGAACCUUUUGUUUUCCCAAAACAUUAAUUCUUUCACAAAAGCAUAAAGAAACUUGAAAAUUGAAUAGUACAACAAUGUUAUUAACCAAUUAAUACAUAAAACUAUUCAAGUUGAGUUCAUCCUGCAUUGAGGAUCAAUAAAUUCACAGGUUUUGCACUACUACACAAUUUUCAUAGAUUUGGCUUCUCUGAUUUGAGGUAUUAAAUUUUUGACCUAACUUUCUAUAUACUGAGUGCAAGUGGUUGAAUGUGGCAGUUUGUUUGCAUUUCCCCAAUAUUACUCUUCUUUUUCUGUUUAUCAAGUUCAUCGUUUGUUAAAUAUAAGAUAAGUGUUAUAUCAAAACCCAAUUUCCCAGUUGGAUAUUAAAAGUGUGGAAUGCAUAUAUCAGUCAUGACAAAAAGUUGAUUUUCAUUCCUCAUGAAAAUUAAAUGCCAAAACAAUAACCAACUUAAUCCACAUUAUCUGAAUAAAAUUUGAUUCUCGUUUUCUCAAAUUUGUUCAUUAAGGCAUAAAAUUAAACACCUAAUAUGUGUCAAACAAAGGGUGGGUCGUUACUCCUUGGCUCACCUACCUUUACUUUACUGAGACAUUAUAUCAAACACCUGGUGUGAGUGAAUAAAAGGGUGGGCACUGCACCGAGGUUUCUAUGUUUCCUGUUACGAUCAUCAGCUCCAAACCCCAAAAUAACUAUAUGCGUGUCACCAAAACCCAAAAUCAAAUAUCUACAAAUCACAUGAGACUGGAUUAACCUGAGGUUAGUGAUAACCUCUGCAACCAGAAGAAUCAGUUUUAGAAGAUGCGUAUUCAUUGAAUGGACUGAUAGCUUUGUGGACUGCAUAGAAGAAAGUGGUAAUUAAAAUAUUAUUAGGUGAUAUAUGGAACGCUUCCCACAAGGGUCGGACGUAACCACACGGGUGACCAUGAUCAUUUUUAUAAUUGCAAAAUAAACAUAGAGACUUCAUGUUUUUAUAAGUUUAUUACCAAAUACGUUUUGAAAGACAUCAUCAGCAACUUAAAGUGUAAAUGUUAAAUAGACGAAUUAACUAAGAACUUCCAUCGAUUUGGUAUGCCACCUAUGUUUCUUCUAAAUACAAUAUUACACUCUGAAAUAUCCACCCAAUUUAGCAAUGUUAUACGAAUACAAUGCAACUUCUAGAUAUAUAGCUCAAUAGACUUUUAUCUGAAUGUAUAAUUGAAAGUACAAUGCUUUAGUUGAAAGAAAUAAAAAUAGGAUGCUACUUCUUGCAUUUAUCCGAAAAUAUAAUAAAUUGAAUGCUAAGAACUGACUUUAAUAUAAAAUCACAAACAAGAACAGGAAUACAAGCUUCACUGAAUGUAUUGAUGAUACUAAAAUACAAGAGAAACCCCUAAUGAUUUUGCUACAGAUAUGAUAGCCUAGCCUCUCACAAAGGUUCUAAGACCAGAUUUGACAAAAGAUAAUGAUACCCUGUUAUAAUUAAGCACUAUGUACGCUGUAACAAACUAAACAUAUGUUUGAAUCUAAAUAAGAAUAACAGAACAUAGAGCGAGUGAUAAAGGAUUGAAAAAGAAUCGGAUUUUAUAGAUAGCUUGUGCAACACAACUUUUGUGGAUACCAUCACAUUUUCAGCACCUCUUUACCCAUGCAUCAAAAGCCUGUACAUCUACUGUUUCUCUUAAUAAAAACAAGUUACUACAAUAAGCUUCUACAAGAGUAGAUCUUUAUCCCACAUGUAACCAUCCUAAUUCAUAUUACCACAAAAUAGUCUGACCCAUAAAAAAAUUAACCAAUACAUCACAUCAUGAAAUAGAUGAAAUCAGAUUUAUCACCUGAGAUAGAACCAUAACCCAUCACUAACAAACCAUGUAGUAAAAAAAAAUAUGCAAGCAUUGACAAAGUAUCUAGGGUACCAAAAAUAAGCUUGAUAUUGUAGGUCAAUGAAAAAAAAAAUCUCACUUUUUAGGUCCAUUGUGAUAUUCAUUUAAGAGAAAUUGAUUCAAAGAAGGGUAAAUCACAAUUAGUAUCACCUUGACUUUGAGUAGUUGAUCAAUUAAGAUGCAUUCGUCAACUUCCUUAUAUCAAUGAUUUCUAAGAUCAACUUUGUUCUUUGAGACAGCCACAGUACCAUGGCACUUGUUUAGUUGCAAAAUACAGCACAACUCCUGAUUUUCUAACAAAUUCAGAUGAAAGAAAUACAUGAUUCCAACUCAAAUUAAUUACAGCCGGGCAUAUGCAAUAUCUGUUCAAAACUUGUCUGUUUGACUAAAAAGUCAAACAUCCAUACUGCAACAAUCUAAUCAUCAAUCUUAAAUGUAUUAAGUUUUUUUUAAAUUUGCUAAGCGGAAUGUAUAGAUACCCGUCACUGAACCAUAAUUACCCAUUUGUCACAUGGCAAUCCUCACUUUUGAUUCUUAAAAUUUGCUAAGUGGUAUGUAUAGAUACUCUUCACUGAAUUUUCUCAGUAAGUUACAGUUUUUAUGAGAAUUUAAGAUUUCACAUUAAAGGCUCAUGUCUAUUUAAGCUGUUCUAUUUUGGAAGAUGACUACAUAUAUCACUUAACCUUCAUGCCAACAACAACAGAGCUACAUUACCUGCAUUUCCUUCAUCAAACCAUUCACCCAAAUUGAAGACGAAUCUCCGUAGAAGCAUUACAUCCCUAAUUUACUGCAAAAAAAAAAAAAAAAGAGUAGACAACAUAUAUAAUACACUCGUUAUAAAUCAAUAUUAGUUUGAUUAAUACAAAUGAAUAUGCGAUGAAUUUUAAUUAGAAAUAAAUAAAUAAAUAAAUAAUACAAGCUGCUGGGUUAUCUGAAAUGCUGCCACAAAAGGUUUACACUUUAGUUUGAAUUAGAUGAAAAAGAGCAAUAAAAGUGAUAUUUUGUAAGGAACCCUAAUAAAAAAGAAACGAAUAACGAAGAAAGUGCCUUAUUCAGGGGUGUUUGGAUAAAUAAUUUUUAGCUUAUUAGCUUAUUGCUUAUUUGCUUAUUGCGGUGGGAAUGAACAUCUUUUUAAAAUGCUUUUGGAUUAGCUUAUUGCGGUGGGAAUAAGCAAUAAACAAUAAGCAUGUUAAGUGUUUGGCAAACAAAACAAUUUAUAUGAGUAAAAUGACCAAUAAGCAAUAAGCAAUAAGUAUCCCCCCCUGCUUAUUAAAAUAAGCUUAUUUUGCUUAUUCCUACCGCAAUAAGCUGAUUUUUAAAGACUCCUAUCCGAACACUUAAAUUAGCUUAUUGCGGUAGGAUUAAGCAAUAAGCAGCCUAUUUUUUCCCUAUCCAAACCAACGAAAGAAGAGAUCAAAUUGGAGAAAGAGAAAGAAUAGGGGGAUGGGUCCUGGGAAAGAAAACAAAGAAUCAUGGGGACGUUGUGUUCACAUGGGUAUACGGGAAAUUGUGAUGUCAUUUUUUUCCUUCACCCUUAUUUUUAUAUAUAUUAAAAGAAAAACCUCAUUAUUAAUUUAACACUUGGAUAAUUUGAUGAUGACAUCCUAAAAUAAAAUAAAAUUAAAUUAAUAUUGAUUAAAUUUGAAAGUUUAACUAACUGAUUUAAUGUUAACAUCAUUUAUAAUUGGAAUGUAUUCAACUCAUUUAAACCUCAUUAUAAUUUUUGAAAGUAAAUUCCAUUCCUUCCUAAUUAAAAUCACGUUCUUAGCUGGCACCUUUCGUAUAUUCUUUCAAUUCACAUCUAUUAUAUGAAACGUAUCUACAAGAUUACGGGAUAUCGUCUCUCAAUUUUAAAGAAUCAAAGAAUUCGAAAUUUGAUAUAUUUUCCAUAAUCAUUGUUGAAAGUUAUGUAUAAAUCAUGUGUUGUUGUUCGUACUUUAUUUUUUCUUUAGACCCUUUGCAGUAUCACGUUCGAACAACAUCAUCCUUUGCAACAUCACGUUCGUCAUCCAAGUUCCUUCUUUAAUAUGAUGUUCUUAAUUUUUAUUAAUUGUAUUCGAUUUUUUGAUUCUCAUUAGUGUUGUAUUUGACUGUGAUCUUUGAAUGCAUGAAUGAUCUUGAUUAUAAAUGUUGGUAUUAGUUUUUCAAUCUUUUAUUUUUGUCUUUUUAACCUUGCAUUUGAUGUUGCACUCUACAUGUUUGAUAAAAUGUCCAUGAGAAAAGCACAAUGACUUUCAAUUAACUGUAUGUAUGUGUAUCUUACGUAAUUAAAUUUUUCUGAGAUUGUUUGGAUUGCAUGGUAGUUGAUGAUUGAAUAUUACCAUUUACCCAUAGUAUUUUUAAUUAUCAAUAUUAUAUUGCUACUAAUUUGACAUAUUUGCUCAUAAUUCUUGGUUUUUAAUAGAUUUAGUUAAUAGCAAUGUACUUUGACUUUAAUCUAUAAUGUUUUGAAUUGCUAUUUCUAAAUUUUUUUAGAUAUGUUGUAACUGUGUUUAGUGUAUACAAAGUGCAUUGUAGUUUCUAUUUUGUUUUUAACAUAUUUAGUUACUAGCAAUGUGCGUAUGUGGUUUUUUUUAUUUAAAAAGUCAAAGCUCUUAUUUCAACAUUUUUCCCUAGCAAUAUAUGUAUGUAGUUUUUUUAUUAAAAAAGUCAAAGCUCUUAUAGUACAUUGUACAUUUUGAAAACGAUUGGCCUUAGUACAUUGUAAUGAAAUAUAAGUACAUUGCUAUUGCUAGUAAAAAAAUUUAGGAAGAUUGUCUGUAAAAAAAAAAAAAAAAGUAAAGUAUGUUGUUACAUCCUUCAACUUUCCCAAGUAAAAAGUGGUGUAGUUUUCGUGUGAUUUUCCAAGUAAAUUGCAAUGCUUGAAUUCAUAGUUCAAGAACUAUGUUUAAUGACUUGUCAAACAUCUAAAAAAGUCUUUAAUACCAUUGAUUGAUUGAGUUUUUGAGGAUGGGCAAUAGGUGACUUGGCUUGGAAUUUUUUUCAAAUUUAGAAGUAAAUCCUUAAUUUUUAUGGUUAGCUAGAUAAGGGAUGUGGUACACUUUUAGUGGGAAGGGGAAACUAGUUAUGAGUAACUCCAAAAGUGGUCCUUUAAACCUUAUAAGCUAGACUUUAAUCUUAUAAAAGGUUAAAUGUAAAAAUAACAACAUACUUUCAAAUAUUUAUUUAUAAUAGCAUUAUACUUUUAUUUCUUUGUAUCACAACAUUAUACUUUGGAAAAUCUAACCGAAAUAUAAAGAUACGAUUGAAAAUUUGCAUUUUUCGUAUUUCUUAAGCCUUUUUUUAUAUUUACAUCCGACCAUUUACAAUUUUCUCGAAACUUUAAGUAAAGGCUCCAUCAUUCUUUUAAUAACUCUUCAGUUGCUAAAAGCACUUCACAAAUACCCAGUUCUUCCAUUUUCCGCUGCUACGUGUCUUGCACUCUUAUUUUGCUAGUACGUUAAGGAGUAACACAACACUUCAUUUCUUUACAAGAAAUACAUACGUCUAAAAUAAACCAACACAAUUAGAUUGUGAACAUAAUUUCCCAUUUAUCUUUAUAUAUAUAUNUAUAUAUUAAUGAAAAAAAUGCAUUAGUCUAAUGCUUUGUUGAGCACUUCUGUAAAUAUAGUUUACUUACAAUAACAAACAAACAUCCACCAGUCAUAUGAAACUAAACAGAAUAAUGAUUGUUUGCCAAACAAAACUCAACACCAUCAAUGGUGAUUAUUACAACUUCAAGCUUAAGAAUUUCCAAACCAUGUUUUAUUUAUCAUACACAUCACAAUCAUCACCUUUGAAAGGCACAACUAGACACGCUCUCAAAAGGAAACAAUUGAAACUUAAAAUUAAAGUUGGACAAUUUUUUUUGUUGAUAGUGUUCACUAAUUUAAAGAUGAUUUCAAUAAGGGAAGUGUGAGUUUUGUCCAAGCUCAGCGAUCAUAAAAGAUGGUCAUGACUUCAGUCUUCAGAGAGGAUGUUAAGGAUAUUAUUAAAAAAAUGGUGUACAGUAAGAUUGAAGCCCUCUGUUUGUCACACCCCGAAACCGAAGGCGGAAACGUUCCGCGGCGGAGGUGACGUCAUGUAAAGUAUCACAACCAAUGUACAUAGUAAGCAUAGUAAACACAACCAUUACAUUACAUAGAAAUAUUUACAUUUGUUUGAAAACCAAGUGAUACAAGUUAUAUACAUGGGUUUAGGUCAUUUUUGGUCACUUAACUUUUGGUUGUGUGCUCAUUUGGUCACUUAACUCUUUUUAUGUUUUAAAAGGUCAUUAAACUUUUGAGUUUGUGCUCAUUUAGUCACUUAACUUUUGGUUUGGUCACUUAACUUUUAGAUUUGUGCUCAUUUAAUCAUAUAACUUUUAAAAUUUUGCUCAUUUAAUCACUAAACUUUUGAAAAAAUUCAAAAGUUUAGUGACUAAAUGAGCAUAAUUUUAAAAGUUAGGUGACUAAAUGUGACCAAACCAAAAGUUAAGUGACUAAAUGAGUACAAAACCAAAAGUUUGAUGACCUUUUAAAACUUAAAAAGAGUUAAGUAUCCAAAUGAGUCAAAAAACCAAAAGUUAAAUGACCAAAAAUAACCUAAACCCUUUUAUACAUAUACAACUUAUAUAAACAAAAGAACAGACGAGACUUCUAUACGCUCCGUCUUCUCCAAAAGAUUGUGGUUUACCUGUCUAACGAGAGCCUGAGAAUACAAGCAGUUUUAAAAAUAUCAGCAUAAAGCUGGUGAGUUCAUAAGCGUUUGGUUUCUAUAAAAGAACAAGUUUUCUUUGGUUUUCUGAAAAGGUUGUUUAUCCAAGAAAAUCCCAUAUUUUCUUAUGUGAAAAGUUUAGUUAUCCAAUGUUACACAAUUUGGUUAAGAACAGAUAAGUUAUCCCAGGAAAAACCCUUAUUUUCCUAAGAGUUGGUGGUUAGUUAUCGAUUCAGAAUGCGGUGUACAAGUAUCUACCAUACUUGUAGCGUUGGUGUGUUGUAUCCUGAAAGCUUAGUUAUCCUUUGAAAAACACAUUAGUUUUAACACGUAUAUAAAAAUAAUAAAUAGAUAGUAAACUAAUUCCUAAAUUAUUAGUUCACUAGGUUCAUUAUUACUGAAAAGUAAAUCUCUAUUAUUCAAGUUUGCGAGUUCCAUAACCAUACGAUAGACUAGAUAUGGCAAUAAGAAGUCCAUUAUCAUUUUAUGACUUUUGUCCCCCGUAGACCUGCCGGUCCCACUGUAGCUAGCAGCAAGAUGCGGGGUAGUCAACCCCGUAUAGAUCUAUACACUCAAGUCACGCUCUCCACCUAGGAGAUUCUAGUUACAGGGGCGGUCCUCCACUCGCGUAUCUCUAUGGAGUGUUACAGAGGACGUGUCUCCAAUCUUAAGAAUAACAAAUUUACGAGUAAUAAGGCGGAAAAUUCUGUUUUAGAUUCUAGUUACAAAGGCGGUCCUCCACUCGCGUGUCUCUGUGGAGUGUUACAGAGGACGUGUCUAAAGUUCUAAGAAUAAUGAUUUUAACGAUAAAUAAAUAUGGAAAAUCAUUUGUGAGAUAUAAAAUAUAACAUUUUAUAAUAAAUUUCGCAAUUAGUUUGAAAUCUAACUCUGCAAGUCAAACGGUUGGUUAAUACGGUUUUCAAUGUUAAAAGCAUACGGAAUAUGAAACAUUUCAUAUAAAAUAAUAAGUUUGAGUACAAGAUUUCCUUGUACUUUUGCUUGUAUUCCCCCCAUGAAAACAUUGAAAACACGGAAAAAGGUGUAGGGGUAUGAACUCACCAGUCGAGAAAACACGUAAACUCUCAUAUGCACUUUCCUUCUGUGUUUUGGUGGUUCUAGGUUAAUCACAUGUGAUUCUAGCUCAAUAUACAAGCCAUGGAAGGAAGUUAGGGCACCAUUUGACCUCCUUAAAGGAUUUUACGGCCAGGGAACCAUUCCUUGGGGGUUUAUGGUCGUAAUCUCCUAAGGACACGGUUUCCUUGAUGAUUAAGGCCCCUAACACAAUUGGUGUUGGUUCUAGACAUUAUUCCAAGGCAUAUGAGGUGUUUAAGGGGCAUCUUAACACCUUAAAUGGUGUUUAUGGCCUUAGAAGGGGUUUUUACGGUCCAAGCAUGUUCUUGGGCCGUAAACUCAUGUUUACUCCCCAAAUGGUAUGAUUUUGGUGUUCUAAGUCCAUUCAUGCAAGCCCUUAGGUCAUAACUAAGCUUUAGAAGUGGUUUGGAAGGGUUUUAGGGCUCCAAAACCCCAUUUAUGUGUGUUUACGGUUUGGGGCUAUUCUUGGGCCGUAAACACAUGUCUUUGGUCCUUUUGGAUGAUUUUGACACUAAUUUAUAAGUUAAUCAAGCUAAUCUAUAAGCUAGGAUGGAUUACUUAUCAAUUUGGGGUUUGAAAUGGGUGAUUUUUGGAUCAAAAAUGGCUUGAAGAGAGAGAGUGGGAAAAAGCUUCAAAUGAAGUCCACUCACCCUUAUAUAGGGUUUGAGUUUGAGACCCGGUGGAAAUCUACCCGAUAUCGACGUUGAACGAGGCUUAUGGUCGUACCCGAUUAAAUUGUCGUAACCCGACGUGGUCGAAACUAAAAAAUUUCCAAAUAAAAAUUGAGGUGUUUUCACACGUUUCUAAUGUGUUUGGACACUCAUGAAGUCAUGAUAAAAGUCUCAAAUUAAAUAACCUAAUUCAAGAUGUAAGCGGAACAAUUCGAUAAAGACGAGUUUUAUUGACGAAAACGGGUUACAGUGACGGAAUAAACUUCGGGUUGUCACACUGUUACAUAGAAAUCAUCAAUAAGAUGCAAAAACAAAUCACCAUAAACCAAAUCACUUCAUCAACAGGAAGCAGGUAAGUAGCAACAAAUUGACAUUAAUAGAAACCAUCAAUGAGAGGGCAAUGAUUAAGAAUAGACAAAAUUGCACAAAUGGUCCUUGUGGUUUGUUGAAAAUUGCCACUUUGAUCCAAAAAGUUUUGGACAAGCACCAUAGGUCCAAAGUUUUCAUUUUUUUGCGAGUUUGCUCGAAUUUACUUUAAACUUUUUUAAUGACUAUUUUACCCUUCUUUUUUGUUUUUUUAGUUUUUUUUUGUUUAUUUAAAUAUUUUUAUGAUUAAAAGAAAAUACUCUCUCUCUCUCUCUAGACUCAUUUUCCCAUCAUCAUCUUCAUCUAAAAACUUGAUUUCCCCAUCAUCAUCUUCAUCUUUAUCAUUAGCUCCUAACAUGACCAUCAUGACCCACUAUCACCACCGAUCUGUAGAUUCUUACUCUGCCGGUCAAAUCUGCAACCAAUAUCUACAAACAAGAUCUGGUUCAAGCGUUAAAUAACUUAAAUUGGUGGAGAAAUUGAGCAUGUCGUCUGGCUCAAGGUUAGAUUUACAAAUGAAUGUUGAGAUUUACAAACCCAAAAAUCUGAAUUUUACCUCACAUUUUGCAAAUCGAUAGUCUCAAUUUAUCAAUUCCAAUCAUGUGCAGAUGAAUUCAAAUUGUUGCAACUCAUUUUAGAGUUUGUCAACACCGAUUUAGAAGAUGCUUAGUGUAAGAUCUAGAUGACUUAAGCAAGAAAACCAACCGAUUUUAGGUUUAAACUUGGAGAUCCACCAUUUUUGCUUGAUUUGAAUGUCGAUAAGGUCAGAAACGAUAAAUCUGAUGAAGAUUCGAGUUUCAAAUCAUUAGUUCAGAAACAAAAAACCCUAGACAUUCUUCACCAUCAACAACGGAAAUGGAAUCAUCCAUUCCUAGGAUGAUUUUUGGGUUUGCGACGGAGAUGAACAGAUCUGAGAAGGGUUUUCUGACCUAUAGACGGAGAGGGGUGAACUCAUGAACAAACCCAUAUUUUGUGUAAGGUUUUUGUUUUUGGGAUGAUAUUUAGGCGUAUAUGAAGUAGAAAAAAUUUAGGUGGAGAUAGAGGUAGCAAACGGUGGUAGCAAAAGAUUGUGGUGGUGACAGACGUUGGUGGUUGCAGAUGGUAGUCCAACGAUGGUGGUGGGGAAAAUGUUCUUGAGUUUAUGUCAUGUUCUUGAGUUCGUGAACCAUAGUGGUAACCAAUUUUCUGGAAAAAUUCAGAUGUGAGAGAGACAGAGAGAGACGUAUUUUCUUUUUUAUUUUUCUUUUAACUAUAAAAAUAUUUAAAUAAAUAAAAAACAAAAAAGGUUAAAAUCGUCAUUACAAAAAAGUUUAAAGUAACUUGGACCUAACUCGCAACAAAAUGAAAAUUUUGGACCUGUAGUGCUAGUCCAAAACUUUUUGGACCAAAAUGACAAUUUUUAGCAAACCACAGAACAAUUUGUGUAGUUUUGUCUUAAGAAUAAUGUAAAAUUAGAAUGUAAGGAAUUUCUAACCUUGCAAAGUUGCAAUGUCGAAUCCAGCCCUUUGCUUUAGGAAAUCCUCGAUGAAGAUAAAAUUUUGAUGCAUCAUAGAUAACACGUCUAUGCUUUAUAGAAAUCGAAUGUGCUAUGGUUGGGCCCUUGGUUCGAUUCUCUGCUGAUUUCUUUUAAUUAGGUUGUACUCAUUCCUAAUCUAAGAUUAUUUUGAGCAAUUAUGUUGUUGAUGAGGUUAGAAUUGGGAUCGAAUGAUUAUUUUCUUGCGAUUUUCUGAGUUCGUAAUCUUUCAAUUGAGGGCAAAGUAGGCAUUUUUCAUUCAAGGAGGAAAAGGAAUGAAAAAACGGGAUUUACCCUCUCUCCCCAUCAAAAUCGGAAAGCGUAUUCAUGAUCACUCUGAAAAUCAGAAAAAUAUCUUCCCGUUAUCUAACUCCAACAAUCGAUUCCACCCAAAUCGCAAAAGAUAUCAGCCACAAUAUCACCGAAAUAACAAAUCGUUUUUAUAAAGCGUAGGGCUUCAUUCGCUUUUUCCGGUACGAAUAAUCCCACUUGAAGCUGUUCUUUGAGGUUGUUGAAUUGUUGAAGCUCAAGUUGUAGUCAUUUUUUGAAGGUUAGCAUCUCCUUACCCUAUUAUUUAUUGAAAUUCCUGAAUGUGUUCUUGUUGCUGGGUCUUUUAUGAACUGGGAUUCCUUUUUUUUUUUGUGGCUUCGAUGAAAUUUUGAACCUGUUCUUGUUUGUACCUAUUAUUGAAAAUUUUGAAGCUUGGCAUCUUUUCUUUUUCUUGUGCUUUGAUGAACUGGGAUUUAACAAGUCAUUAAUUCCAAGUAAACAUCUUAAUUUUUUUUUAUCUAUCUUUGUAAAAAUCGAAACCAUUUUAGUUUAGUUGGGUAUGAUUUAUAUCAUAAGUAAUUAGGAGUGUGUGAAUGGAAGCCCAACUUCAGAAUUUCAAUUAGAAAGGGGUCUUCGUCAAGGUGGCCCGCUAUCUCCUUUGUUAUUCAUCAUUGUUAUGGAGGGGUUACAUGUGGUUGUGAUGGAUGCAAUAGAACCAAAUGUUAUUUGAGGGGCUAAGGUGGGUAAUAUGUUAAUCUCUCAUCUUCUUUAUGUGGACGAUGUUAUGUUCCUGGGAGAGUGGUCAAUAAUUAAUAUGAAUGGGGUGGUUAAUUUAUUAAAUUGCUUUUACAUGGUGUCGGGCUUGAGAAUAAACAUUCAUUAGUCAGUGUUGUAUGGUGUUGGUGGUAGAGGUGAUCAUGUUAAGGAAAUGGCAGAAGUGUUAGGUAGUAAAGCAGAGCAAUUUCCUUUCUCUUACUUAGGGAUUUCGAUAGCAGAUAACAUGAAUAGGAUGGCUGCAUGGUUACCUAUUAUAGAUAAAUUCAAGUCAAAAUUAUCUAAAUGGAAAGCAAGUAUGUUGUCGAUUGGUGGUAGAUUGAUCCUAACCAAGUGGGUUCUGGGCUCAUUGGGAACAUAUUUUAUGUCCAUGUUUCCCAUGUUGGUUCAAGUAAGAAAGGCUUUAGAGACGUUACGAGCUAAAUUCUUUUUGGGUUCUAUGGAUUUGAUAAAAAAAAAUCCCUUGGGUUUCUUGGAAUAUUAUCCUUGCUAGUAGAGAAAAAGGUGGAUUGCAAGUUGAGAGUUAACAUGCUCUUAAUGUAUCGUUGAUGCAGAAGUGGAGAUGGAGAUAUGUGCAUGAGAAGGAGGCGAUUUGGGUGCAAUUGAUUAAAGAGAUCUAUGGGAUAAGGAGCCAUAACCCGUUUGAUAAUUUGACAGUUCUAGGUGGUGGCGCUUGGUUGCGUAUAAUUGGAUCCAUUAACAGAUUACAUGAUAGUGGUAUCAUUCCUAGAUCAGUGAUGCAGAAGGAGAUAGGAGAUGGCAGAAGCACAAAAUUCUGGAUUGAUAAUUGGAUUGGUCCGAUGGCUUUCAAAGAUAUAUUUAAAAGGUUAUUCUAUUUGGAAUCUUCUCCUAAUUGUUUGGUUGCAGAUCGUUGGAAUGAAGGAUGGAAGUGGAAUUGGAAGAGACAAUUUGAUGGAGGCGCUUUAAAGAGAAAGCUUGGCGAACUCUUACUUAUAAUUAACCAAGUCACUAUUUCUCAUGAUAAAGAUAUAUGGAGAUGGAAUCUAGAUGGUCAAAGUGAGUUCACGGUUAAUGAAGCGAGACGAUACAUUGACAGAUUAACCUUACCAGAAAACUUUUUGGAGACUCGGUGGAAUCGUUUUAUUCCUUCAAAAGUAAAUAUUUGUGGAUGGAGAAUUCGGCUUGAUACAAUCCCGACUAGAUGGAAUUUGAGUAGGAAAGGAAUUCAAGUGGAGUCUAUUUUGUGUCGUAUAUGUUCCAGAGUGCUAUGGAGACAAGUGAUCAUAUCUUUAUUGCAUGUGGGCUAAGUAAAUCGAUAUAGGGUUUAAUAGGUCGAUGUUGUGAUGUUGAUACUAGGAACUGGUCCUCUACGAUGGAACUAUUUUAGUGGAUUGAUUCGGUUCAAGUUAUGGCAGGUAAAAGAGUUGUUCUUGAUGUGAUAUGUAGCGUGGGGCUGUGGAGCAUAUGGAGAAUCAGAAAUGAGCCGAUGUUUGGCAACAAAAUUCCAAAAAAAAAAAUUGGCUUUUUGAGGAUGUAAAACCCCAUUUUAAAUAAAAUAAUUAAAUAAUAAACCCGGGACCCCGAGAAGUAAUUUACUAUUAUUUUAUAUUAUUAUAGCCCAAAAUCGAAUAAUAAUUAGUGGGGUGUUGGUUUCGGGAAGCCAAAUGACAAGAUUUGAACCUCCAGGGGUUAAAGUGUAAUUUAGGGAUUUAUUUUGCAAAGGGUUUUAGAAGUCAGGGGUUUGGUAUCAUUUGGACUUAAUAUGAAAGGUUUUUGGAUGGUUGGGGCUAAAAGGGUAAAUUAUAUACCUAAGCUAAAAAGAAUUUGUCAUGGAGGGGCCAAAUGGUAAAUUUUGGGAUUUAAAUUGAAAGAAAAAAGGGUAGGAGGGACUAAGAGUGUCAUUAGGGACCAAAGUUUGGAUGUAUCGGGUAUAUAGUCAUCUACCCUUGUAGCCGUAACCCUAAUCGAAUGAUUAGCCGCCACCUUAUGCCUCCCUUCACACCAGCCGCCACCCUUCCCUCACCACCUCCGGCGACGCCUCCGUAACACUCCAAUGAACCACCGAACGACUGCCAUCACAACUCCAACGAUAGGAUUGAAGCUUGACAUCGUGGAUGAUGUUGUUGUUUUCUCAACCGCCGCCGUCGACGAAGCCGGAAGCCGCACCGUCGAGGACCGCCACUGUUACAUCCACUGCCAGCGAAGAAUGAGGAUCGAUGAGAAGGAACGUCGUGGCCGUUGGUAGAAGCCGGAAGAGCUGGACUGUGGUUGUCGUUGUCGCGAAACCUCCUUCUUUCCCGGUUCGUUGUUGCGACGCCACCAUUCUUCUCAUUCUCCUUCCGGGAAGCCGUUGCCGCCGUCGUUUAGUUCUCCCACUGCACCGGCCGUCAUCCGCCACCCCGAGGAGGCUACCUUUGUGUGUUUCAGCCUGUGUGUCGCAAGCAUGGGGGUGUUUUGGGUGCUGAUUGUGAUAUAAUGCACGAUUAACAUGAAAAGACCCGAAGACAAACCACCAUGGCCGCCGGCUAUAGUGGUUGCCGCCUUCUUGUGUAACCACUGUCGUCGUACGCCACCAGGUGGGUGGUUGGACUCGUUUACAAACAAAAGAGUGUAUGUGUGUGUGUGGUUAUCUUGGCCGGAUUUCAGGAGAAAAGCCACCACCACCACCACCGUGAGGUGGUGGCUGCCACCUAUAACCACCAUCUGCCGCCACAGGGCGGCUGUGUGUGUGAGUGUGUGUUGUCGGGAUUAUCUUGUAAAUUGUAAUCGGUGUCGGAACGAUAAUAAGAAAACUCUAUAUCACAACCGUAAGGUGGUGGCUGCCGCCAAUAGCCGUCGUGUUAGGUGGCGGUGUGCCUAGUCUGCGUUUUGACUCGUUUGAGAGGCUUGGACAGAAUGGGCCUGACAAAACCCUAGUGGGCCCAAUGAAACCCUAAUGGGCCCAAUGAAGCCCUAACUGACCUAAGAUCCCAACCAAGUGACUUAUGGGCUAGUAUUGGGUUGGAAACCCUAAUUAGAGUUUGGAAAACCCUAAUGUCAUGCAACCAUAAUUUUGGGGAUUGAUCGGGACCUACACUUGAAUUAAUUACUAAACUGAAAAUGUUAAUUAAUAACCAUUUGCAAAUUAACCUAAGGCAAUAUUGGACUUAAUGGAUUAAGCCCUUAAGGGGUUAAGUAGGAACACUUAACCCUAAUCUUCAUUUCAUGUGAAAACCCUAACUUCACUUGGGCCUUGAUUUGGGCCUUGGUAAUUGGACUAUUAAUAAGCUAUCUAAAAACAAGUAAAUGGACCAAAAUAAUUAGAUGGGUUUUAGGAUAAGGCCCAUGUGAAGGACUUGGGCCCAAUUUGGACAAUUGGGCCAUAGGUGGGUCAUAAAUUGGGCCUUGAUGAUUAUGUGAUGUUAGGCCAUUGGAAUAUCAAGAGUUUGGACUAGAAUAAAUGGAUGGGCCUCAAGGAAAGACCAGGUAGAGGUCUGGGCCCAGUUUGGAAAAUUGGGCCAUAUGUUGGGCUUUGGCCCAUUACUUGACUACCAUAUGUUGGGCUUUUGCCCAUUUGUCACACCCCCGAACCAGACGGCGGAAACGUCCGAGGGCUAUUCUGACUCAAUUGAAUACCAUCACAAUGAAUAUACAUGAAACAUAACAUCAUACAUUACCAAGCAUUGAAAUAUUACAACUGGUAGCGUUUACAUUCAGUACAUUGAUCCAUAAUAUUACAUGACCAAAAGUAAAUUGUUCGAUACUAAUUAAAACAACAGCAAGACGUUACUAAGUACAUUUUUCCUUUUCGAUUUACCUGUUACCUGAUAAUACAAGUAUUUUGAAAAACGUCAACAUAUGAAAUGUUGGUGAGUUUAUAAGUAAUGUUUGAAAUAUAGUGGUUUGUAUUGUUUUGAAAAUCACCAGAAAAUCCGAUAUUUUCUUAAAAGAGCAUAGUAUAAAAAGUGUGAAGAUCCGUAAGUAUGCUUGUUUGUUUCUAUAAAUGUAAAAGUACAAUUUGUUAAACUCGGUAUGCAUCUCGUAGGUGUAUUAAUUGAAAACCCUAGGAAAACCCGAUGUUUUCCUAAUAUUUUGAAUCAAGUGUUUUAUAUUUUGUUAUUUCGUUGCGACGUGUGUAUUCGUUGAGUCCCGGUGACAUUGGAUUAAUUAUGGAUUGUGAAUUGUUAUAAACACACAUUAAUGAAAAUGACUAGUUUACAACUAUACAAACGAUCCCUUAGGCGUCGUUCGCACUAUUCACUUAAUCCAAUCACCCGGACUUCUCAUAGCCCCACAACCGAGGAGGAAAAGAGGGUGCGAAGCCCCCGAUAUUUUCCAUAAGUCGUUCAAGGCUAUCGUGAAUGCGAAGGGCCCUUAGCCCGACUCGCAUUUGGUGAAUUCUCGACUUUACUAGCAGCACCAGAGGACCCUUGGGGUCCAACAGCACAAAGCCUGUAAAAGUCCUUUUACACGGAAUUAGGUCAUAUAAGACCCAACUACAUGUAAGCGAGUUUCCUUCGGGCCUAAAGAUCAUGUCAUUGGGCUAGCUAGGCCCAACAAGCACGAUUUGAAACUUUCGGGCCCAAAGACGGUGUAUCGACGUCUGGUGUAUUCCCACGUGUGUAUUGACUUCCCGAAAUUUCCGCGUGUGUAUUGAAUUCCCGAGAUUUCCGCGUGUGUAUUGAAGUAUCGUCGUGUUAUUAAUUUCGGAUUCAUUAUUGAUUCGAGACCGAAUCAAUUCGUUUGAUAACGAUUUUUGGUGUUGAAGGUGUAUUAUAUUUCGCCGAUAGUCGAGGUACUAGUAUUUCAUCAUGUCGGAUUUAUUGUUUAAAACAUUAGAAUUUUACAUUUUUCAGCCCCUUUCUUUUGGAUAAAUUUACACUUUUGACCCUUUGUAUAAAAGAAUUUCUAUUUUAGUCCUUAAACCAUUUUUCUUGACACUUUAGUAUCAAAACUUGUAGAAAAGGUAUUUUUCAGCUCAAAGUUAUUUGAAAAACAGUUUUAGUCCCUCAAAUGAAAUUUUUCUCGGCUGAAACCCUUAUUUUCGCAAUUUUUACACUUUUGGCCCAAAGUAGAAAAUUUUUGCAUCUUUGGUCCCUUUUAAAUAUGAAAAGCAUUUUUAACCCUUGAAAUGGACUUGGAGCACUAGUAGUCCCCUGUUUUACAGAAAAAUACAGUUUCAGCCCCUCUAAUUUGAAAAUCUCGCAAUUUGGGCUUUAUUGGGCCGAAAAGUUCAUUUUUGGCCCAUUAUGCUUAAAAUUUCACAUUUUAAUCCUUCAAAAGAGAAUAUUUCCAGAAAAUACAUUGUUGAAACUGUUUUGACUCAUUUCAUCCAUCAGAAUUAGUAUUUUGUCAUUUUGGGCCCUUUAACCUUAUAUUUUUAACAUUUUGAGUCCAAAAAUGGGAUUUUUAGCCCAAGGAGUUCAUGUUAACCAACUUAGUUAUUUUUCUAGAAAUGAUUUGUGUGUAAUAAUAUGUUUUAUACUUGUUUCAUACAUCCUAAUGCAAAUCUCGGUUUUAAGGACUUUUUGACUAGAUUCAACACCAUAAUCACAUAAGAACAUGUAAAUAAACAUAGAAAUCAUACAAAGCAUACAUAUACUCAUAGAUCUACACAUUUGCUUGUAUUCUCCCCCCACAAAACUCAUAAAAACCGAAAAAUAGGGGGUAUGAAGCUCACCUUUGGGUGUGGUUUCGGCUUUUAGAAAAAGUGAGAAGAAAGUUUGGCCUUAGUACCUCUCCUUGGAAGAUCUCGAACUUAGAGAGUUUCUAGGAGAGUGAUCAAGAUUUUUACAUGGAUUAGAAGAAGAUUUUGAUAAAACAAAGUACCAAAAUCAUAGAUCCUAACUUGAUCUUACCUUAAGUGGAGAAUUUGUGGAGAUAUUUUCUUGAAAGCUCCUUAGAUCUCGAAAUUUAGGAGGAGAAAUGAGAGAGUUUCUUGAGAGAAAUGAUGAGUGAAAUGUGUGUGUGUGUGUGCUUGAAGUCGGCUGAGAGCAAGAGAGAGAGAAAGAAAUAGAUCUUGAGGUGAUAUAUGCAUGGUAGUAUGAGAUAGGUUGCAUGGAGAACCAACAUGCAAAAGUGAGGUGGCUAUGAAAGUCAACUCUCCCUUUUUCAUGGGCUUGGGCCGAAAUUUGAAGAGAAGAAAAAGAUUUUUGGGCUUUAUUGCCUCUAAGCCCAUACUAGAGUUAAGUUGAAUGGUUGUUGGCCCUAUAAAAUAUAAGUGUGAUUUUUAUACUUUGUUGGGCUAGUUUAGGUUAAUUAUGGUUCAUAAUGGUUCAUAAUAUUUAAUUUAUUUCAUUCUAGGCCCAAUAUGACCCAAAAUGUUGAAAUAAAUGAAAGUGGGUCCAAUUAGAGCCCAUUUAAGGAUUCUAAGCCCAAGAUAGUCAAAUUGGAAGCUUAUUGGUCCAUUGGGCCCAAUAAGGAAGUCCUAGUCCAAAGUGGACCUAAACAAGAACUUCUAGGGUUUCCCAUUUGCUUGUUGACUAUUUGUAAUGCUUGUAUGGUGUAUUAGAUUGCAAAUUUUGAUGUCAUAAAGUAAGCAUCAUACAUGCUCUUAAGACUUUGAUUCAUAAUUUUUACUAAAUUGUUGUAGUUUGUAACAACCCGAAGUUGUUCGUCACCGAAAACCUAUUCUACCCGUAUAGCUUGCCGUAUAUCGGUUCGUUCCGAUGUUGUUUUUGAGUCGAAUAAAUUAAACUUAUAUGUUUAAUUGAUUCUAAUGAGUGUCCAAACCUGUUAGGAACUCACGAAACGAACCCAAAAUGCUUAUUCCAAAAAUUUUAGAAUCAAUCCCGCCAAGUCACGGAAACUUAAUCGGGUGCGGCCUAAAGCCCCGUUUAGUGCCGGUAUCGGGUAGAAUUCCACCGUGUCCAAAUUCCUCGACCUAUAUAAACAUGUUUCAGCUUCCAUUUGAAGCUUUUGCUUCCUCUCUCUACUCUCUCUCUAACUUCUCUUUUAAAUCUAACUUCAAGGGUCCAAAACUCACUUUUAAGGCCUCAAAUCCCUAAGGUACCUUUCUAACUUCAUUGUAUAGCAUAUUAGACCUUCAAAUCCGGGAUUGAAACAUAAAAUUUGGCCUUGUAUAUGAGUUUACGGCCCAGGCAGAUGCCUAGGCCGUAAACACUAAGUUUGAAGGGUUUUAAGCCCUUAAACCCCUCCUAGACAAUGUUGGGACCUAGAUAUGGCUAAAUGACUUCAUGGAAUGGAUUUAUAACCUUUUAAUCAUGCAUUUUGAAGGGUUUGAAGGAGUUUACGGCCAAGCCUCAUGCUUAGGCCGUAAACUCAUAUAAUUGGGACUUUUAGGACCUUAAACCCCUCCAAUUCACUUGUAAGGCUUAGAUAUGAAUUUUAGGAUAAUGGUUUUAGCAUUUGGACACCUUAAACAUAAUUUUAGAAGGAUUUAUGUGAGUUUACGGCCAAGGCAUGUGCUUGGGCCGUAAACUCCUUGAAACAUGGUAUAAAUUCAAUUUCAAGGUGUUAGAAAGCCAUCCAACACCACCAAAAGCCUUGGAAUAAAUCAUAGGACCAACCAAAAAUAGUUUAAGAACCUUAAACACAUUAUUUGAGGGAUUUAUAUGAGUUUACGGCCAAGGCUUGUGCUUGGGCCGUAAACUCCUUGAUUCAUGGUGUUAGAAUGCCACCUAAACACCCCUAAAGCCUUGGAAUGAAUUUUAGAAGUCCUUACAAUCAAGUUCUUGGCCUUAAAACACAUGGAAUCACUCUCUAAGAGAGUUUACGGCCAUGAGAGGGGUCUCAUAGGCCGUAAACUCCAAAAACCCAUUCAAAACAUCAAGUAAUUGCAUGUAUGGCCUUGGGAUAAAUUUACCAAUCACAUGUGAUUUGUUUUAACAUCAUUUAACACCUUUUUCUUGGAUAUUUAGGAGUUUACACCCAGGAGCCUAUGCUAGGCCGUAAACUCCCAUAAAUAAGUCAAAAUGAGGUUAAAAAUCCAUUCCAAUACUUUAAUCCAAGCCUAGAAAAAUUCCCCUAAGUGUAUGAAGUCAUUUUUGCCCAUAAACCACCCCACCAUGAGUUUACGGCCGUAAACUCAUGGGGAAUGGGAGUUUUAGACCUUAAACUCUUGUAUGAGUUUAUUCAUGGACAAUAAACUCAAGUUCCAAGUCCUUAGUGCCAUUACACGUCCUUAAAUGCCACCCGGGUCCCUCCAAACGCUUGUUUCGGGAUGAUUUCACGACUAGAAGUUUUGGUCCCUAACAAUCGAAUAAUCUAGUCCUAAUUAGAUACAAAUGUGUAUCUUGUCAUUAUACAUAGGAACCUCGUGCGUUUGCAAGUCCCGAACCAUUGUUUGACGUCCGAAAUCAUCACAUUUCUCGUCCGGUGAGUUCAUACCCCUACCCUUUUUCACUGUUUUUAACUGUUUUCAGGGGGGCGGAAUACAAGCAAAAGUACGAGUGUAUCUUGUACUUAAACUGAUUUUCAACUUAAUGGUUUCAGUUUAUAAAUGUCUUGAUUUUUAAAGAUUUAGAUAACUGAUGUUUCGAAUUGCAGGUUAAAUAUAGAUUUCUUUUGAAAAGUGUUUCGAUCUAAAUUGAUUUUAUAAAGAAAUCAUUCUAACACGAAUAAUAUGAAUGUAGCUUAGUAUGAAUACGAAUACGAAUACGAAUAUGAAUACGAAUGCGAACACGACUACGAAUGCGAAGUGACGCCUUUGGUUGACACAAAGACUUCGAUUAUACAGUUGUUGUACCCUCUGAGUGUCACCAGAGUUUCGAAAACGAAUACGAAAAAUAUGCCUUUGAUCCUCUACUGAGCUUCAAGUAUAUCCGCCUCAGAAUGUUGACAGAGCUUCGAAUACACAACGAAAUGUACUCUUUUGGAACUUAGCAGAACUUCGAAAAUACUGUAGUGUACGCUUCUGUGUGGUUCCAAAACUUCGAAAAUACAACAAAGUUAGUAGAUAGUAGCCAUCUGAAGAUAGAAUAACUAAGGGUUAGAAUACUUAACUAAUGCUAUACAUACGGUAACAACUAGUAACGAACGUAGAAAACGAGCAGACAACUCAACACAUAGGAAAAUAUGGGAUUUUCCUGGGUAGUACAUUAACACAUAAUCGAAUCAGCGUCGUAACAAAUCACGAAAUACUAUGGGAGUAUUUCUCGAGCCAAUCCUUGGUAGAAAUCCUCGUUCAUGCAUUGUUCUUUGAUCAUUCCCUUAGCGAUAAUUUUCCCGCUUUGAUAACUCUUUCCUGCUUUAUCGCUUGUUAGCAUAUAUCUGUCAUAUCUCUUGAUUCAAUUCAGAGGACUUAUCAUCCUCUCUUCCUUGAUCUUAUUAGAUCAAAAUGCCUCCAAGAAAGAGACCCAGCUCUAAGACCAACAACCCUCCGUCACCACCUCCUCUUCAAAUCGAUCUGGAAACUCUUCAAGCAACCAUUUCUGCCACAAUAUCAGCUCUCCCACCUCAAUUUAACCCCAAUGGUCCAGGAAGUGGUUCCCAAAACCAAGAAGGUAAUCAAGGACACCGGAAGGAGUGUUCCUAUAAAGACUUUAUGAACGCAAAACCCACAUUCUUCGAUGGCACAGGGGGUGUCAUUGCUCUAACUCGGUGGUUAGAGAAAAUCGAAUCUGUUUUCGAGAUCUGUGCCUGUUCGGAUUCCGACAAAGUAAAGUUUGCCGCCUGUACUCUCCUCGAUAAAGCUUUGACUUGGUGGAACGGCCGAGUCAAAUCCCUGACCUUAUCUGUAGCUAAUGCUAUGGGAUGGGAAGUAAUGAAGGAACUACUACGUGCGGAGUAUUGCCCUCGGGGUGAAAUCCAGAAGCUGGAACACGAGCUAUGGAACCUGAAGAUGAAAGGUUCCGAUAUCGCCUCUUACACUUCAAGGUUUGAUGACCUGGCACUCCUUUGUCCGGGAAUGGUUACCCCAGAAAGCAAAAAGGUAGAAAGGUUCAUUUGGGGAUUAACCCAGCCAACAAAAGGGAACGUUAUAGCAGCAAAGCCAGAUACCUAUGACAGCGCCAAAUGUCUAGCGCAAACCCUGAUCGACCACAGCGAAAACCAAGAAGAAGCAGAUGCCACUCCCGAGCCAACAGAAAAGAGUGGCGAGAAAANNNNNNNNNNNNNNNNNNNNNNNNNNNNNNNNNNNNNNNNNNNNNNNNNNNNNNNNNNNNNNNNNNNNNNNNNNNNNNNNNNNNNNNNNNNNNNNNNNNNNNNNNNNNNNNNNNNNNNNNNNNNNNNNNNNNNNNNNNNNNNNNNNNNNNNNNNNNNNNNNNNNNNNNNNNNNNNNNNNNNNNNNNNNNNNNNNNNNNNNNNNNNNNNNNNNNNNNNNNNNNNNNNNNNNNNNNNNNNNNNNNNNNNNNNNNNNNNNNNNNNNNNNNNNNNNNNNNNNNNNNNNNNNNNNNNNNNNNNNNNNNNNNNNNNNNNNNNNNNNNNNNNNNNNNNNNNNNNNNNNNNNNNNNNNNNNNNNNNNNNNNNNNNNNNNNNNNNNNNNNNNNNNNNNNNNNNNNNNNNNNNNNNNNNNNNNNNNNNNNNNNNNNNNNNNNNNNNNNNNNNNNNNNNNNNNNNNNNNNNNNNNNNNNNNNNNNNNNNNNNNNNNNNNNNNNNNNNNNNNNNNNNNNNNNNNNNNNNNNNNNNNNNNNNNNNNNNNNNNNNNNNNNNNNNNNNNNNNNNNNNNNNNNNNNNNNNNNNNNNNNNNNNNNNNNNNNNNNNNNNNNNNNNNNNNNNNNNNNNNNNNNNNNNNNNNNNNNNNNNNNNNNNNNNNNNNNNNNNNNNNNNNNNNNNNNNNNNNNNNNNNNNNNNNNNNNNNNNNNNNNNNNNNNNNNNNNNNNNNNNNNNNNNNNNNNNNNNNNNNNNNNNNNNNNNNNNNNNNNNNNNNNNNNNNNNNNNNNNNNNNNNNNNNNNNNNNNNNNNNNNNNNNNNNNNNNNNNNNNNNNNNNNNNNNNNNNNNNNNNNNNNNNNNNNNNNNNNNNNNNNNNNNNNNNNNNNNNNNNNNNNNNNNNNNNNNNNNNNNNNNNNNNNNNNNNNNNNNNNNNNNNNNNNNNNNNNNNNNNNNNNNNNNNNNNNNNNNNNNNNNNNNNNNNNNNNNNNNNNNNNNNNNNNNNNNNNNNNNNNNNNNNNNNNNNNNNNNNNNNNNNNNNNNNNNNNNNNNNNNNNNNNNNNNNNNNNNNNNNNNNNNNNNNNNNNNNNNNNNNNNNNNNNNNNNNNNNNNNNNNNNNNNNNNNNNNNNNNNNNNNNNNNNNNNNNNNNNNNNNNNNNNNNNNNNNNNNNNNNNNNNNNNNNNNNNNNNNNNNNNNNNNNNNNNNNNNNNNNNNNNNNNNNNNNNNNNNNNNNNNNNNNNNNNNNNNNNNNNNNNNNNNNNNNNNNNNNNNNNNNNNNNNNNNNNNNNNNNNNNNNNNNNNNNNNNNNNNNNNNNNNNNNNNNNNNNNNNNNNNNNNNNNNNNNNNNNNNNNNNNNNNNNNNNNNNNNNNNNNNNNNNNNNNNNNNNNNNNNNNNNNNNNNNNNNNNNNNNNNNNNNNNNNNNNNNNNNNNNNNNNNNNNNNNNNNNNNNNNNNNNNNNNNNNNNNNNNNNNNNNNNNNNNNNNNNNNNNNNNNNNNNNNNNNNNNNNNNNNNNNNNNNNNNNNNNNNNNNNNNNNNNNNNNNNNNNNNNNNNNNNNNNNNNNNNNNNNNNNNNNNNNNNNNNNNNNNNNNNNNNNNNNNNNNNNNNNNNNNNNNNNNNNNNNNNNNNNNNNNNNNNNNNNNNNNNNNNNNNNNNNNNNNNNNNNNNNNNNNNNNNNNNNNNNNNNNNNNNNNNNNNNNNNNNNNNNNNNNNNNNNNNNNNNNNNNNNNNNNNNNNNNNNNNNNNNNNNNNNNNNNNNNNNNNNNNNNNNNNNNNNNNNNNNNNNNNNNNNNNNNNNNNNNNNNNNNNNNNNNNNNNNNNNNNNNNNNNNNNNNNNNNNNNNNNNNNNNNNNNNNNNNNNNNNNNNNNNNNNNNNNNNNNNNNNNNNNNNNNNNNNNNNNNNNNNNNNNNNNNNNNNNNNNNNNNNNNNNNNNNNNNNNNNNNNNNNNNNNNNNNNNNUAAAUCUAACUUCAAGGGUCCAAAACUCACUUUUAAGGCCUCAAAUCCCUAAGGUACCUUUCUAACUUCAUUGUAUAGCAUAUUAGACCUUCAAAUCCGGGAUUGAAACAUAAAAUUUGGCCUUGUAUAUGAGUUUACGGCCCAGGAAGAUGCCUAGGCCGUAAACACUAAGUUUGAAGGGUUUUAAGCCCUUAAACCCCUCCUAGACAAUGUUGGGACCUAGAUAUGGCUAAAUGACUUCAUGGAAUGGAUUUAUAACCUUUUAAUCAUGCAUUUUGAAGGGUUUGAAGGAGUUUACGGCCAAGCCUCAUGCUUAGGCCGUAAACUCAUAUAAUUGGGACUUUUAGGACCUUAAACCCCUCCAAUUCACUUGUAAGGCUUAGAUAUGAAUUUUAGGAUAAUGGUUUUAGCAUUUGGACACCUUAAACAUAAUUUUAGAAGGAUUUAUGUGAGUUUACGGCCAAGGCAUGUGCUUGGGCCGUAAACUCCUUGAAACAUGGUAUAAAUUCAAUUUCAAGGUGUUAGAAAGCCAUCCAACACCACCAAAAGCCUUGGAAUAAAUCAUAGGACCAACCAAAAAUAGUUUAAGAACCUUAAACACAUUAUUUGAGGGAUUUAUAUGAGUUUACGGCCAAGGCUUGUGCUUGGGCCGUAAACUCCUUGAUUCAUGGUGUUAGAAUGCCACCUAAACACCCCUAAAGCCUUGGAAUGAAUUUUAGAAGUCCUUACAAUCAAGUUCUUGGCCUUAAAACACAUGGAAUCACUCUCUAAGAGAGUUUACGGCCAUGAGAGGGGUUUCAUAGGCCGUAAACUCCAAAAACCCAUUCAAAACAUCAAGUAAUUGCAUGUAAGGCCUUGGGAUAAAUUUACCAAUCACAUGUGAUUUGUUUUAACAUCAUUUAACACCUUUUUCUUGGAUAUUUAGGAGUUUACGGCCAGGAGCCUAUGCUAGGCCGUAAACUCCCAUAAAUAAGUCAAAAUGAGGUUAAAAAUCCAUUCCAAUACUUUAAUCCAAGCCUAGAAAAAUUCCCCUAAGUGUAUGAAGUCAUUUUUGCCCAUAAACCACCCCACCAUGAGUUUACGGCCGUAAACUCAUGGGGAAUGGGAGUUUUAGACCUUAAACUCUUGUAUGAGUUUAUUCAUGGGCAAUAAACUCAAGUUCCAAGUCCUUAGUGCCAUUACACGUCCUUAAAUGCCACCCGGGUCCCUCCAAACGCUUGUUUCGGGAUGAUUUCACGACUAGAAGUUUUGGUCCCUAACAAUCGAAUAAUCUAGUCCUAAUUAGAUACAAAUGUGUAUCUUGUCAUUAUACAUAGGAACCUCGUGCGUUUGCAAGUCCCGAACCGUUGUUUGACGUCCGAAAUCAUCACAUUUCUCGUCCGGUGAGUUCAUACCCCUACCCUUUUUCACUGUUUUUAACUGUUUUCAGGGGGGCGGAAUACAAGCAAAAGUACAAGUGUAUCUUGUACUUAAACUGAUUUUCAACUUAAUGGUUUCAGUUUAUAAAUGUCUUGAUUUUUAAAGAUUUAGAUAACUGACGUUUCGAAUUGCAGGUUAAAUAUAGAUUUCUUUUGAAAAGUGUUUCGAUCUAAAUUGCUUUUAUAAAGAAAUCAUUCUAACACGAAUAAUACGAAUGUAGCUUAGUAUGAAUACGAAUACGAAUACGAAUAUGAAUACGAAUGUGAACACGACUACGAAUGCGAAGUGAUGCCUUUGGUUGACACAAAGACUUCGAUUAUACAGUUGUUGUACCCUCUGAGUGUCACCAGAGUUUCGAAAACGAAUACGAAAAAUAUGCCUCUGAACCUCUACUGAGCUUCAAGUAUAUCCGCCUCAGAUUGUUGACAGAGCUUCGAAUACACAACGAAAUGUACUCUUUUGGAACUUAGCAGAACUUCGAAAAUACAGUAAUGUACGCUUCUGUGUGGUUCCAAAUAUUCGAAAAUACAACGAAGUUAGUAGAUAGUAGCCAUCCGAAGGUAGAACAACUAAGGGUUAGAAUACAUAACUGAUGCUAUAUAUACGGUAACAAAUAGUAACAAAUUAGAAACGAAUAGACAACUCAACAUAUAGGAAAAUAUGGGAUUUUCCUGCGGUAACAUAACAGUUAGUAACAAACCUAGAAAUGAUCACACAACUCAACAUAUAGGAAAAUAUGGUAUUUUCCUGGAUAGUACAUUAACACACANCGAAUAAAGUAAAAAGUGAAUAACUAAAACUAUAAGGAAAAUAUGGGAUUUUCCUGGAUCGACAUAACCAACGUUUUCGAAAUUGUACAAAGGAUAACCAAACUGUUUUCAUAAGAAAAUAUGGGAUUUUCUUGAACAACAACUUUUCAGAAACAAAGGAACUCGUUCUUUCAAAACUAAACCGCUUAUGAACUCACCAGCUUUAUGCUGAUUUUCAAACUGCGUGUAUUCUCAGGUCAGAGAUAGACAGGUACACCGCAACCUUUUGGAGAAGACGGAGCAUCCCGAAGUCUCGUCUUUGCUUUUGUUUAUAUUACUUAUGUAAAACACUUGUGCAACUUUACUUUUGAACCGAUGUAAACAAUAUGAUGUAAUGUAAUGUUUUGUGAUUACUACUUUACUAUGUGCAUUGGAUUUGAUACUCAACGUGGAGUCAAGCCCGGAAACGUUUCCGCCUUUGGUUUUCGGGGUGUGACAUAGUUACAAGGCACAAAAUUUCUAGUUGUGACACCAUUACUUGACUAUUGGGCCUUUGGAGUGUGAGUUGGACCUUGGGCUUAGAACCCAAUUAUUAAUUGGGUAUUGUUUAAUGUUGGCAGUUCGGAAAUCUGUCAACAAGCAGCUAGAGUUUCAUCUGCGGGACUUCAGCAGUGCCAGGGGAGUUAUCCUCACUAUACUAAGGGGUCUAAGGCACCAAGGUCGGUGCAUUGGAUAUGAUAUCCUAGCAGUUGGUAUUAUGUUAAGUAUGAGUUAGUUAUGCAUGCUAGUCUGCUAUACUAAAGGGUAGGUCUGUAGGACUACCUGUGAUAUUGUCUUUUAUUUGUAUGUGCACUUAUUUGUUAUAUAUUGACAUAUUAUACGGGUUGGGUUGAGGUUGUACAGCCCCGUACAGUAGCCAACAAACCCUAGAGUAUUCCAAAUAUGAGCUGAGGGCCGGGACGAGCAUGUCAAACUCAUACUGAGGACUCGGGAGCAUUCCAGAUACGAGCUGAGGGCCGGGUAUGGCAUUCCAGACUCGUAUUGUGGGCUCGGGAGCAUUUCAUAGACGACCUGAGGGCCGGGUAGGGCAUACCAGACUCGUACUGUGGGCUCGGUAGCAAUCCAAAUGUGAGAUGUGGGCCCGGAAGGCAAGCCAGACUCACACUAUGGGCCCAGGGGUAAUCCAGUCGGUAAAGUUGUGGACCCAAUACAUGUUGUUAUGUGUAUAUAUGUGUUAUUUGCAGUGUAUCGGUAUUUUUUGGGUAACUCACUAAGCCUUCGAGCUUACAUUUAUUGAUUAUUGUUUCAUGUACUUCUGAGAAUCGCGGGAAGGCAAAGGCGUGAUCUACAGCUCCUCACAUUUUAUUACUAUGUUUCUGGGAUACUCUAAUAACGAACUGUUUUGAAAACAAAUUGGUAAUAACUGUUGGUUUCUAAAUGUUUCAAAAAGUUUAAAUUUGUCAUGAUUUUUAUGGGUGUUAUAGAGGAUAUAGUAGAUAAUUCGUUUUUAUGGUUUGUGAAUAGAAACUAUAAAUCUAAUGUUUUUUGGAACAACUAGAUCCAAAAUCCUUUCUUAACUAUCUCUUUGUAAUAUGGUUGUUCUUUCUUAGCCUUGGCUAGUUUUAUAAUAUUAUAGUUGUUCAAAAAAAAUAGUAAACACAAAUAAUUCAAUACAAAUCCAAAAUGGUAACUACUAUUCAAUACUUCAACAAAAUGAUAGUAAUUACUAAAUAUCCACAAAAUGAUAGGUACUAUCUAAGUAUCCAAAACUUCAUCCAAAUAAUAGUGUGGUGGGACAAAUCGCCGAUGGCUAGAGGUUGUUUGGGGAGUCGUCGACCAUGGUUUGGGGAGACCGGUACAUUUUUUUUCAUCCAAAUGUAAAAAGCGGCUAGGUUAAACGAGAGUAAGGGCUUUUGAUUUUGUUGGAAAUCUGUCGAAACUUUCCAAAAAAUUUACAACAGAAGCCAAAAGAAUAAAUAAACAACUAAAGCUGGAAGGAACUAAACUUGGCGUUUUGUUUGAAAAGUCUUGUUUUUAUUAACUUCAUAACAAAUUAAUGUUUUUAUUUGUUUUCUAGGUUUUUUGUUUUCUUAUUAUUUCUAAUGUAAAUAACUUCAUAAUUUUAGUUUUUUUAUCCAAUUCAAAUUCUAUAUUUUUAGUUUUUUUGUAAUAAUUGUUUUUAUUUUUUUUAUAUAAUGUAUAUUAAAAUUUAAAAAAAAUAACUCCAAAUAUUAGGAGGGAGAAGCAAAGACAAAAGGUGGGAAAAUGUUUUCCAUUCCCGCUAUUAUUUUUUCUAUGAAUUUCCAACAAAAUACUAAUUUAAAAUAUUAAUUAAUAUUUUCGUUGUUGUCUUGUAGGAAAAUAGCUACACUUUUACAAAGGAAUAUUUAAGGUAUCUAUUAUGGUGGGUAUUUUGUUGGAAUUUUGUUGCACUACUUUUGUUGCAAUUUUGUAGGAAACUAGAUGGAUAUUUCCAACAAAAUUGUUUUGCCGGAAAUAUUUAGUAGCUAAAACCAAAAUUUCUAGUAGUGCGUGCGUUCCAAAUGAACAUGCCCAUACUGCGAAAUCAUGUUCCAAAGUCAAUCUAUACAAAUUUAAAGCACAAGCUUUUCUAGCAGGAAAACAAAAAAUAGAAAGAGAAAAACUUACCGUUGAUGGAGGACGAAGAUCAUGCAGGAACGACAAGGAUGGAGCUUGGGCGGAGGCGUUUCAGGAGGUAGCAACGGAGGAGAUGUCGUCGGAGGACAUAAAUCGUAAAUGCAUGGGAAGCAAUGUUGGCAAGGAGAAGAAGAAUAAGCGCAAAUAAGGGAGAAUAAGGUUUCGUUCUCGGUCACGGUGUCUGACGUAUAUGCUGCAUAUGGACCGAAUAAGAGGUAUUAAACGGUGUUAUCAAACAACCUGGAUUGAGGCAGAUGAAAGGUCUGACUGACCCAAUCAGAUUCAAAUCAAACAGGCCCUCACUCUAAUGUAUAUAUAUAUAUAUAUAUAUAUAUAUAUAUAUAUAUAUAUAUNACAAAGAAAAUAUGUAGUUUUAUAAUGUGAAUACGUUCAAUUUUACAUAACUAUUAUCAUUAUCACACAUUCUCACUAAUUAAAUUGUCUAUAAGGUUAUUAUAAACUUUUUAUUAUUAUUCUCAUUUUUUCAAAAUGUUGUCAGAGUCGUAUUCUGUAAGAAUGAAAAUUAGUAAAAAAAAGAUGCCUGAAAACAAAAAUGAAUAAAAAUUAGUGAAAUGCAUGAAAAUGACGAUAGUUGUGUGAGGUUAAACGUAUUCAUAUUAACAAACAACCUAUUUUCUUAGUAAUUCUCAUAGAAUAACAUUAUCCACAUAUCCGCACAAUAGUUUUCCAUCCACAUUAUAACAUAUAUAUAUAUAUAUANNNNNNNNNNNNNNNNNNNNNNNNNNNNNNNNNNNNNNNNNNNNNNNNNNNNNNNNNNNNNNNNNNNNNNNNNNNNNNNNNNNNNNNNNNNNNNNNNNNNNNNNNNNNNNNNNNNNNNNNNNNNNNNNNNNNNNNNNNNNNNNNNNNNNNNNNNNNNNNNNNNNNNNNNNNNNNNNNNNNNNNNNNNNNNNNNNNNNNNNNNNNNNNNNNNNNNNNNNNNNNNNNNNNNNNNNNNNNNNNNNNNNNNNNNNNNNNNNNNNNNNNNNNNNNNNNNNNNNNNNNNNNNNNNNNNNNNNNNNNNNNNNNNNNNNNNNNNNNNNNNNNNNNNNNNNNNNNNNNNNNNNNNNNNNNNNNNNNNNNNNNNNNNNNNNNNNNNNNNNNNNNNNNNNNNNNNNNNNNNNNNNNNNNNNNNNNNNNNNNNNNNNNNNNNNNNNNNNNNNNNNNNNNNNNNNNNNNUAUAUAUAUAUAUAUAUAUAUAUAUUAUCAUCCAAUUAUUAAUGAUGUUGUAUGCUUCCGAAAAGAUCUCCAAGCUAAUGCUCACAGAGAGAGUAGUCUAAAGUAUUUUUGCAAAAAAUUCAAGAAGAAUAUCACAAGAAUAUAUCAUUACUCAUUUAAUGCAAACACCUAUCAAAUUCCGAGGAUAUUAAUUCACAAUAUUAUUUAACACGUGCAACCCUCCUGGUCGUGGAACCAUAUUGUGUCACUGUUAUAUAACAUCAUCUAUAAUUCGUCAAAAGUUGUAGUAGGUAUGAUGCCAUCAUUUGUAAAAAUUGAAGGAAAUUAUUAGUAAAACAUGCCAAGGAUGUUGAUGUUCCUGCAAUUUUCUCAUUUCGUUAUUUAUUAAUGAAACAAAAAAAUGUGAAAAACACACAACUCCAUUAGAUAUAUAUACCCCUACAUGAGAGACCCUUAUCCUUGGAAUAAGUUACACUUUCUAACUUCUUCUAAGCAUACUAAUUUCCCUAAAAUAUUAAAUUUAGAUUCCAUAGAUCAUUAAACUAAAAUCCCUAAAUCAGAUAUCAUAUUUAUGAAAGAGAAAUUAAAUAUCUAUAUACUUUUUGUUCCUAUUAUCUUCCUACCUAUUUAUUUUAGAUGAUGAUAAGUGUUAUUAAAUUUAACUUAAAUUUGAUUAGGAUGUUAAAUUUGUACAUUUGUCAUCAUCUUAAAUAGGUAUGAAAAAAAUAGGAACAAAAUGUAAGAACAUAUUUAAUUUCUCUUUACGAAAAUAGGUAAUGAUGAACAAAAAUUGAACCGACUAAUAAAAACCCGACAAAACCGCAAAAAACCGCAAACGAAAAGCCGAAACCGAUACAAAAACCGAUGGUGUGGAUUUCGUUUUCCCAAAAACCGAAGGUCUGUAGGUCGGUGCAGUUUUUAUCAAGAAACCGGUCCACCAAAACCGAACUGCACAAAUGGCAUAUAAAAUAAUAAAUUACUAAUUUAUAUCAUAUAAUAAAUAAAUAUUAUUUAAAAUAUUAAGAAAUAUUAUUACAUAUUAUAUUUUGAGAUUGACGGUAUUUUUAGCCGUUUAAUCACAAUUCAAACUUUCAAAAUAUAUUAUUGGUCAAACUUAAUUUCUAUUUUGUUUUUAUUGUAUAUUUAAAACCACAACAUGUCGCUUAAUGAUUACAUUUGUGUUAUAAGGUUAUACCAAAGUCAAACAAAGUUCAACUCUUAAUAUAUUAGUCACCUGUUGUAUUUAAAUCCAUAUUUGUUUUGGGUUGAAAAUUAACUUUUGCAUAUGAACAUUUUUGAAAAAUGUAAAAUAAAAAACGCACCAUAAAAUAAACAUCAAAAAUACCGCACCCAACCAUAUAUUAAGAAUGUAAAAAAAAAAAAAAAAAAAAAAAAAAAAAAAAAAAAAAAAAAGAUAUAUCAAAAAAAGAGAAAAAAAAAAGCACACCAUACAAUAAACAUCAAAAAACCACACCAAUAAACAUUGAAAACCGCACCAAAGUUUAGACUUUAUUAAAAACUGACAUCAGAUCGAUACAAACCGAAACCGCACUUAAAAACUACAAAACCAAGUCAUUGGCAAACCGCACCCAAACGGUUUUAAAAAUGCAAAAACGCACCUUGCGGUUUGCGGUUCGGUUUGACUUUAAAACGACACCAUGUUCACCCCUAAAAAUAAGCGUAGUAUCCAAAAUAAACAGAGAGACUUGCGGCCAUUACAUAUAAUAUACGUAAAGAGAAUAGGGGAAUACAUUAUUAUUGAUGUGAUUUAAUGCGUAUACAUAUCACAAUCUAUGCAAAUAGGUGAAAAGUUUGGGGGUUACUACAUCUUAAAAUUUUUGGUUAUUUUGGGAUAUGAUUCAUAACCCUACAAAGAAUAUAUAUAUAGAGAAAAAGAAAGAAUAUAGAGAGAAAAAUAACAUAGAAUGGUGGGUCUACUUGCUCUUUAUUUUUCUUUUGGUACAGAGGAAAAGAUAAUGAUGGUGUCCACAUGUGGUUUAAUUUUCUUCUCAUAUAAACAAAUAUAGGAUACAUAAACAGUUUUGACAUCUUUUAUUAAUAAAGUUAAAAGAGGAAUUAAAUUGGUUCUUAUUUUUUUUAUAACUACAUAUAUACUUACCCACUAAUACAAUGACAAUUGGCAUUAUUCUGCCAUCCAUUUUAAUAUAUUUUGCUAUCCCUAGUAUACCCUUAAUAAAUUAAGAUAACUGGAAAAAAAAAAAAAAACUCACGUAAUCAGAUGCAUCUCUUCCCUUUUCAUCGAUUAUUCCCUUAUGAUCUUCCAUCGCCACCUGAUCGAAUUAGUUGAGUACAAAACAAAUGCCCCAAUGAUUCAGCUACUCCCCUUCCCCUCUAAGCGCAACUCCAGAUUCACCCCAAGUCCCCAAUAAUCGACCACCAACAAACAUGAUUCUUGGGGAUUUUCUUUUUUGUUGAUGCACCAAAAAUUAAAUCGAAUACUUUUCCUGAUUCUCAGGUAUUCAUCCAUCCCAUUGAAAGGUAAUUCAUUGAUAUCCCUAUUAGUUCUUCACAAGGGGUAUGCAUAUACAUUAGGCCGAUGACAAAUAUGUCUUACUAAAGAAGAGUUUGAUUAUGGUAAUAACGUGUUUGAUGAAAUGCCUAGGAGAAGUUUCUUUUUCUGAUCUGUUACUCUUCUACAGGUUCAAACAGAAAUAUGCAAUGUUAAUAUGAAUCUAUGAUCUUUUUGCAAAUUUAUUUAGCUAAGCUUUUAUAUAUAUAUAUAUAUAUAUAUAUCCAGCCUUACACCUUCUAUUUGGCCAUGACACUUUCAUCAAUCACAAAUGUUGGAGACUUGGAGUCUUUUUAGUAAGUUAGAAUAUUUGAAGUUAUCAACUUGUCAUUGUUAAUAUAUUGAUGUUGUUGGUUUUAGGUUUUUAUAGCUUAUAUACAUCAAAUGUUGGUUUUUCACAAACCUUCAACCUGUGUUUGACAAUGGAACAGUAACAAGAAAAAAAAAACAGAGCACAAAGAUUGCCUAAAGCUUAUAGCUUUGUUGACUAAAUUAAAGAGAAGGGGUGAUUCCAUCAACGUACAUACUACUAACCUAUUUAAACUCAAAGAGUGCUAAGGUCUUCAGGGGGGUACAUGAAUUUCAUCUGUGCAUUCGUACAAAUCUGUAAGAAGCCUGAACCGUUUGGGAGCACCACCCCUGUAGAGCUAGAAGCGGUGCUCGGAGUUGCUGCCUGAGACGAUGAAUCGAUCGUAAUGGGAUCACUUUGUGCGACUGGGGUAUAUGGAGUAUUCGACGGUAUCGGACUACCUGGUGGGCUUGAUUGCGGGUGACCCGACAUAUUUGACUGCUCACUAUUGGCCCAAUCAGACAAUGACCCAAUUCCUUGAUCCGAUCCGGUUUCCUGAUAUGGAGUGUCUGGCACCCAUUCUCCAUCAUCAUUAUAGACAUUUUUGUUGAGAUCAAAGCCAUCGACGGUGAAGCUUACUCCUGGAGUCACCUUGAUCUUAUCACUUUUCUCCCACGUCCAACUACGAUUUUCUUCAAACACAACCUCACAGCUCACGUACACUUUCCCUGUGUCUGGAUCCAGUAGUCUAUAUGCUUUCGAACCCUUUUCAAUUCCAAGAUGAACCAGACGAAUACUUAUGUCUUCCAAUUUCUUCAAAUGCCCCUUCACGAUUUUCAUAUGAGCCACACAUCCAAAUACCCUAAGAUGAUCAAUAUGUGGUUUUCUCCUGGUCCACAUUUCAUAUGGGGUCGUGUCUUUCAGGGCCUUCGUUUGGACUGUGUUUAGAAUAUAAACAUGCUACAACUUCAACCUUUAGAACAUUAGGCAUUGAUAUGGUCUUUAUGUUGCAUCUUACCAUCUCCAAUGCAGUCCGAUUACAUCUCUCCACUACUCCAUUUUGCUGUGGAGAGUAUGGAGACGUAUAAUGUCUUUCCAACCCAGUUUCUUCACAAAUACUUCUUGAAUUCAUUUGAUAGAAAUUCACCUCCACGAUCGGUCCUGAAUACCUUCACUUUUUCCCGUGCAUCAAUCUCUACCUUGCUUCUAAAAAUCUUACACACCUGUAGAGCUUCAUCCUUAGUCUUCAUGAGGUACACCCACAUUACUCUGGUGAAGUCAUUGACAAUCAUCAUGAAGUACCUAUUCCCAGAAGGUGUUGGAGGAGUGACUUGUCCCCAUAAGUCACCAUGGAUUAAUUCAAGCUUCUUCUUUGCCCUGAAGUUUGUCUGAGACAGAAAUGAAUUCCUUGUCUGCUUUCCCACCAAGCAGCCUUCACAGGGUUGUGAGGGAAUUUGGAUCUGUGGCAUUCCUUCGAUCAGCUUCUUAUACUUCAUCUUCUUCAUUGAAGUGAAGUUUGUGUGCCCCGUUCGUUUGUGACAUAACCAAGUUUAAUUAUCAACUUCUGCAACAAAACACUUUGCAGUAUCUUCUUCUAACUCUAUUUUGUAGAGCCUAUUUGUUGAUCUUCUAACUUUCAUGAGCAACUUUCCAAUUGAAUCAUGAACCCAUAAGAAUGGAUCUUUGAUUUUUAUCUCAUCUCCACCUGCUAAUUGACCCAGGCUAAUGAUGUUGCUACGUAAAUCGGGUAUGUAGUAUACUUCAUUUUGUUUUCGACACUCUCCAUUCUUGCACUUGAAAACUAUUGAGCCUUUGCCUUCAAUUCUCACUUUCGAUUCAUUUCCAAAUUUCACAAAGCCAUGAAUUGAUUCAUUCAAGCUUCUGCAUGAAUUUGGUUUUGUCUCCAGUCAUACGGUUACUGGCACCUGUGUCCAGGUACCAUGUGCAAGAUGACUUCUUUGGAUUACCAUGGGUUCUCAAUUGUGGACUGAGAUUGUGCAUGGGUUCUCAUUCAAGAACACUAAGCUUUCAUCUUCGUAUGUUGAUAGCAGCAGGGCAGGCUCGUUAUCAUGAAGUUCUUGGACGAGGUUGUUCUCGUGACUUCGUUCCUUUCAAGGGUUCUUACAUUCUGAUGCAUAAUGCCCAUAUUCUUGGCAAUUAUAACACUGAAUGUCACUCUUAUCAUGACUGCUAGAUGCAGUGGGAUUGCUUCCCUUUUGGUGAUGGGUUCCUCCUCUGCCACCACAAGCCCCUUCGUUUCUUCCUCUACCUCUGCCACGACCACCACGUGAACCACCAAGUCCACCUCGAUCUGAUCUUUGCUUUGAGUCACCUUCUGAUUUCUUUUUGUUUCUAUCAGACCAUUCCUUGUGAGUCAACAGGAGUUUCCGAUCAUCACUUUCACCUAAACUCUUCAUCCGUUCUUCAUAUGCCUUGAGUCUUCCGAUCACCUCUUCAACUGACAUUGAGUCUAAAUCUCCAAAUUACUCGAGUGUCGAGGCAAUCUGAAGGAAUUUGGACGACACCGCCCUGAGCAACUUCUUCACCACUAGAGAUUCUUCGACCUUGUCUCCCAAGCUUUGUAAUGUGCUAACUGUGUUGAUGACUUUUCCGGUGAAGUCAUCAACACUCUCCGUCUCUUUCAUGCUCAUGGCUUCAAGUUCAACCUUGAGUGUUUGAAUUCUGGCAACCUUGACUCUAUUUGCCCCUACAAACAUAACUUUGAGGGCUUCCCAGGCUUCUUUAGCGGUCUUCUUCUCCGCCAAUGUCAAGAGCAAAUCCUCAGGUAUUCCAUGAUAGAUGGCAUCCAAGGCCAUGUUAUCCUUCUUUGCUUCAACAAGGGAGUUGGGUGUUCUGGGUUCUACAGCAUCCCAAACACCUUGGGCCAACAUAAACACCAUCAUCUUUAUUGCCCAUGCCCCAUAGUUGCAAUUUGCCUGUCUUUGUCACCAUUCCCAUUGUCGCUGCUUCCUGUCAUUUCUUCGUUUCGGGGUUGAUACUUAGGUGCUGUUUGUUUUUUCUGAAGCAAAAUGUCUGCAGUCUGCGGACCACAUCUGUAGACCUCUGCAGUAGAAGAGGUGGACCAAACGUCUGCAGUCUGAAAAAAGAAGACUGUUUGUUUUUUUAACAUCUGCGGGCUAUUAAAAUAAACUGAAAUCUAAAUAAAGUGAUUUUUUAAAACUUCAAAGCGAAUUUUUUAUAUAUCUUUACGACUUUAUUAUAAAUAUAUAACGAAUCUAGAUAAACUUUUAUGUAUUAUUAUAUAAAAAAUAAAAAUAAAAAUGGUAUUAAUUCAUAUACAUAUUUGAUAAAACCCAACAACUUUGAUUGCAAAGUUAUAACUAAACAUUAUAAUUAGUGAUCAAAGAAUUUGAUACAUAAAUAGAUGGAAAUAAACUUCGAUUUUUUCAAAUAAAUCUAUUAAAAACGUACGAUAAAUAUUUUCUCAAGAAAUUGAUGAUACUCUAUUAAAUAAAGUUUUACAAAAUUUUGGCAAAAAAAUAUAAGAAUAUAUUAUGAUUUUUUUUUUCAUAUUUAUAUAAACAACUUCAACAACUAUUAUUAUAAUAAAUUUUUAUUUAUAAAUUUGUUAAAAAUAUCAUGUUUGUAUCGUCAAAUGUUUUUUUUUAAGUUUUGUAAUUUUUUUUUCAUAUUGUUUAUCAUUAAUAAAGUUGGAAAAAAUAUAAAUUAAAAAAAAAACUUAAAAAAAAUAAAGAUAUAUAUGUUUUUUUAAGCUAGAAGAUGUCUGAAGAUGUUAGAAGACUCUGGUCUACAUCUGCGCCAAGAAGAGGGCGCGCAGACAUUUUUAGGUCUGCAGUCUUCAAAAAAACAAACAGUCUUCGAAGACUAAUGUCUGCGCGUGGUCUGCGCGGCGCAGACAGAAGACGUCUCGCAGAUCUGCAGACAAAAAACAAACACUACCUUAGGCAUGUACCAGGUUCGCUCUGAUACCAAAUGUUGGUUUUCACAAACCUUCAACCUGUGUUUGACAAUGGAACAGUAACAAGAAAAAAAACAGAGCACAAAGAUUGCCUAAAGCUUAUAGCUUUAUUGACUGGAUUAAAGAGAAGGGGUGAUUCCCUCAACGUACAUACUACUAACCUAUUUAAACUCAAAGAGUGCUAAAAAGAUUGCAACUACCCCUAGUGGCAUAAGACCCGAAUUCAACAUCCCAGAUGGCUUUGAAUUAUUCAAAACACAAAAAAAAAAAAAAAACAUGACAUAAAACAAUUUAAAAUAAUUUCUGAAUUACUCCAUCAUCAAGAAUCAUUUGAUAAAACUUGUAGUUUGAAUCCUAUAAAACCUAACAUCAACUAGAACAUGAUAGAUUAAAUUACAUGUUAAUAAAGCAUUUGAUAAAAAGGGCUUCUAGCCCAGCGAUAUCAGGUGGUGCCCUCUUUCUUUGAGGUCGAGGGUUCAAGUCCCGUGGUGGACAUAGGUGAAAUUAGGUGUUAGUUUAGGAGUAAAUUAUAAUAUUUAUAUUUGCCGCUUCAAAAAAAAAAUAAAGCUAUCUACUUUUAUUUGUUUUUCCUUGUUCUAAAAGUAUAAUUCCAUAUUUUCAUUGAAUAUGUGCAAGUUUCAACAUUAUUUGAUUGUUGUUUCCAUUUCAGUCUUGCAUCUGAAAAUGGAAUAAGUUGCAAUGGAAAUUGAGGCCAUACAAUUGUUGAAAAAGAUUUGGAAAAGUAUGGAGGGAAAACCCAAAGCUGGAAUAGAUAAAAUGCUCGGAGGGUUAUAUGAUUUCAUGAGAUACUCAAAGGAAAAGUAUGAAGCCAUAGCCUGUUGGAUAUCUUUAUCCGAUAGUUAUAUACUUAUAUUAAUCCUUUUAGAUUAGGAUUAUUGUUUCCUUAUUCCUAGUCUUUUAGUUGUUAUCUUUUAUUUGCUUGUUCCACAAGCUUUUGUCCUAUAUAUAUGAACCUACAAUUGCUUUAACAAAGAUACAGAAUCUGGAACAUAUUUUUCCAGUUUUAAGUUCAAUUAUCAAUUCUUUAUGGUAUCAGAGUGGGUCUAUUGAUCCACAACUAAAUCAACAUGGUCGACGGUGUUGUCACCAACACCGGCGGCAACAACGAUUCAGCCAACCCUUCCUCCGAUCCAAACACGCCAUAUUACAUCCACCCCAAUGACUAUCCAAGACAGAAGCACGUUGACAAGAGCCUCACCGACAACAACUAUUCCUAUUGGUCUAGAGAGAUGAAGGAUUUCUUGUUUGCUAAAAACCGUGCAGGAUUCAUUGAUGGAUCUAUUGCUCAACCGACUCCAGACUCACCAGAAUUGAAGCCAUGGCAACAAAGUGAUGCUAUUAUAAAAGGAUGGCUCAUGACAGACAUGGAGAAAGACAUCAGGAAUAGCGUAAAGUAUUCUAAUACUGCGAAAGAAAUCUGGGACGACCUUGAAGAGCGAUUUGGAAAAGAAAGUGCUCCUCGAGCAUAUGAAUUGAAGCGUACCUUGACUGGUCUAAGACAAGAAAAGGCCUCUGUUUCAACCUACUACACCAAGAUGAAAUGGAUAUGGGAUGAAAUUUAAUCGGUUUCGCCAUUCCCAAAUGUAUUUGUGGCAAGUGUACCUGUGAUCUAGGGCAAAGAAUUUUUGAGGCCAAAGAGAAGGAACGGGUCUAUGAGUUUCUCAUGGGACUCAAUGAAAUUCUUUAGGACUAUUAAAACACAAAUACUGAGCACGAAGCCCAUGCCAUCCCUCGGCACCACCAAUCAUCUCAUUGCUGAAGAUGAACAACAACGCAACAUCAUCACAGCAAGAAAAGUGAAUGUUGAUGCUGUUGCCUAUCAAAUCAAUGCUCAGUUGAAUACCGAGAAAAGCCAAAACGAAAAGAAAAACCGUGAAAGCUUGAAGUGCAAACAUUCUGGAAAAACCAGUCACACCAUUGAUGGGUGUUUUGAGAAAAUCGGUUAUCCCGAGUGGUGGGAAACACGUCAACGAAAGGCAAAUGGAGACUAACAAAAUCAGGCGAAGACAAAGCCAAAGGCAGCAAAUGUUGAAGUUGAUUCCAGUCCAAUACCAGGUUCAACCUUGGAACAAUACACCAGGUUGAUAAAGCAACUAAGUGAGACACAAAAACCUGAGAUUAACAUGGCUGGUAAGCACAUUUUCAACAUUCCAUGGGUAAUCGAUUCAGGAGCCACUGAGCAUGUUGCUUGUAAUAAUUAGGUUCUUUUUUAUUUAAGAAAUUCAAAAGAUGAUGUGCCACUUAGAAUACCAAAUGGUGAUAGUGUUCCUGUUCAAGGAGUUGGGAAUGCUAACCUUCCAUAUAACAUCAAAAUAGAUGAUGUACUCUAUAUACCUAACUUUAGAUGCAACCUUUUUGUCAGUUAGUAAAAUUACUAAGAGUCUUAAUUGCUACAUGACAUUCUUUCCUGAUUUUUGUUUCAUCUAGGACUUACCUACGAGGAAGCUGAUUGGCAUGGGUAGAUGUGAGAAUGGUCUAUACAAUAUGGAAGAGAUGGAUAAGAAGGUUGCAAUCAUGGCGGUUAAGACCGAUUCUGAAAUUUGGCACAAGAGCCUCAGUCAUUCUUCUAAAUUACAUCAUAUUGAAUCUAUUGGUAGCGUAGUUAACAUAGAAAAUUGUGAUUCUUGUAUACGGGCUAAACAAACUCGACUUCCUUUUCCAAAUAGUAAUAUUAAAACUUCUUGUUUUGAGCUAAUACAUUGUGACACAUGGGGUGGUUAAAAGGUUCCCUCACUUUCGGAAAUUGUUUAAUAAAGCAAUGUAGUUUAUUUUUGUAAAUACUUUACAUGAAUUGUAUUUUUGCACCUGGAAUCAAAUGUCCAUUAGUUUCAUUUCUCAUUUGUACACAAAUGCCCCUCAAUUUUACUUUGUAAAUCUGGACAAAAAUGGCCAAAGAUUCCAUUAUGUUUUCAAAGUGCAUUGUCAUUCUUGGUUCCAUUUUCAAAGUGCAUUGUCAUUCUUGGUUCUAUUUUGAAAAUGCAUUACCAUUUGGUUCUAUUUUGAAAGUGCAUUGCUAUUUUUCGUUUUCUUUUGAAAGUGUAUUGCUAUUUUUUGGUUUCUUUUUUAAAGUCCAUGCUAUUAUUGGUUCCAUUUGUAUGUAUCAAGUAAAACUCUAUCGAUAUGCAUCAUAGGAAACUUCAAAAAAUUACACAUUAAAAUUACACAAUAUUAGACAAACCCCGUUACAUAAUAAAAGGACCAAAACACCCUUUACUCAUCGUCUUGUCAAAUAAAAUCUCAAUUAUUCCAUAAAUGAACAAUGUGUCCCUAAUUUUGAAAUCAAAAAAUCCAAUUCCUAAUACUAUCACAAUGCCAAUCAGUUCUUUCAAAAUCAUUAAUCGCAAAAUAACUAAAACUAAAAAUCAUUCUUUUCUCAUAAAACUUGUUUUAUACUAAUUCCACCUUCCUCUUAUUCUUUCUUCUUCAAACUGGUAAAUUAAGAUCAAACUGGUAGUUCGAGUCAUCAUUAUAUGAAAUUGCUUAUUGCUCACGACUUGCAUCUGUUUGAUCUUGUUGUAUGUUCUCCGUUCUUUUAGGUACCUAAAAAACUUAAUUAUUAUAAACUAUAUUAAAAAAAUAAAAAAAAUAAAAAAUCUAAAUAGAUAAAAUAUUAUAUUUUUCUUUCUUUUCUUUUUUAUAACCUUUUCUACUCUAGAUUCCUUUCUCUUGGAUGGUGGGCGAUCUUUACUACGAUCUUGCGAGGGUUGUAACAAUUUUGUAGUCGAGUCUGAAACACGAACAUCUUCAACUACCAAAUUUACGUUACUACUACAACCCCAAAUUGAAUCAUUGUUUAACUUUUCUUUAGCCAUAUUUAUACAACUUAGCAAGUAUUAAUACUAUUCGCGAGAAUUAGCAAUAUGCGCAACCUCAUAAAAAUUGGAACACAAGUGAUCAAAUUGUUUAGCGUUUUCACCACUCAUCAAAUCUUCAUAACAAUUUAUCAGUAAGUAGUGUCCAUGCUUCACAUCUUUCCUCCACCGAAACAAAAUAUAUUGUGGAUGAAUUUAUUUAAUAUCCUUCUCAAUCAAUAUCUUCACCAUAUGCCUACAAAUAAUUCCACGAAACUCAAAUAAACAACAAGAACAUUUUAUAUCACAUGCACUCUCAUCAUAACAAACUGUAUAAACUACUCAUUUUUUAGAAUCUUCAUGUUUCCCUUCUAGAACAUAUGUGACAUGAAAUACAUAUCGUGCACCAUCCACUUUUUCCAAUGAAGAAUUGCAAAACAACGUACCUCGUAACUCAUCUUGAAACAACUUAAAAAUUGCAUUCGUGUACACCUCGUGAAACUCUCUCAAAAUAAAACCCAGUUACUAAUUUAUAUGAAGAAUUAAGCGACUCAAAAUCAGGCUUAGUUUCUUUCUCAAUCUUGCUUUUCAACGCGUUGUCAUAUUGUUCAACAAAUUGUCGUAAUGAGGUUUUAGAAUUAACAUACACAUCAAAAGAAGAAUUCAUGCUUUCACUUCUUUGCGUAGUAGACAUCCCUGCCCAAAAGUUGUCUUUUACAUAUAUCGGCACCCAACGCCUUCGAUCAUUAAAUAAAGAACUGAACCACUCAUUUUUUUCAAGUGUGUACUUUUCAACCAGCUUGCACCACCAAUCUUCAAACUCUUGAGUGUCCGUAGACUCAUAUACAAGGGUUUUUAGAGUCUUCUUUAUUACUUUUUAUUGAGGCAACCUACUUAAUUUUUCAGGAAUCUUUUUCAUAAUAUGCCAACGACAAAGACGAUGAUGAGAUUCAGGAAAUACCUGUGUCACGACUCCUUGCAUUGAUCGACAUUGAUACGUUAAUAUUGCUUUUGGUACCCCGUCCAUUCAUGCAUUCUAACCAUGACUUGAAUAACCAUACCUAUGUUUUUGUAUCUUCUUGUGAAAGCAAAACACAUCCAAAUAAGAUAGAUUGUUCGUGGUGAUUUACUCCAACAAAAGGCGCAAAUGACAUAUUAUAUUUGUUAGUCAAAUAUGUGCUAUUAAAUGAAAUAACAUCCUUGAAUGACUCGUAUGCUGCCCUUGACCUUGCAUCUGCCCAAAAUACAUUUCGCAUAUGACCUUCAUCAUCCAUAUCAAUCACAUAGAAAAAAUUUGAACUCCUUUUUUUGCAUACAGACAAAAUAAUUAUGAAGUGCCUCGACAUCCCUAAGCCCAAGUCUUAGUUGUCUUACUUUUGCGAUGUAAGAUCUACAAUCUGUCUCGCCACAAGGCAAAUUGUCAUACCCUUUUGCUUCAACAACUAACGAGUGAAAACUUUUAUUUAAUGGAAUUCCAGCAUAAUCAUUCAACUCAAGUCUUCUCUUAGCAUAUGAAUCCAUUUUCUUAUGUGAUCGCCGGAAACGAGAUUUUUGGGACUUAAAGUAUGAUUAUUUCAAGAAAAACACUAGAGAUAAUGCACCUUCCAUCACCAUAUGCUAUUACACUAAUUUUUGCUUUACAGUUUGUUUUAAAAGACUUUUUAUAUGAUUUGCUUGUUUUAGGCACAUAUACCCCUCCUCUAGCACAUCCAAGCGAAUAGUAUGUUUUAGCACAAGAAUCUUUUGUUCUUGUACUAGAUUUCCGUAUACCAAAUCCAAUCUAGAAAGCAUAUGCUUUAAAGUAAUUGUAAAGGUCUUCUUCCGAAUCAAACUUCAUUCCAUCUUUAUGAAUUUUUUGAUCUUGAGGAUUGAGAAUUGUAUGCCCUUCAACUGAAUUUGCAGCCUCUUCAACUGAAAUUGCAGCCUCCAUACUGAUCAAAUAUCAAAUAUUUUAUUAACAAUAAACCAAAGAUUUUAUCAAUAAUAAAGCAGCAUAACCUACAAAAACGAAUCAAUGUAAUUUAAAGAUAGAAUACCAUAUUACCAUAGAAAACAUACUCUUGGCCAAGAUUUUGACAUAGGUUUAAAAAUCAUGAAAGACACAAAGGCCUCCUUUUCUUUAAAAAAUAAAAAAAUGAUAAAAUAAAAUAAAAAAACUGUUUUGUAUAAUGCCUACUUUAGAUGACACGUUUUACAUAAUAUUAGAUAAAAUUACAACCACAUUAAUAGUAAGAUGAAUUAACAAGCGUUGGUUUAUAUGUAAAAUCUAAAUACAUGAUAAAUCAAGAAAAAUAGCACAUUAAACAGUAAACGAAGUUCCAGUCAACAAAAGUCUUUAACAAAAAAAUAAAAAUAGUCAGAACCCACAAACACCAUUACGUGUGUAGUACCUUCACAUAAUUAAAACAAAAAUUACCUGAUUGUUGCUGUUGUGAUUGUUCCUGCCUGCUGUUGUGAUUGUUGUUGGUGGCGCUGGAGUAGCAAUUGUCAUGGGCAACAAUAGACGAGAAGAAGGGUUUGGGAAGGAAUCGGGAUUGCAGGUCUGCUAUGCACGUUCAUCUGCAUCAUCUUACGUGAUUUUUUUUUGUUCUUUUUUUAAUUGUUCAUUAAGGGUAUUUUAGGGAUAUCAAAUAUAAUUAAAUGGAAUUGUAGAAGUAUGACAAGUCUCAUGAUAUUAGUGGGUAGGCAUAUAUGUAGGUAUAAAAAGUAGAACCAAUUUAAUUUCUCAAGUUCAAAUUACAAUGGAAUUGUAAAUACCUUCGUAAAAUACUUUUUUUUUUUUUUUUCAGAACAGAUUUUGUAAUGAUUUGCUUAUAAACAUCACAUGGAAAAAGAUAGAAUUAGAUUUAAAGAAAAUCUUUCUAUACUAAUCUUUCUAUACUAAUAAAAGAAUAUUUUUUUUUUGUUAUUUGUCAUCCUAUUAGACCUCUUACUUAAUGUCAUGUCACUUGUCAACAUAUUGAUUCUUCAUUUUAAAUUUCUCACUCUAAUUACAUUAAACUAAUAACAUUAAAAUAAAAAAUAAAAUUAAAUUAAUAUAGAUUAUAAGGUGAUAUAAUUUUAUGUAUUUAUUUGAAUCAACGAUUAUAAUUUUAUAUAACUAAAAAUAUCGCUUAAUUAAUAAUUUAUUUAAAAUAAUUAUUUAUUAGUUUUGAGUCUUUUAUUAUAAAAAUUUAAUUAAUUUAGUAGUCGUGGUUCCCACGGGUUAUAAACUAGUACUUAAUCAGUUACUAUAUGCCUACAAAUAAGUUUCUAAUCGUUAUAUUCUUAAUAUGUUUUGUUUGUGCUUAUAAGGCAAUUGAAAAAAAAUAGUUUUUCUUAAAUUGCAAUGAAAAGACAACAAAUAAAGAAUUAGUAAGAAUCUCACCAAAGCCUUUUAAAAAAAAAAUUGAACAACAAAGAAUAGAAUAAAUACCAAAACCCUUUCAAUGCUUAUGCUUUUCCCACUUCACCAUUCUUUAAUUCUCCAGCUGGUAUUCUCUUUAGUAAUGUUAAUUUACAAGCAUUUCUAUAUAAUCCAUGGUUUUUUUUGUAUGUUUUCAAAAUGAACCAAAAUUAUGACAUUUGUGCUUGAUGACUCAUCGAAAGUUGCAUGAAUUUGCGUUUGUAAGAACAAUGGGUGUACAGAAAAAGCAAUAAAAAUCAGAUAAACAAAAUUGAAAAUCAUUAUUUGCAGUUAAUCUCGGCUUCAAUUACUAUCAUAGAGUGUAGAACUAUAAAAAGUUUAUCUUCAUGUCUAUUUUUAGAUAGUACAAUCCUAUGUCUAUGGGAAAACGCUAAUACAACCUUACUCAAUGAAAUGAAUCUAAGAUAUACGAAUUUGCUUUAUUAUAGAUUUCCAUUGAAUUGCCUUUGUUAAAUUAUUGGUACAAUUAUUAACCAUCACAUACCCCACACUCCACCUUCCAUUGUCCCCUUACCUUUCUAACCAUCUCAAAAUUAUGUUAAAUAUAUUUUGGAGAUAUUUACUAAAAUAGCAAUUAAUCAGAUCCAUUAUCCCAAAUUAAUCAUCACAACUUUGCAAAAUUACUUUAAUCAGUAAAAUUGCUUUUCUGACCAUAUGAGUAAACUUUGACUACUUUUGCAAAUUAAUGUAAUUUGGCUAAAGUUUAGGUUUCGCUUAACAUUUCCAAAGUCACUACUUUUUGGAGAUGACUAGUCCUUUUGGAAAUGAUAAGAGAGAAGUUAAACCCAACAACAAAGAUGAGAGACAAACGUAAAUAUCCCUCUAACCAAUGUGGAGUGGUGUAUCCAAAAUAAAACAAAUAUUUCUGAUAAAAUCAAAGAACCUGAAUUAAUCAACCAUUAAAAAUAAUAAAUUAGUAGAUGGACUUUGUAAAUGAAGUUAAUGUUCUACAAUACAAAUUAUUUUACAAAAUCUCUGAAGCUUUUUAUUUGUAAUAAUGAUGAUUUAUAAAUAAGUUUGAUAAAAUUAAAAACGCACUUCACAUCCAAGUGGGGUACAUAACCAUAAAAAUGACUCCUGCUCCACAAAUGUUCAUACUCAAAAGGGGUGCACCAUUGUUCUCUUUCUGGAAAAGACCAAUUAUAAAAAGCAAUAGGUGUGAACAUCUCCUAAUUACAAUCAUGCCCUUUCCCCUCACAAAAGACUCUUAUAUAAUUUGCUAUUAGUGAGUCAUUCUUUAAUUUAUCUUUCACAAUUCGUAGUAUUAUCAUCCUUCAAAAAUUUUGAUUUCUGUUCUUUACAGGGAAGAAGAAAAGAGAAGCAUAUACACAAAGAGGUACUCUCCUUUAUUAACUAAUUCACAGACACAUACGAUAUUGUUUUGUUUGAUACAAUUAAUCAAUGGUUUUGUUAGUCCAACUACACUCAACCCACUAUACCUCUUUAGUUUUCUCCUUUGAUUUUCAAAAGAUUGGUUUGUAUAAGAACAAUAGGUGAAGGAAAGAAACAUAAUCUCAUUACAAAUUCAUAUUCGUAGGUAGAUCAAUUGGGAAAUGGAGAAAUUCGAUUGAUCCUUUGGAAUACAUUAUGUAGGUUUUGAUUGUUGUUAGUAUGUUAAUUUUUUGGAUUCAACUUUUUUACCAAAUAAUAUUCAUGUUUUUGUUUUGUUUCUGUUGUGUGAAUAAUGUCUACUGUUUCCGAAGAUAUUAGAAAGAAACCAUAUCAAUUUGAAUCUCAUAAUUUAUACCACUCAACGCCUCUUGAAAGUCACUACUCUCCACUCGUUUGGAGAUACUAUCGACUUUCUUUCGUUACAAAAUCAUGUCAACUCACCCACAAUAUCUUAUGCAAGAAAACCCAUCAAGAUUGUCGCUAACCUUCACCAAACAUCUUCCCAUAAACAUCCACCUCACAAAAUGCAGCAGCACCCCUGUACUUGAACCUCAAGAACAAUGUAAUCUCGUUCAGGACUUUUAUCGAACAUCUUGUGUGCUAUCAUUCAAGACCCAAGCUCAAAACAAACUUUCAUUAUGGAAGAACCCAAUUUUCAAUACAAAUCACCAAAAACAACAGCAAAAUGAAUUAUACCUUCUUUGUUAAUUCAAAAUUGAAAAUUUUCCGAAAAAACGCUACUGUGAUUCACACUUUCAAAUCUUGCUGCUGUGCUUUUUCUGGUCAAGAUACCUUGUGAAACUAUUAGAGAAUCAUCACUCAAAUAAUCAAUAAUACCUUCACACCUCUUCAAUUGAUUCCAAGAAAAUAACAGCCAAGAACACACCAGAAACAGACCUGUUCGAUUAAUAAAAAUUCCUCUUCCCAUGCUCCGAUACCAAUUUGGUGCGCCAGUAAUCUGUUUGAAGUUUGUGAAAUAACAAUGUCUUCUAUUACUCUAUGUAAGUGUUAAGAAGUCAAAACUAAAUUUUCACUAAUUACCCCUAGACUCUAUCCUUUAUUUAAAACUGAUUCUUGACUUUUAUGCAAUUUACACAUUAAAACCCAAAGGUUCAAUGUUUUUUUUUUUUGAGCUUUGUAUCUUAAUUUCUAGAGAAACAUAUAAUAUGAUAAUUGAUAAAAAAAAAAAAAAAAGUAAAGAUAAAUUUGGUGGUGACGAGUAGUUGGACAUGUUUUUACCAAAGUUAAGGGUACUUGGGAUUUCACUUAAUAGAUUAUCGUUAGCGAUAUUGAUAUGAUGUAUUAUGGAUCAAAAGUUAAAAAAAAAAAAAAGCUUAUUACUUAUUGUUUUGAUAUUGAAAACUAUAGAAUAUAUAAUGAUAAAGUGUUUAGUUUACUUUUAUGAAGGUAAACUUUUUUAAAUAGAUACAUAUUUGAAAAAAUUAAUUAUAAAAAGUGUUAAUAUUUAGCAAAGCCCAAUCUAUAAUUACUUUACUAUUUAGUGUACUAUUAAGGGAAACAAAACUCACAAUCAUUUAAAAGGCGACUACAUAAAUGACUAAAAUAAAUAAAAAUAUAUAUUACAAGUUGGGGCCACCCACUUGGCUAAGAGCAUUCAUAAUGUAUAGUUUAAUGGGAAAGUUGAACUAGGUGUUAUGCCUAAUUGACAUUCAAUUUAUUAAACUCUACCAUUAUGGGAAGCCAUGUUUGCAUUCAAUGGAUAUAGAGUUUAAUGGACAUUGAGCUCUUUAAUGAGAAAAAGGUUUUAACCAUUAAAUAUAUAUUUCAUUGAACUUUAUUGAGUUCAAUGCAUUGUAGGGAAAUUAAUGUAGAGUUGUAUAGUAAGUAAAAUGAUGAUGUGUUAAUCUAUUAAACUAUAAUAAACUUAAUACAUUGUGGAUCCCCUAACAUGGUUAACCAUUUAAUGUAGAUGAGCUAAAUUGAAACAUCUACUAUCAUGUUUAAAUUUAUAAACUUUUUCCUUUAGAUUCACUUGUCUGGAUGUGUUUAAUAAAACCCAAUUUCCCACAUGCGUAGAGAUCAUAGAUGUAACUAUUGUUAAUCAAUUUUGCCUGCCAAGUUUUAAUAAUUAUACUUGGAUAUUAACAAAACUUUAUCUAACGACCAAGGUAAUAUUAAAAAUAGGUUAUUAUUCUUCAUGCUAAUUAAAAGAUGGGUUGCAAAAGUGAGACCAUGAAAACAUUAACACGUUGAUAUUUUCAACUUUUAUUCUUUCAUAUUCACCAUAUUUUUUACUUUCGUAUUGAUUAAUCAUCUUUCAAUCACAGGCUCCUUGGCAAAAAGUCAGAUCUAUUAACAAAUACUUCCAUGUGGUUGCAAAUUACAAGGAUUUCAACAUAAUUACCAAAACAUAGCAUUAUCAUAAGAUCGAAUAAUAAUCAAAUUCUUCUAUAAUAUUACACAAAGGUAAGGUCAUUAAUUAAUUACGAUACGAGACAGACUUUUUCACUCGUGACAUCAACGGUCUAUUCUAACUUUACUUAAUUAAAUGAAUCUAGGAUGUGCUCAUAUGCAUGUAAUAUUUGCUACCGUCAUCUUUCAAAUGACCAUAUUUUUAUGUAUUUAUAAUGAAUCAAUGAAAAACCGGAUUUCUAUUUAAAAUUCUUAAAACUUCAUCUUUUAAGCCAGGGUGAAUACAAUUGCUAGAUCCACUGUUAAUUUCCAUCAAAUUAUGCCUGAUCAAUUGUUGGCUGCCUACGAUGCAGGUGCUACCACAAGAAUAUGGCCAUGGAAACUGCUAAUGAAAUUAUAAAACAAGUUGUUCCAGUUCUCAUGGUUCCUAUUAACGAUUACCUACGCUACCUCGUUUCCUGCAGAAAGUACAUCAGUGACAUGGAUUUGAAAAUGAAGGAAUUAAAAGAAGCAAAAGACAAUGUUGAAGAGCACAAGAAUCAUAACAUUAGUAAUCGUCUUGAGGUUCCAGCAGCUCAAGUCCAGAGCUGGUUGGAAGAUGUAGAAAAGAUCAAUGCAAAAGUGGAAACUGUUCCUAAAGAUGUCGGCUGUUGCUUCAAUCUAAAGAUUAGGUACAGGGCCGGAAGGGAUGCCUUCAAUAUAAUUGAGGAGAUCGACAGUGUCAUGAGACGACACUCUCUGAUCACUUGGACCGAUCAUCCCAUUCCUUUGGGAAGAGUUGAUUCCGUGAUGGCAUCCACCUCUACGCUUUCAACUGAACACAAUGACUUCCAAUCAAGAGAGGUAAGGUUUAGUGAAGCACUCAAAGCACUUGAGGCCAACCACAUGAUAGCCUUAUGUGGAAUGGGGGGAGUGGGGAAGACCCACAUGAUGCAAAGGCUGAAGAAGGUUGCCAAAGAAAAGAGGAACUUUGGUUAUAUCAUCGAGGCGGUUAUAGGGGAAAUAUCGGACCCCAUUGCUAUUCAGCAAGUUGUAGCAGAUUACCUAUGCAUAGAGCUGAAAGAAAGCGAUAAGAAAACAAGAGCUGAGAAGCUUCGUCAAGGGUUCAAGGCCAAAUCAGAUGGAGGUAACGCUAAGUUCCUCAUAAUAUUGGAUGAUGUCUGGCAGUCCGUUGAUCUAGAAGAUAUUGGUUUAAGCCCUUCUCCCAAUCAAGGUGUCGACUUCAAGGUCUUGUUGACUUCACGAGACGAACAUGUUUGCUCAGUGAUGGGGGUUGAAGCUAAUUCAAUUAUUAACGUGGGACUUCUAAUUGAAGCAGAAGCACAAAGAUUGUUCCAGCAAUUUGUAGAAACUUCUGAGCCCGAGCUCCACAAGAUAGGAGAAGAUAUUGUUAGGAGGUGUUGCGGUCUACCCAUUGCCAUCAAAACCAUGGCGUGUACUCUAAGAAAUAAAAGAAAGGAUGCAUGGAAGGAUGCACUUUCUCGUUUACAACACCAUGACAUUCGUAAUGUUGCGACUGCAGUUUUUAGAACCAGCUAUGAGAAUCUCCAAGACAAGGAGACUAAAUCUGUUUUUUUGAUGUGUGGUUUGUUUCCUGAAGACUUCAAUAUUCCUACCGAGGAGUUGAUGAGGUAUGGAUGGGGCUUAAAGUUAUUUGAUAGAGUUUAUACAAUUAUAGAAGCAAGAAACAGGCUCAACACCUGCAUUGAGCGACUGGUGCAGACAAAUUUACUAAUUGGAAGUGAUAAUGGUGUACACGUCAAGAUGCAUGAUCUGGUCCGUGCUUUUGUUUUGGGUAUGUAUUCUGAAGUCGAGCAAGCUUCAAUUGUCAACCAUGGUAAUAUGCCUGGGUGGCCUGAUGAAAAUGAUAUGAUCGUGCACUCUUGCAAAAGAAUUUCAUUAACAUGCAAGGGUAUGAUUGAGUUUCCAGUAGACCUCAAGUUUCCUAAACUAACGAUUUUGAAACUUAUGCAUGGAGAUAAAUCGCUAAAGUUUCCUCAAGAAUUUUAUGAAGGAAUGGAAAAGCUCCGGGUUAUAUCAUACGAUAAAAUGAAGUACCCAUUGCUUCCUUUGGCACCUCAAUGCUCCACCAACAUUCGGGUGCUUCAUCUCACGGAAUGUUCAUUAAAGAUGUUUGAUUGCUCGUGUAUUGGAAAUCUAUCGAAUCUGGAAGUGCUGAGCUUUGCUAAUUCUCGCAUUGAGUGGUUACCUUCCACGGUCAGAAAUUUAAAAAAGCUAAGGUUACUUGAUUUGAGAUUGUGUUAUGGUCUCCGUAUAGAACAGGGUGUCUUGAAAAGUUUGGUCAAACUUGAAGAAUUUUAUUUUGGAAAUGCAUUUGGGUUUAUAGAUGAUAACUGCAAGGAGAUGGCAGAGCGUUCUUACAACCUUUCUGCAUUAGAAUUUGCGUUCUUUAAUAACAAGGCUGAAGUGAAAAAUAUGUCAUUUGAGAAUCUUGAACGAUUCAAGAUCUCAGUGGGGUGCUCUUUUGAUAGAAAUAUCAAUAUGAGUAGCCACUCAUACGAAAACAUGUUGCAAUUGGUGACCAACAAAGGUGAUGUAUUAGACUCUAAACUUAAUGGGUUAUUUUUGAAAACAGAGGUGCUUUUUUUAAGUGUGCAUGGCAUGAAUGAUCUUGAAGAUGUUGAGGUGAAGUCGACACAUCCUACUCAGUCCUCUUCAUUCUGCAAUUUAAAAGUCCUUAUUAUUUCAAAGUGUGUAGAGUUGAGAUACCUUUUCAAACUCAAUGUUGCAAACACUUUGUCAAGACUUGAGCAACUAGAAAUUUGUGAAUGCCAGAAUAUGGAAGAACUCAUACAUACUGGGAUUGGGGGUUGUGGAGAAGAGACAAUUACUUUCCCCAAGCUAAAGUUUUUAUCUUUGAGUCGACUACCGAAGUUAUCAGGUUUUUGCCGUAAUGUCAACAUAAUUGGGCUACCACAUCUCGUAGACUUGAAACUUAAGGGCAUUCCAAGUUUCACAGUCAUUUUUCCGCAUAACAAGUUGGGAACAUCUAGUUUGUUAAAGGAAGAGGUACAUAUAUGUGCUUUAUGUUAAUACAAUUUAAACAAUAUUUUCAACUAAAAGUCUCAUAAUAUAUCUGUAAUUUGAUUGUAUAAUGUAUUAUUGUUUAUAUGUGGCUAUUAAGGGAUGAUUAUUUUGUAGGUUGUGAUUCCUAAGUUGGAAACACUUCAAAUUGAUGACAUGGAGAACUUAGAAGAAAUAUGGCCUUGUGAACUUAGUGGAGGUGAGAAAGUUAAGUUGAGAGAGAUUAAAGUGAGUAGCUGUGAUAAGCUUGUGAAUCUAUUUCCGCGCAAUCCCAUGUCUCUGUUGCAUCAUCUUGAAGAGCUUAAAGUCAAGAAUUGCGGUUCCAUUGAAUCGUUAUUCAACAUUGACUUGGAUUGUGUCGGUGCAAUUGGAGAAGAAGACAACAAGAGCCUCUUAAGAAGCAUCAACGUGGAGAAUUUAGGGAAGCUAAGAGAGGUGUGGAGGAUAAAAGGUGCAGAUAACUCUCAUCUCAUCAAUGGUUUUCAAGCUGUUGAAAGCAUAAAGAUUGAAAAAUGUAAGAGGUUUAGAAAUAUAUUCACACCUAUCACCGCCAAUUUUUAUCUGGUGGCACUUUUGGAGAUUCAGAUAGAAGGUUGCGGAGGAAAUCACGAAUCAGAAGAGCAGGUAACGCUUUCAAUUUCACUUUCUUAAUUAAUUAAGGACUAAGCUCCUGUUUUUUGAAUAAUAAAGAGGUGGGAUGACUAAACUUGGGCAUCACAAUUGCAACAAAAUGUUACAAACCAUGAAACGUUCAAACCAUUUCUUGAAUUAAGGUUUCAAUACAAGUCAUUUAAAAAUAUGGCUUAAAUUUUUUUAUAUUUAUGUAUCAACAUGAUUUUUCAUUAGAGAUCAUUAUUAUAAUAGUAAGUUUAAAGCAAUUUAAAUUAGAACUAAUUCUAACUUUAGCUAAUAAAUCGUUAUAAAUGUAAAUAAUUACUUUUUAGUGAAAUAAGCAACGGAUUUAAUAAGUUAACAACUUAAAUGUCAUUUCCUAACAAAAAAAACUAUUUGGUUCAGAAAAACCGUAAUUCAAGAUAACUAAAAUAAAAAUAUUUGACAUUCACUAAGAGCAUUUUUUUUCUAAAUAUGAUUGCAAAUGAAUAAAACUUAAAUUUAUACAGAAAAGAUUUUUAUAUAUGUUAUACAAAAUUUACAAAUUGAAAUUGGAUAUGUUAAUUAACGGUUUAUAAUUCUGGUAUCACAAAGGGAUAUAUAAUAAAAUAUUAUUUUUCUGUAGUCAUUUAUAAUUAUACUAGUUUAUAACCCGUGGGAACCAUGAGUUCUAAAAUUAGUUAAACUUUCAUAAUAAAAAUUUAUAAUUAUUAUUUAUUUUAAAUAAAUUAUUAAUUAAGAGAUAUAUCAAAAAUUUAAAGUUAUUAUAACUUCAAAUUUAACAUAUAAUUAAAAAAUAUAUGAUCAUAACUUUCCGCAACUCUUCUUUUGUAUUAAAAUGACCAGAGAAGCUCUUAGUAUAUUUUCUAAAUCAAAGUCACAAAACUAAUGAAGCAUAUAAUUUUGUGAAAAUCAAUUAGCAUUAGGUUUUAAGAGUCACCAAAUUCAAAGAGUAAUCCAAUGCUUUCAUUACCACUAUGAAGAAAAUAUUUUCUUAGUUUAAAUGAAAUGAAAACAAACAUUCAAACUAAUUGUUGCUUAUUAAACCAAAGACCCAUUACUUAGCCAAGAGUUUAACCAAAAAAAAUUACAUUCAUGUAUCAUUAUUCAUGACUAGAUAUAUAUGAACAUGAAGGGAGUUUUUAUAGAAAAUAUAAUCAUAGAUAUUCAACAUAACUUCAUGGAAUUCCUCAAAAUAACCAAGUUAUUCAAGAAAUUACAUCCAAGUCAACCAAAGAGAAGUUUAGCCUAGCAUGGCUAAACUCAAGAAAAUAAAAUAAGGAUUAGAAGUACCAAACAUGUAGUAAGAAUCACAGUAAAAGAUGAUGUUGUUCUUGAUGUUCUUCUAAGUUCUUCAAGUCUCCAGUUGCUCCUAAUAAUGCAAAGGAGAGCCAUUAAAUUCGUAUGUAUUGAUCCCUUCAAAAGCUGCACCAACCUCCCUUAAAUAACACUCAAAGCAAAAAUGACAAAAUUGCCCCUGAAGGACCCUAUGCGGGUGCCUUGCGCGGGUGGAGCUGAAUACGAAAGGUCUUUGGUCUUUGUGAGGGUGAUGUUGUGCGGGUUAGCUUGUCGCAUGCUUCCGCGCGGUUCGCGCACAUGUGCACAGGUGAUGCACGGUGUGUACGUUCUUGAGUUUUGAGCCUCCGAUGCUUAGUCCACUUGGCCCAAUUCGAGUCCAAUCAACUUAUGACCCAUUUUUCUUCAAGUUAUCUUCAAGUUAAGCCCAAUUUGCCUUCUCCAAAUCAUCCAUAACUUCACAGAAUCGCCCGUUCAUCUUAAUCCCGAAUGAACAAUUAUUCUCCCGUCUUCAUUUUAAGCAAGAUACCACCUUCUUCAUGCUUCAUCCAUCAAUAGUACACUUCAUGUAUCAUCUCUACUAGUUAUUUAGUCCACAGUCCUUGUUGUCCUCCAAAUUUAAUUAUCUCAUUUAGUUCCCGUUCCGCUAGUUUCCUUAAAAUUUGCAAUUAAGCUCACAGAAAUAUUAAGUACCCGAAAUGGUCAUAAAAUAACAGAAAGGAAAAUAUGCAUGAAGAUUAACUAAAUGAUGAACGAAAUAUGCUAAAAUAGACUAUAAAAUGAAGUAAAUAAAAUGAAAUUAUCGCACUCCGACCACCCUUAUAGGCUUGUAGUCCACCCACCCUUCAUUCCUUGUACCAAUAUGGGAUGGAAACAUCAUUAAUUAAGCCAAAAAACUAACAUAUAAGGGGUGAGUGACAAAGGUAAGUACUAAAGAUGAAAAAAAAUCCAUUUUUCUUGUAUAUACACAACACACACACAUAGGGGCAGACGUAGGAUUUCAUAGUACAGAUUGUUGGUGGCACAUAAGUGUUGUUGGUGACACUUUUUUUUUUCUUUUACGUAGUGGCACAACAGUAGAAAAAACGAAAAAUUCGAAAUUUUUUACAAUGUGUCUAAAAAAAACAGUGGUUGUUGGUGCCACUAUGGACACCAAAGUUGAACUGCCCCUGCGCGCGCACACACACACACACAUAGAGAGAGAGAGAGAGAGAGUUUGGGAUGUGAUACUUCUUUUGGGAAAAUGGAGUUAUAUCUUUGAUAUUGUAUUUUUUUAGUGUAAUUUAUAUAUUUAAUCAUUUUAGUUUAUAAGUUUUAUUUAUUUUGAUAUGAAAAAAAAAAGUCUUUUAUACAUUGGAUUUAACAUAAAAAUCCAACAAUAUUAAUCAAAAAGACCAAACAUGUGGACAAUUAUGUAUAUAAUUAAUUCACAAUAGUCUUUAGGAAUAGUAUUAUAUAUAUAAUUAAUUCUCAAUGGUCUUAGGAAUAGUAAGUUCUUAUAUUUCAAACUUUUGCCACAAUUCUUUGCUUACUUUGACACUUUUCCUUCCUNNNNNNNNNNNNNNNNNNNNNNNNNNNNNNNNNNNNNNNNNNNNNNNNNNNNNNNNNNNNNNNNNNNNNNNNNNNNNNNNNNNNNNNNNNNNNNNNNNNNNNNNNNNNNNNNNNNNNNNNNNNNNNNNNNNNNNNNNNNNNNNNNNNNNNNNNNNNNNNNNNNNNNNNNNNNNNNNNNNNNNNNNNNNNNNNNNNNNNNNNNNNNNNNNNNNNNNNNNNNNNNNNNNNNNNNNNNNNNNNNNNNNNNNNNNNNNNNNNNNNNNNNNNNNNNNNNNNNNNNNNNNNNNNNNNNNNNNNNNNNNNNNNNNNNNNNNNNNNNNNNNNNNNNNNNNNNNNNNNNNNNNNNNNNNNNNNNNNNNNNNNNNNNNNNNNNNNNNNNNNNNNNNNNNNNNNNNNNNNNNNNNNNNNNNNNNNNNNNNNNNNNNNNNNNNNNNNNNNNNNNNNNNNNNNNNNNNNNAUAUAUAUAUAUAUAUAUUAAAGCGCAAAGGUCAUAGGAAUAGAAUAUUUUCUAUUAUUCUACGUUUUGUCACAAAAGUUUGAACACUUUGCCACUUUUUGUCCCUCCUUAACCUUUUCAAUGUUUUGCGACAAAAGUUCCAAAACUUUGCCACUUUGAUCAUUCCUCAACUUUUCACCGCAUUAGUUUGUGGAGUUGGCAGUUUUGGUCCCCCUAACUUCGAUAUUCUCUACUGCUAGCCAAAAAGGGUUCCAGAGUUUCACACUUUUGGUCCCUGACAGUAACCAAAUGUGAGAUGUCAAAUUUUUGCCACAUUAGUUUGUGGAGUUGUCCCUUUUGGUCCCCCCACAUUCGAUAUUCUACUAUGCGAUCUUAUUUUUCUCAAAUAACAACACGUAUAUUUAAUUACUAAUGAUAGAAAUAGAUAUCAAAUAAAGUAUUUGUAACACUGUGUAAGAACGGUGCUACUAUAGGUAAAAAUAAACAUUUCAAAGUACGAUGUCCUAACUAGAAAAAGAGUUUUAAAAAAAUAACAACUAGGGGCGAGUUUUUUUUACAAGUUUGUAUCAAAUCAUAUCAAAAUUUAAGGUGGAACGGUGACCACAUUAACCAGAAAUGUAACUUAUUCUUUGAUUUUGAUAAUUUUUAAUAUUUUGUUGUGAUUUAUGUAUUUAAAAGUAAACAACAAAGAACAUAAUCCAAAACCCUAAAUUGCAAGUCUCGCCCAAUUUCUCUAUCACUAGUCCUCACUUACGAUGGCGUUACGUCGCUCUCUCACUGCUUACAACCCUUUGUUGCUACUCAUUACAAUAACGAAAAGUUGAAUAUCCAUAUAUUUAUUUGGAUGUGGAAUUGAACGAAUCUCGUCAAAUUUUUUAUUUUGUUGAUGGAUUUGAGUAGAAGUUUGGGCAGAACGGGAAUGAUGGUCUGCAAGUGGUUAUAAACUUGAUUCUGAGUUAUUACUAUAUAUGUAGCCUCUUUACAACGACCAAGGUUUCUUCCAGGUACCAUUUGAUCUUUUUAGAAUUUAGUUUUCUGAAACACCCUGAUUUGGAUCAAAUAUCACCAACAACUCUUAAAAACUUGAUUAAUCAAUUGUUUUCUUCAUCUUGAUAACAAGUGGAAUGAUUUUCUACUUAGAUUAACUUGAAAAAAAAGGUCCAUGUGCGUCUGGUGGAUCUGGUAAAUGAAGAUGGAAGGGAGAGCUGACUUUAAAGACACAAACACGUCACCAUAUCUUUUAUUUUAUUUUAAAUUUGCUUUUUUCCUAUUUCUUUCUUUCUUGAUCUCCAGAUGGUAUGUGGUGUGGAUAAUUUACACAUAGAGAUUGGAACGACUGUGUUUUAGAGAGGACGUGGCUUGGGGUUGAGGAUGGUUUAUGGCUGGCCGAGUUUCAUUUAUAUAAACAAACAAAUAUAUAAAACAAGGGGUAAAAUGGCCAUCUUAUAUGUAUUUAACCGUCCUUUUUUAUUUUUUUUUAUUUUUAAAUUUAAGAAGGGGUAUACCAGUGUCAGCCUCUUAUUCCCAACCAGGCAACCAGUCAAAUAGGGACUUAGGUUGUUUGGAAACAGUUCCGUGAGACCGUGACUUGGAUGGUAGAUAAAUUUAGUAAACUUAACCCUUCAAUUAACCUACCUUUUUCUUAUUAACUCAAUUUCAACCUAAAUUCUGAUUCUUGUUUGAAAAUAAGUUGCAUCUUUAUGUUUGUAUUAUCCUGUUGCAUAGGAUCCUUAGCAUCUUUUAAUAAUUUAUUUGAAGGUGAAAGAUCCAACUAUUUUUUAGCUGUUGGCAUUUUCCAUCAUUUGCAACUGUUUCUUGAAAAAAAAAUACCUAAAAUCAAAAUAACCAUUUUCAAAUCCAAAAUUAUAAGAGAGAAUUGUAAAUGGACAUGGAAUCAUAAAUCAUUAGCACAGUUCAGUAAACAAGUUGCUAAUUACAUUUCUUGCUGUGCAGAUUGAAAUUCUAUCAGAGAAAGAGACAUUACAAGAAGUCACUGAUACUAAUAUUUCUAAUGAUGUUGUAUUAUUCCCAUCCUGUCUCAUGCACUCUUUUCAUAACCUCCAUAAACUUAAAUUGGAGAGAGUUAAAGGAGUGGAGGUGGUGUUUGAGAUAGAGAGUGAGAGUCCAACAAGUAGAGAAUUGGUAACAACUCACAAUAACCAACAACAGCCUAUUAUACUUCCCUACCUCCAGGAAUUGGAUCUAAGUUUUAUGGACAACAUGAGUCAUGUGUGGAAGUGCAGCAACUGGAAUAAAUUCUUCACUCUUCCAAAACAACAAUCAGAAUCCCCAUUCCACAACCUCACAACCAUAAAUAUUAGCAGUUGCAAAAGCAUUAAGUACUUGUUUUCACCUCUCAUGGCAGAACUUCUUUCCAACCUAAAGAAACUCCAUAUAGAAAGAUGUGAUGGUAUUGAAGAAGUUUCAAACAGAGAUGAUGAGGAUGAAGAAAUGACUACAUUUACAUCUACCCACACAACCACCAUCUUGUUCCCUCAUCUUGAUUCUCUCACUCUAAUUUUUCUUAACAAUCUGAAGUGUAUUGGUGGAGGUGGUCCUAAGGAUGAGGGGAGCAAUGAAAUAUCUUUCAAUAAUACCACUGCAACUACUGCUGUUCUUGAUCAAUUUGAGGUAUGCUUUGUACAUAUUCAAUUAUUUAUUUAAUUUCCUUUUUUCUUUGCAAUAUUCUAUAAAUAAUACAUUUUAUACCCACUAUACUAAGAUAAUAAUUACCUAGAGGGAUGGAUGCUAUGACACAGCUGCUACACUUCAGAAACUCUAGUAAGGGCAGUUAUGGAAGUUCAAUAAAAUGAUAAUGGCAUCUUUUGAUGGGUAAUAUAGGCAAUUUAAGUUUUAUUUCUGUUAAAGCAGUAUUUAGCAAGUACUGGCCAGUAGGAGAGGAGAAUAUCACCUUUUGUGAAAAUCUGGUCAUUGUACCCAGAAUUUAGUUAAAUGUAACAUUUUAGAUAUCAGGGGACAUCAGGUGACAGAUAUUGUAGAAUAGAACAAUAUAUAAUAUUACCCAAAACUAUUUUUUCUAAGGUUAUUCUGUUAAAUAUGUGCUUUCUUGAUUUCAUUGAAUUUGCAUUCCUAUAUUUUAGGUGGUAAAGUGAUUGUCUCUUCAAUAAAUCCCGAAAUUAAUUAAAAAAAAAAACAAAAGUAAAUUUUUGAUAUGUAGAGCACUGGUAUCAUUUAGUAUAUAAAAAAACUAGAUUUUGAAUUAAGUUUCUUAUAUAAAAGCUGUGUAUAUAGUUUAAUUAGUUUUACAUCAUUUUUCCAUGUGGUGUUGCAGUUGUCUGAAGCAGGUGGUGUUUCUUGGAGCUUAUGCCAAUACGCUAGAGAGAUAGAAAUAGUUGGAUGCUAUGCAUUGUCAAGUGUGAUUCCAUGUUAUGCAGCAGGACAAAUGCAAAAGCUUCAAGUGCUGACAGUAAAGUAUUGUGAUGGUCUGAAGGAGGUAUUUGAAACUCAAUUAGGGACGAGCAGCAACAAAAACAACGAGAAGAGUGGUUGUGAGGAAGGAAUUCCAAGAGUAAAUAACAAUGUUAUUAUGCUUCCCAAUCUAAAGAUAUUAAGAAUUGAAAAUUGUGGGGGUUUGGAACAUAUAUUCACAUUCUCUGCACUUGAAAGCCUGAGACAGCUCCAAGAGUUAACGAUUAAGGGUUGCUACAGAAUGAAAGUGAUUGUGAAGAAGGAAGAAGAUGAAUAUGGAGAGCAGCAAACAACAACAACAACGAAGGGGACAUCUUCUUCUUCUUCUUCUCCUCCUUCUUCUUCUAAGAAGGUUGUGGUCUUUCCUUGUCUAAAGUCCAUUGUAUUGGUCAAUCUACCAGAGCUGGAGGGUUUCUUCUUGGGAAUGAAUGAGUUCCGGUUGCCUUCAUUAGAUAAUGUUUUCAUCACGGAAUGCCCAAAAAUGAUGGUGUUUGCAGCUGGUGGGUCCACAGCUCCCCAACUCAAGUAUAUACACACAGAAUUAGGCAGACAUGCUCUUGAUCAAGAAUCUGGCCUUAACUUUCAUCAGGUAUAUAUAUAUUUCUUUAAUUGGCAUCAUCUAAUUAAGAAAGAUAUCAUUCCUGCCAAGUAAAUUUACUUCAAACACAUUCACACUGGUUUCAGUCUAAGUUUAUGUUGUUCUAAGAAGGCCAAAAUGGGAAAGCAAGAUAGGGAAAAAUAGUGUAUUUCAGUGGAAAGGGUAUUUUAGGUAUUUUCUGUCAAAAGUUGUUAUUGCAGGCUUUUUAGUACCUGGAAUCGUGUGUGGGAGGAGCCUUUUAAUCUUUUGAUUUUCAAUGACAAUUUUUCCCUGUUACUCUAUUUGAUUGUUGUUCUUCAUGGUUCUAAGUGAGUUAUUGGCUCAUCUGUUACUUCUUUUGAUUGUUAUUUUCAUAUCAUGUUAGUCACUUGAAUCAAGCUUUUUCAUUUUCAACCAGGGCAAAAGGUCAAAAGUAACCUACUUUAUGAGAUCAAAAACAGCAACCCAUCGGAUAACUUUUAGUUGGAGUUAAUACUUACAAUUACCAUUGUGAUUAAUAAUUAUAAUAUCCUGUAUUAAUUCAUAAAAAUUGGUACAGCACAUAUAUGACAUUUCAAAGGUUUUUGUUUGACAUAUAUAUGCCUCUGGCGUUUUCUUUAUUGGACUUGCAGACCUCAUUCCAAAGUUUAUACGGUGACACCUCGGGCCCUGCUACUUCAGAAGGGACAACUUGGUCUUUUCAUAACUUGAUCGAAUUAGAUAUGGAAUUUAAUGAUGAUGUUAAAAAGAUUAUUCCAUCCAGUGAGUUGUUGCAACUGCAAAAGCUGGAAAAGAUUCAUGUAAGGUGGUGUAAAAGGGUAGAGGAGGUAUUUGAAACUGCAUUGGAAGCAGCAGGGAGAAAUGGAAAUAGUGGAAUUGGUUUUGAUGAAUCGUCACAAACAACUACCACUACUCUUGUCAAUCUUCCAAACCUCAGAGAAAUGAAGUUAUGGCAUCUAGAUUGUCUGAGGUAUACAUGGAAGAGCAAUCAGUGGACAGCAUUUGAGUUUCCAAACCUAACAAGAGUUCAUAUAUGGGGAUGUGAUAGGUUAGAACAUGUAUUUACUAGUUCCAUGGUUGGUAGUCUAUUGCAACUCCAAGAGCUACAUAUAUCCAACUGCAGUGAGAUGGAGGAGGUGAUUGUUAAGGAUGCAGAUGUUUCUGUUGAAGAAGACAAAGAGAGAGAAUCUGAUGGCAAGACGAAUAAGGAGAUACUUGUGUUACCUCGUCUAAAGUCCUUGAAAUUACAACUUCUUCAAAGUCUUAAGGGGUUUAGCUUGGGGAAGGAGGAUUUUUCAUUCCCAUUAUUGGAUACUUUGGAAAUCUACGAAUGCCCAGCAAUAACCACCUUCACCAAGGGAAAUUCCGCUACUCCACAGCUAAAAGAAAUUGAAACAAAUUUUGGCUUCUUUUAUGCUGCAGGGGAAAAAGACAUCAACUCUCUUAUAAAGAUCAUACAACAGGUAAAUCAGAUCUUUGUUGCUUUAAUAAUUCUUAAACUACAUUUGAAAAGCUUCAUGCAAGUUCUUUUGUUAUAUUGUCAAAAACCGCAACCUACAUUUUCAGCUUUAUAUUUAUGUACUUUAUGCAGGAUUUCAAACAAGACUCUGAUUAAUGUGAAGUGAAUAUUAAAGGUAAAUUAUAUUUUCAUGUUCCUAGUUGCCUAUUAAUUAAAGGCCUUUUAGUUCGUGAUUUUUGGAUGUAUUCUUCAUGAUGAUGUCAAUCUUCUAAUACCCCAUUCAUUGUUUGGUUGAAUGUUGACUCUAUGUCAGGAUGAAUAUUCAAGGGAAGAAUUGUUCAUCAUAUGAAGGACAUUAAAGAAGAACAUGGAUGCUAUGAAGAUGUUGGGAAAACAUAUGUAUCAAGUAGUAAGCUGCUUAAUGAUCUAAGUUUGUUGGUUGAGGAUGUUGAUUUUAAUAUUUCAAAUUCAUUGGUAUCAUUAUAUGGGCUUAUCAAUAGUGUUAAUGGGAUAAUGAGUGACUUAACCUAAAUUAUGUUGUUGGUAAAUGUUGGACAAGUAUGGAAAAUUAGGAAUGACUUGUGAAAAAUAUAUGGAAAAGUAUUAUGAAACUAUAUAUAGUAUAUAAAUUAAUGCAACAUACUCUUGGAAGCA